Molecule: long non-coding RNA, 108253 nt
Filed under: Citrus sinensis (sweet orange)
Lineage: Eukaryota; Viridiplantae; Streptophyta; Magnoliopsida; Sapindales; Rutaceae
Description: long non-coding RNA (CSIN_LNC003444)
Source: RNAcentral
UGGUAACGCAGGUUUUGGAAAUUCAGGCAAUUCAGGGACUUUUGGGAGCUCAGGUUUUGGAAUCUCAGGCAAUUCAGGUUUUGUUAGCGGUGGCAAUUCAACUUUAGGUAAUUCAGGCUUCGACAAUGGAGGUAAUUCAACUUUAGGCAAUUCAGGUUUCGGGAAUGGAGAUAACUCAACUUUCGGCAGUUCGGGCUUGGGUAUUUCUGGCAAUGCUACCUCCAGAAGGUGUCGAGCAUCUACUAUAUUAAUAUUGUACCACAUUGACGAGAGGGUAACAAGUAAAAGUGUUAAGAAAAAAGAUGGAAAAGAUUGAUAAGCCAUGGUUUGAUAGCUUUGGGUAAGUAGGGGUUGAAGAUGAGGAUGAGCAAUAGGGUUAUAUAUAUGUCAAUCAAUUGAAAGAACUAGGGCAAGUGUUUUUGUGCAUAGGGUUUCAUGUGAAUGGCCUUUUAUUGAUACAUAUGAGAAAUGGAGAUAAGGUGUUUUCAGUUAACGUUUGGUGCGACAAAAAGAAUGAAGGAAAAAUAGAAAAGCUUAGUCUUGUUAAUUUAGUUCAACUUCUCACCUGCAUUACUUGCAUGGAUAAACAUGGCAAAAAUUUUAUUGCCAACCACUUUCUAGAUAUGCGUGGUUGUAUUUUGUGACUUUCUUGCCUAGAUGUUUUCACAUGGACUUGUAGAAAUUAUAUUCAAAGCCAUAUUCUAAGGGACGGAUACAAACAUUUUAAGAAGAAUAAUAUAUUAGUAUUUGUUUUAUUAUAUUUUGACAGUAUAAUAUAUCAUUUGAUCGAUCAACAAUUAAAUGUGCAAUGGUAUAGUCCAAAUUCUUUGUGAAAACAUAUUUUAUCCAAAGUGAAUCUAUAAAACAAUUCCAUUGUAGACUCUUAAUUGUUUGUGCACGUUUUCUUGUUAUGGUUAUUAAUUAAGCAAGCACUCUCUCUGGCUUGACAUGCACGCAAUCGUUCUUCUGUAACCAGUCCCAAAAUUGAGUACAAGGCUAACCAAAUAUAUAUAAUUAAGACAAAUAAAAAGUAGUCGAAGCAAUCUACCUCAAGCACAUUAUAAUUUAAGGGCUCCUGCAUAAAUAAUUAAUGCACAUAUUUUGAUUUAAAUAUUCUUUUAAUCCUUAUAUUUUCGGAAAAUAUAUCAAAAUAUUUAUGCAGUUAAAUUUAUUACAUUCUUACUCUUACAUUUUCUUUCUUUUUAUAAUAAUAUCCUUGCAGCAAUAUUGUUGACUUUACUUAAUUUAUCUAUAAAAACUUUAAUAAGCAAAUUAACCAAUAAUUAUUUAUGUACAAAUUAACUAAAAUACAUAUCAAUGUGAAAGAAAUAGUAUUUUUUUCACUUGUACAAUAAUCUCACUAAUAAUUUUUUAUCAAUAAAUUAAUAUCCACCAACUUAAUGCAAUUUUUAAUAUCCUGGAAACAAUCUUACUAGUAAUUAUUUAUAAAAAAUUAAUUUACUAAAUUAAGCUCAAAUAUAAAAUAAUAAUAUAAAAGUUUGUAUAAACUUUUAUGUUACUUUUAAAGUUAAUUUGAUAAUUUAUAAUUCUUUUUUUUCAUUAAUAUCCUAAGAAUAUUGUUGCAUAGGUGUUUGGGAAAGAAAUGGAAGGUUAAUAGGAAAAUGCUACUUGUCAAUAGUACUUAAUUAUGGAAAAGUCACCACAAGGAGGUUGGCUUAUAACGAGUAUAGUAAAUAUCACAAUGGCAUUCGACUUUCACCAUAUCAAGGGCAUAAAAGGCUAGAGAAAAUAUCCAAAAUAUUUGGCACGUGAAAUGUCAUUAUCGUUAAAAUGAACAGUGAUUCCUUAGCUAAAAAUGAGGAACUGAUUAGGAGAUAUUUGAUUGAAAAAGAGGGAGCAUCAAAAUAAUGGCUCAUCAAGCUUACAAAAAGCCAAAAAAUGGCUCAUCAAAAUAAUUGGUAUCAUUUGUCCUUAUCUGACACUCAAGCAAUCGCAUAUACCCUCUGCAGAGGCAUACUGUACCACUUAGCAUAUUCCAACACGUGUAUAUGGACAAAUUGUGUAAAUGAUGCUAACUUAUUCUCCAAGCAUGCUCUAUACGUGCAAACUGUCACAAAUGCUAAAGGACAAGAAUAUCCUUGUGCAAAGAGAGGAAAGUGCCAAUGAAAUUACGCAAGUGGCAUGAUGACCGGAAUAUCUCAGGGCACUACAUAUAAAGAUGCUCAGGUUUUCUCUUUCUAACUAAGCAAUUUUAAGCACUAAACAUUAAAAAAAAAAAAGGUGAAGGCUCUUCUUCUACCUUGAGCCAACACCAUUGCGGACUUGACUCUCAAAACAACACCAAACCCUUCCUAGCAACGUCAUUAUUUCCACUCUUUCUCAAGCUUUAUAAAAGGCAAUACAUCUUGAUUACACUAGGCACCACAAUCCUCUCAUUUAUAAAUUUAUUGUGUUUAGUUAGGUUUCUCUCUUUGUUUAAAAUCUUGUUAAAAGAAUUGGUGUCGUCUAGGUGAGGGGCAUACAAAAAGCCUCCACAACAAUUGCCAAACUAUUGUUGAGUGCGUUCACAUAAAGAUGGCACCAGACGUAACCUUUGAUGAUAUGGUGCAAGAUGCAGAGUAUAUCAAUGAUUCAAUAAGGAAAACAACUAGGCUUGACAAGGGCAAGUUGGUAAGUAAUGGGUUCUCGGGUACUAAAGCUGAAAGCCCACAAUUCAAGAAACUCCCCAACAUGAGCUGAAAAACAAAUCAUCCCACGUUUGGAGUUACAUAAUGAGGCAAGCCAAAGAACAGGUCAUCUAGUACCCAAUCCAAGUUUCAACUUAUGGGCUCUAGGGAUGAUCACUGUACAACCUCUAGCCACUUAUACAGUAGCUAAGGCACAAGCGUGCAAAAUGAGCCCACGAGAACCUAUGACAAAUUGGAUGAUAAAAGAUCUUCUGAAAUGAUCGCGACUUCUUUAGGUAUAGUUGGGAUACCCUGCAAGCUCUUGGAAAAAAUGGAAUAUCGUAAAACUCCUCUUUGAGAAGAAUAAUGCCACCGAUGCUCAAUAUUAGUGGUAUACAACUUGCCAUUCUUCAUCUUGGAUAUACGGACAACAACAUUUUCAAAGACAUUCAAUAUGCCUCAGCCUUCGAAACCCCAAUAUUUGGGUACCAAAGAUCUAAACGAGCAUGCUAAGCGAUAUAGGUGCUUAAGAGAACGAUAUGUCUAGGAUGUUUGCACACAUCCUCACCAGCCUUGACAAGUUAUAGUUCAAAUCUUUGAAGGCAAGUAGCAUAUACUCAUUAAACUAGUUGUUAACGAAAUUUUUUCAUAAUUUUAUUAUGUUUUCUUUCAAGAUAAGGCAUCUUCUAAACUUGAUUUCAUUAACCAAGGGGAGUCAAAAUCUUUCGGUAAUUAUCGUUUAUGCUAAUAAGUGUUGCAAAUUGGUGUUCUUGGUCAUGUGUAUACGUUAACUCACUUUGAUAAAAAUUUGCUAGUAGGAAAGUUAUGACCGUCUUUUCAAAAGCAUCGCCUUUUAUUAGAUAGGUAUCUCGCUCGAGACUUUGCAAUAAAUUGAGAAGGGUGAGAAAUGUUAUUAAAAAAAACAGGUAGACAAGGUGGAAGUCAUAAAAAGUAAGGAGAAACCUAAGAAGAUGAGGUAUCUUUACUAAAGGUACCUUAAGUAUGUAGCUCACUACACCCAACCACACACAGUUACGGUUAUAACACCCCUUAGAGCACCCAAGGUACCGCCCUUUGUUAAGUCAUCCAGCCAAAACAAUAAAAACAGCCACAAAUCCAUAGUAUAAAUCUUAUCAUCCAUUAACUUGGUCAUAAAAGCAGAGUUGAGGAUAGUAGUAUACUGGCAUGGCAUCUCGAGUAUAUAUGACAAAAAGUUAUGCCUUAGAUCAUUAAAAAAAAAAAAAAACUAUUUGGCUCUACGAAAGAUGACUUAAAACACUUGGGUACCCUUUGAAGCCUCGGUUGGGCCAAAUUGAGUAGGGUCAUACCAUAUGGAUAAGUCGAUUGGAAAUAGAGUCUGUAGGUUACUUUACAUCGAUAGGACGACAGUGAAGCACCCAUGGAAUGUAGCCAUUCUGGGAAAACAGUACUAGCAUCCGAACUGUGUUCUACCUUCUUCUGUUUAUGUUAUUUAUUUCUUUUGAUAUUUAUAUGUUUGUAACCUGUCAUAGGCCUUGGGGGGACCCAAGGUAUCCCUGCGAUGGUCAGUUGUACUUUUUAAUUUUCUAAGUCUUUGGUAAUAGAAUGGGAGAUCUUAUGAUCACUUCUUCUAAUUAGGUUGACCAAAGCUACGUCAUAUAAUAAUUCAUGCUGUUGUUACCUAUGAAUACAUUUCCUUUCUAGAAUGUAAGACAUGUGCUCUUUUCACUCAUUUUUCAAUUAUGGAAUGUGGAUGAAUGAUUUGAGAUACUGUUCAGUUUACAUACAUUUGCAUUAGUUUAUCUCUAUGUCUAUUGUUAUACAAUGUUUAUUUUGAUGCAAUUUAAUGUGAAGCAAUUACAUUAUUAUAGAGUAAGUUGGGAUACUUGACCUGUCCUAAUCAUGAUGAUCUACUCGAUUUUAGGGCUAGCAAAAAUAAUAUAAAGGAAUAAUAAGCAGCCUUUCGAAGAGACUAUAAAAAAAUAAUUAUUUUAAGGAAGAAAGUGGGUCGAAGGAGAAUCAAAGGCAAAGUAAGCAAUCAUAUACUAACAUCAUAAGGUCUGUUAAGGUAUGCACAUGCCCACACUCUUCGUUCUCUUGCUUGUGAAAAGUAAGAGAUAAACAAUUAAAAAAUAAAUGAGAACCAAAAGAGCUGGAAGUAUAUAAUAAAAGAGCUGCAAAUAACCAUCCUUAAUGCUAUUUACUCUUUUUAUUUAAUUUAAAACAAGUAGCAAAACAAGAUAUUUUUACCCAUUUGAAAAGGGCUAAAAGGGUCCCAAAAAAAGCUCAAGAAGAGCAACAAAUGAAUCUAUUCACCAUAAUUAUUACGCCAAUUGUGAAUUCUCAUGCUUAAUCAAAUUAUCAUGAUGAUACUUUGGUUAUUGAUUGGUGUGUUGAAAUUCACUAUGAUUUCUUAAAGAUAAACAGCAAGCAUGCCUUAAUAAAUUGCCAUGUGUAUGAUGUAAUUAAGUUGUUUGAUCUUCAAAGAAGCAGCAGCUCAAUAGAUGUAUAAGCUAAUGUAGACCUUUGGUAUCUGGUGUUAUGGGAAUAUCUUCCAAGUACAUUAAAGAUACUCGAAAGAUCCCCAAAAUACCUACUUAGCCAAACAUCCAUACUCAAAGCUAAAGACGAUAUAACCAACUAGAUGUCAAAUUAAACUUAUUAUUAAAGUCAAAUACAAAUGAAAACAAGAAUGUUGGGACAACUUUGCAUAAAAAGAUAAGUCAGGUGCACCAAAUGGAAAAGCAUAGCAUGAAUGUAGACUACGAGUUUCAUAUACAAUUAAAAGAGUGUUAGCAGAUGAAAAGUUAUGCAAAACACAGUUGCACAACAGACAAAUCAUCUUCUUCACCAUUUUUUUAGAUGGGGGGAUCAGCAAAGGUUGUAGAGGUGGCAUAGGCGUGAGCUUUAGUAGCAGAAACAUUUAAUGGGAGCUUUAGUUGGGGUAUACCAUAUACACCAGGUGACCUCUGUGGACUGCUGGAUUGGGAUGUACAGGACCCUUAAUGACCUCGAUUGUUGCUAUGAUAAUUGAUUUGUCUACUAUCCUAAGCACUGUUAGCACCGGAUCUGUACCCUAUACUUCGACCAUUAUGCGUUUCUUUUACCUAGACAAUAUACCUUCAUACUUGGUCUGCAGCAUUUCAAGAUCUUUAGUCACCUAAGUUUGCUCCUCAAACAGUUCAUCGAGGCAUCCCUUCAAGGCUUUAUUUUCCUAAGCAGGCUUCUCUUCAUACAACUUGUGGUUUUGGAUUUUACCUUACAACUUUACCACGAUCGCUUGAGCAUUGGGGGCAGCUAUGGAAUCUUGGAAGAUAUGACUCAAGAAAAAAAGUUAUCUACAACCAACAAGAUAGAGCUAGAAUUACAAAUCCAUUCAUAUUUUAAUAGGCUUUGAGACUUGACUAUAGCGUUCGCUCAAGUCUAACCUAUCCGUCCUUACUGCAGUCACUUUAGGGUAUGUUCUUAAUGGUGUAGUGCAUAAACCUAGCCAAGGGCAAGACAUUUUUAUUUGCCACUAGAUCCAGUUCUCCUUUAGCAAAAUCCCUAGGAAGAGAGUAGAAGGACCUUAAUUUUUUUUUUUUGGGUGAAGUUGUUAAAGGAGGCACCCUGUCACGUAGUUGUUACUCCAGGAAAGUGAGGAGAUAAGGUGCCCCUGAAGCUGCUGGGGAAGAUGCCUUUUGAUUUAGUUCUUACUCUCUAGUUAUUACUCUACAAUAGUGAAGAGUCGGGUACCCUUAGCGAGAGGAGUGGUACCCAAACCAUCAGAUGAGCGACCCCUCAUUUAAUUUUUAAAAAAGGUCAAAAUCCUCAGUAAAUGGGCUCACAUCUGCUAAACAUCAUGCACCCAAAUAAGAAAAGGUCAGCUAAGCAAACACUGAAGUCCUAUAAACAGAAACAAAAAAAGAAGAGUAAGAAACACAUAAAUUAUAAAUACAAAGCACGAGAGACAACGAGGUAAAUAAAACACUUUGCACUCAAAGUGACUUAUCUUCAAAGGCAGACAAAGAGCUCUCAUCGAUCAACCUAGGUUUUCUAAUCUUUCCUCACUCAAGACGUCACUCUAUUUUUGUAAAACCAAAAUCCACUCUUCAUAAGCACUCACUUCUUUGCCCACCUCCUGAAUAAGACUUUUUUUCCUUGAUCCAUGUAACAUCUACAAGGUCACAAGGAGCCAUGGAUUGGAGGAACACUCUAAAUAAGUAAUCCAGGACAAAAGAGAAAGAAAAGAAAGGAAGGACAUUCUGUCUUCAUUGAAUGAGCUUUUGCCCUCACAUUCUUGCCAUCAGAUAGUGUAUCCCACUCCCACUUAUUAUCGGCCACAAACCAACAAUGUUUAUACCCUUUUUUAAGGUAGGUCCAUUUCCACUAGGUUACUGUGGGUGGCCCAAGUAGAAAAAUAAGUUGCGGAUAUUGGACUUCUUCAGUUGAUAAAGCCCUCUAAACUCUCAAAGAAAAAUAUCUCUCUCAGACAGUUCUAGUCAUAACAUCUGAAGGACAGUAAGAACUUUCCAUCCAAGUAAGAAUAAUUGUCCUAAGACAAUGCAGAAGUGGCUAAACAUUGUUCUGAGAAAGUGACUGGAGGGGUAGGCGAAGUCCUAGGCAAAAAAGUUAAUAUGGAGAAUUAUCUCAUCUAUCUUAAGGAAAUAUAAGGUUAAUAUAAAGAGUUAUCUCAUUUAUCCUAGGGAAAUCUAAGGUUUCAUUCUUAUUGGGCACCCUAAGAUUGAUAGAAGAAAGGAUGUUGCACUUGGUCUUAAUACGUUGUAGAUCUUACGGGGUAGCCCUCUUACCACUUAAAGAGUGAGAUUUGUUAGAUUUAGAAGCAGAGAGAGAAGGAAAUUUAAGGAUAUGGAUUGGGAUCUAUGUUUUGGCAUUCACUUUGGAUUGACUAAUAAGGAGUUUACCUUUAGACUUAGCCCUUUGAGAAUGAGAAACCAUAUGAGAAACCCGAAGACUACUAUAACCUACACCUAUACCAAAGGAGGACUCAAGGUCAUGACUAUUACUCUCUGAACUACUCGAGGAAGACCCCUCAUCCUCAAUAACCUCUAUAUAAGGGUAAGAGGGCUACCCCGUAAGAUCUACAACGUAUUAAGACCAAGUGCAACAUCCUUUCUUCUAUCAAUCUUAGGGUGCCAUUAUAGCCAAGCAUAUACACAUGAGAUAAAAAAAGAGUAAAGAAUAUACCUGAGAUUCUUUAAAAAGUAAGAUCCAAGUGCCAAAAUCCCAAUUUAAAAGUAAUUGACAAUAGUUGCCACAAAAAAGAGGAAAUAAAAUCACUAAAGAAACUAAAAAAAAAAGCGUGUGAAACGGAAAAAGAAAUGAAUAAAAUAGAUAAAGGAGCUACACAAACCUGACAGACACCAAGAAGAGGAACUGAGAUCGCUACAAAAAAGCACUAGAAUUGAGAAAAUUUUGAAGAUUUCAAUAGAGAAAAAAAAUAGAUAUAGUGAGAAAGGGACAAGUAAUUAAAAGUAGGGAUUAUGCAGUCGGGUUAGAGGAAAGUAAGAACUACCACAAUACCACCUAUCUUAAGCAAAAAGAAGAGAAAUGGGGAAUGUAUAUUAGUAGUUGAAGAAACCCGGCUUAUUUCAAAAUUUAGAAAAAAGAAAGAGAAGUCGAAGCAGAUACAUACUUGAUAGUUGAGAAGCGUGUUCUAUUUUAAAAUUUAAAAUGGAAGAGAAAAAAAAAGAUUGAAUGGUUAUCCUACUUCCCCUCAUUCCAAAGAACUUGGCCUCACAAAGAAUGUUGUUAAAAAAAAAAAACGAGAAAGAGAGAAGAAAAAAUGAAGGAGACAUGUGCCAAAAGAUAACCUAUGUGUGCAUACCCCAAGGCCUAUUGCUUACGAAUCUAAGACAGUUACUACUUACAACAUAGAGACAAUUUCCCAAGCAUAGGAACUCGUGCAACUAACUUAAAAAGAGGGAAGUAAGAUACCCCCUCCCUAAUUAGCCAUCAAUGAAGGACCGUUAGAUAUGGCCACAUGUCAUUUACUUUUGCCAUAAAAUCCAGCGAAUCUUGUUUAGGAAAGAAAUAGAAGGCUAAUAGGAAAAUGCCACAUGUCAAUAAUACUUAACAAUGGAAAAGUCACUGAGAGGAGAUUAAAAUUGUAUGCAGAUUUCAACAUAUGAAGGAAGGAAAAAGCUAUAGAAAAUAUCCAAAAUGUCUAGUAUGUGAAGUGAUAUUAUGACAAAAAAGAAUAUUGAUUCCUCCGCUGAAAAUAUGGAAUCAAUAAAGAGAUAUAUUUUGUAAAAGAGAGUACAGCAAGCUGUCAUGCAUACAAAAAGCCAAAAAAAAAAAAAAACUCACCAAAACAGUUAAGAUCAUUUGUCCUCAUCUCACACACUAAUAAUUUAGAAUAGCCUUUACAAAGGUAUGUUGGACCAUCUAAUAGAUUUGAACACAUGUAUUUGUGGAUAAGUUACGUAUAUGAUGAGCCAAUUUAUUCUCUAAGCAUGCUUCAUAGGUCGAAAUUGUCACGAGUACCAAAGGACAAGUAUAUCAUUAUACAGAAAGAGAAAGUGCUAAUGAAAUUGCGCCAAGUGCCAUGGUGGUAUGAAUACCCUAGGGCAUUAUAUAUAAAGACGCCUAGAUUUUCUCUUUCUAACUAAGCUAUUUUAAGGACUAUAAAAAAAAAGGCCAAGACUUUUCUUCUAUGUUCUUCCAAUGCCCUUAUUGAGAGCUGACUCUCAAAAUAACCCCAAAACUAAUUUGAGCUUUGGAGUGUGAUUGCUAGCCACUGAUGGCUCACCUUUAACCUCUUUUCUCUAUUUUUUGCAUGAUAAACUUAGCUCCUAACAUCGUUUCUCACUAGAUCCAACCCUUCUUAGCAGCCUUAUUAUUUUCACUCUUUCUCAAGCAUCACAGAAGACAACACAACUCGAUUACACUAAGCACCACAAUCCCCUGAUUUACAAAUUUAUUGUGUUUAGCUAAACUUCUCUCUUUAUCUAAAAUCUAGUUAGAACAAUUUGUGCCAUCUGGGUUGGGAGUGUAUAAAAAGCCUCCACAGUAGUUACCAAACAAAUCAUUGAGUGUGUUCACAUAAUGAUGGCGCCAGACAUACCCUCCAAUAAUAUGGUGCAAGAUGCGGAGAGAAUAGAAAACCAAAAUAGUGAGUACAUCAAUGAUUCAACGAAGAGAACAACUAGGCUUGACAAUAACAAGUUGGUUAAUUAGUCUAUCAUUAUUUGCAAAAGUGAAAAGCUCUUUGAUCAUGAUGAACAAAUUUUAAUGUUGGUAUUUUCAUAGCAAGGUAAUGUAUAGAAAUAGCUGCUUUAGUAGUUACCAUUAAUGAUCGGCCCAAAAUAAUGUUGUAAACUUUGGGUUAUCUGAUCCAAUGCAUCUUUGAAGAUAAUAUCCACCGAACUUCUAGAAUUGAUUAACGUUCGAGAUACUUGUCUGUUAUAAUUUUGAAUGUGAUCACCAGGGCAUUAUCAUGUGGAUAAACCAGAUUCUCUACAUAUUAUUUGAUGAAUAUGAUUGGAGUUAAGUGGGGAGUUAUGAGAGGUAAACUUCAAUUGACCAUGUUAACCUCUUUACUAUUGACAAUUCUCCUCCUGUAGGUUUUGAUUAAUCUUUUGGAACCACUGGUAAGAGUAAGACCUCCUGUUAUUAUACCCACAUAAGUACACUUCUUAGAACCGCAAGGCUUUCCUUCUUUAGCAUUCCCCCUUCAAAGUUCUUUCCUUUUUUUCCUUUUCUAUGGAUUUUUUGUCAUCUCUCAUUCUAACAACAAACUCGUUUAAAUACUUAUUAAUAAUCAACACCUCUAUUUCUUCUUGCAAUUGAAAAUACUUUACGGUUCGAUGAUGGAAGUCUUCAUAGAGCCUACAAUACUUAAAGCUUCUCAUCAUGUUAGGUUAUUUUUUUAUCGAUCGAGGUGGCCUUAAGAGACCACUAUCGCGGGUGUGGAAAAAAAUCUACUCUGGGGAUUUUUUCAAAGGAUGAUAGGAGACAUCAUGACUUUUCUUGUGGCUUUUCUCUCUCACGGUGUUCUAUGAGGGAUUCUUGGAACAUAUUGGUGGUACAUUGCCCUCGUAAUUGUUGGGUUAGCGUAAUUGAAGUGCCUCGAUGAAGUGUGCCUUUGGCUUCAUCGGGGAAUCCUCACUCUUUAUUGUGUCAAGUUUAUCCUACUGGAGUUUAAACUGACACUUAUCUUUGUACUCAAUCUAUUGUAAAUCCUUUGUCCUAGCCUUCCUAUAUAUUAGCGAUUCAACUUUUCGAGGGGGCCUCCAUAGCUUCUCUUGUUGUAGGUUCUUGUUGAAAAAUUCAAUACAUAAUUCAAAUACAUGUAUUCAAAAUUGGCGAAUGCAUCAAUUGACCAACUUGCAUACUCAUGCAUGCAUUCAACAUUGGAGAGGGAAAUUUGAAGACAAAUUACUAAGGUAGGCACCUAAUUUUUGUUGACAAAAUUAUUGGGGUUGGUGCAAUAAUGCAUCCUAUUUUUCUUAUAAACAGAAGGUAAUUCUUCAUUUGUUUGAGCAUCCAAAUUUGUGAGAUCAAAGCUCAUUCCAAGUGAGUUUUGGUAGAGAAUUUCCUUAGGUACUAAGGGAAUUUGGGUGUAUUGGGUAUUGAAUUUUUUAGAGUUUUUCAACUUUUGUAAAGUCCCAUUAUUAGUAAAAUUAUUUUCCAGUUUUUGCCCGUAAAUGUAGGCUUUAGGCCGAACCAUGUAAAAUUAUUGUGUCUUUUUUUAUUUUUACAUUUGUUUACAUCAUAUUUAUAUUUCUCUAAAAAUUGCAGUCACCGUAAUAUCAGUAAUUACUCAACCCGCACUUCCGCAACAGUUCUUUGUAAAAUGGGCUAGCAUCGUCUCAUGAUCUAAGGCUCCAGUAUGGAGAACCUUUUGGUGAAAACAGUUAAACAAAAUAUUGGUAACAUCGUCUCCCCUUACUUGAUAAAAGCUAGCUUAUAAGAGGACUUAUCUUGGUGACAGGCAUAGCUGAACUCUUGAAUGAAUUUAGAGAGCAGUUGUUGUAUGUUAGCUAUACUCCCUAGCUUUAGAGAUUGAAACCAAGACUUGGCUGGCCCAUGAGGAUAUGGGUGAACAUGCGGCACACAACUUUUUUCCCAACUCUUUUUAUAAGCAACUACUCCCAAUAUAACUCAGCAUGCUCGGUGGGGUCAAAGAUACACCCAUAUUAUGGAAUCUGAGAUAUUUUGAAGUCGGUUAGGAGAGCUGCUUGGCGAAUUUCCUUCGUGAAUGACACUAACAAACGAUCAGCGCUUGAUCCUUAGCGAUGGAGAUUUCUUUCUCGGUCAGUUUUCAAACUUGUUCCUCUAGAAUAGAAAUCUUGUCAAGAAUUUCUUUAGGUAUCUUAUGAUUUCUGGAGAAACCCUUCCCAUUCUAAGGAGAUCUCUUAGCAUUGAGCUUCUCUCGUAAAUGUUCGAUCGACUGUUUGCCACAUUUUCGGCCCCCUUACUGACACUAGAUUGACUAUUAGCAAUAAAUCUUUUAUCCUUAGAGCAAACGGGCUGUGCUUUUGAUCUAUUCGUGGCGAAGUUGAGCUGUUUGCUGCUUCGGGGACCUCUUGUUGUUGGACAUCAACCUUUUCGCCAUGAGCUUGUGCGGAGGCUUAUUUGCUUAGACCACUGUCCAGAUAUUGAGUCUACAAGCCAAUAGCACCUUCAUUUCUUGGUUUGAAAUCAAAUAUGCGAUUUUAAACCUUUCUUUUUCUUUUUUUUUUUUUAAUGUAAAAACAGAUAAGUUUACCGGUUCAAUUGGUCUUGGAUCCAACCAAAAAGAAAUCACUUGCUUUAAAAUAUUUUAAACUAUUGUAUGUUUCGACUUUUGGACCGAUUUGGCCACUGUUUACCAUUUUGAAACUAGCCUUUUUCGUUUUUCAAAUAUAGAAAAAGCAAAAAACUUAAUAUGAUUUGUUUUUAGUAGUGUAUGAAAUCUGUUCCGAAUAAAUAGUUUUCAUUUCUUAUUCCUUCUUCCUAAAAGUGGGAAACAAAAAAAUGGUUAGUAUUAUUUUUCAAAAGGUAUUUGUGCAUCUUUUUUCUUAUAUAAAACAAAUAAACAAAAUUUAAAAUAGUAAAAAUAAAUUUGCUCAUGUAAAGUAACAAAAGACGUAAAACAGGAUGAUUAGGUGAAAUUUUAAAAAAAAUUAAAACAAAGACAAAUGCAUCUAGAUUAAGGUGAUAGACUCGUUAAAUUUUGUAUUUAAUUAUUGCUAAAAUGUUAAAAAGUAAAUGCUGGACUUGUUUACUAAGUACUAUAAACAUAAAACAUAAAUUUUAUGUCUUUAUAUUUUCUUUCAUGAAGUUAAAGGACGAAGUUGUACUUGUUCUCAAAACAAAACAAAAAUGCUACACUAAGUAGCUCUUACCAAACCUUUUUUUCCUGUUUUUUAAAACGAAAAAUCAUGAGUGCAAAAUGAUACUAAAUGGGCAAAGCUACAAUGCCGGGCCUCAAUGCCCGGCAUUAUGCUGGCUUGUAAAUGCAGCCAUUGGAUUCAAGUAAAAUGAAUCCAACAGCUGAGAUUGAAAAGAAAUUAAAAAAGAGAAAAAUGGUUAACCUGUUAAACCGGUUCCCAAAGGUUGUAAAAGUAAACUUUGCUCUUUCACGGUUUCACCCACGCCAUUCCCAAUCUCAGGCACCUCUCUUUGAAAUCACAAAUUUCUCUCUAAUUUCUCUCUUCGAUUUGUUUAGUAAUCACGCAAGAUCGAAGACUCCAUCUCGUUCAAAGCAAAUAACAAGUGGAAUCCAUCAAGCAGUCACUGUCAUCCUGAGGGGUUGAAGUUGAACACAAUUUCCUCUCUUUCUUUUUCAUUUUCGAGUUAACGGCAAAGUGAGGAGGUAAUUUUGACCUUUGUGGUUUUUGUGAUGUACUAUAAAUGUUGUGUGAAAUAAUUAGAGAUUUGAAACAAUUAGAAGUUUGGUAAUUUUGAGUGAAAAAAGAUAUUUAGAUGAUGAAAAAUUGAUGUUGAAGAGAUGAUUAAUGGCUUGGAAGCAUGAAAUUGGCAAGAAAACCCUCAAACACAAUUUUUUUUUUCUAUUUUUUGGUUGAUUUUUUGAGGUUUGGUUUUUAAGUGUUAUUUUUCUAUAUGCCUUGGAAGCAUGAAAUUGGCAAGAAAACCCUCAAACACAAUUUUUUUUUUCUAUUAGAAGAAGGAAAUUAUUUUUUUAUUUUAUAUUUUCAUUUUUUUAGCUGCUGUACCGUACAUCCGCCUUGGCCGUACAGCAGGGUGUUGUUUGCUUGUUUUGAGCUCUACACUCUUUGCUAGGAAUACUAAAGAUGGGUGCUCAAUAAUUUGGUAAGAACUUACCCAUUAUUAUGGGUCCGGCCUUGAUACUACAUUUAUGUGUGGUCUAUUUUAAGAUUUGAACCAUAGCAUACAAUUAUAAAAUAGAGUACACAUAAGCUAGAAGGGGAGGACCUGGUUAGAGAGCAUGGAUACACUUUUUGUAAGUAUAAAAUCAUUGCUUUGAAUAAAGUUCUUAUUAUAACUAUCAUUUGUUGACGUAAUUAGUUGAACUAAAAUGUUGUGUACAGUAAGCAUGAAGCAGAAAAGGCCAGGCAAGAAGGGAUAAAAAAAGUUUUUACGGCGACAAUUAUUGAAAAAUGGAAGAAAUUAACGAAUGAGGAGAAGUGUCGAUUUGGUACGAUGCAUGAGGAUCCAAGUUCAAAUGUUGGUGAAAGGAGCGUAAAAAAAACAGAUGAAGAACAAAAAAUUGAGGACAAGCAUAGCCAAUGUAAUUUAUCUCGUUGUCGUGUCAACGCAUUCACUAAGGUUAUUUCCACACUGUCGCCUGACCAACAAGCUGUAAUUAGAGAAAUUGGGUUCGGAAGCAUGCUACAAUUACGAUGUGGUCGCCUGAGACAAGACUUCUGUGAAACACUUGUCUAACACUGUGAUACAAAGAGGCAUUGUAUAGUUUUGCACGGGAGAGAGUUUUGUUUAAACCCUACAACCUUCAGCAUUGUAAUGUGGAUCAAAGAUGGAGGGGAACCCGUAUACAUCUAAGACGAAGCGGGUGAUAUAAUUGAAUUGCAUGCCAAGUAUAGAACGGGUGGAAGAAGAAUUGAAAUAGCCGCAGUUAGUGAAAGAUUGAUAGCUAGUGAGAGUAGUGAUGAUGACUUUAAGAUCAUGUUUUGUUUGUUUCUUCUAGGAACUGUAUUGUGUCCCACAAGUGCGAACUACAUCAAUCUGAUGUAUCUGCAUGCCCUAAAAGAUGUGCAGUUAAUCAGGAAAACGAAUUGGGCUACAUGGUGCUUCAACUUUCUAUGGGAGGGUAUAACGAAGUAUAAAGAUCAUCAAGUGAAGUAAGUUAGUGGUUGUGUUGUGUUUUUAGAGGUAUAUUUAAGAAAUCUUAGAUGCCAUAAUUAAUGCCAAAUAUGAAAAAUAAAAUGACGUAGUCAUUGGUUUUUAAAUGAACAAUUGUUUUACUUUAGUGCUGUUUUGUAUGAUCGGUGCUCCAUGGAUAGAACAGUAUGUCCUGUUAGUGUAUGGACCAAGGAAGAGAUUCAACGCUUAUUGAAUUAGCGGAAAAAGUUUGGGGACAUGACAAGUACUGAGGUUUGUUUUAUUUUUUGUCUUGUUCACACAUGUAUUUAAUUUUGUUUAUGGUAAAUUGAAUAUAUUUUGAUUGUCAUUAUGUAUGAUUGUUGUGCAUAUUUAUUUUAGGUUCCAAUGCGUGAAUCAAAUUUUAUGCAGCUUGAAAGAAAUUUCCCUCAUUUUGAACAAACCGAAGAUGCUGGGAUGAGCACUGUUAAUAUGGAGGAAGCUUUUAGGGUGCUAACACAGUGUGUCCAGAGAAUUGAACACAAAAUGGAUUCGUUCAAUGUGAGAAUGGAAAUGGUUGAGAAGUCUUUGGCGGAAUUGAGAUCCAAGUCUCCGGUUGGUGCACCAUCAAAACAACCAUAUGAUCUAUCCCUGCCAUCACCGAGCUUGAAAAUAGUAGAACCCACAUGUCCAGUCGGAAAAACCGAGCCAACCACUGAUGGAAAAAACAAAAUGGCAAUAGAUAGCGACGAGGACUAUGUGGAUCACAGAUUGAACCUGAGCCUCGGUAAAAUAAUGGGCUGGAUUGGGACAAGAGAAGGAAUCGGUGAAUUUCACAAAGAUCCUACCCACUUUGUUGCAGGUUAUUUCCUUAUUCCACCAUCUAAUCUCCGAGAUGAGGUACAGUUUUAUAACGUCGUUUUCUAAAAAUUGUUUCGGUGAUAACUCACUUAUGAAGUAACUUACAUAUAAAUUUAUUUUUUAUAAAGGAUAUAGACGAACCAGUUGAACUUAGGUAAGAACCUCAAACAUCUACUAGUGUCAGUGUCCUACCAACGCGACCAAGUAGGAAUCGUAGGCCAGGUCAAUAUCAACUUUAACCGUACGAUCAAGUGUCGAGGGGAGCAAAUCCCAAGUAUAAAGCUGGUCCAUUUCAAGUCGAUGAUCCAGUUACGCUCGAAGAAUUGAAGCUUAUUCAAUAUGCUUUUAACAAAGAGGCUGACGGAAGGUAAAAUUCAGAAGACUGAAAUUAGUUUUCUGUAUGUGGUUGUUAUGCUAUACGACUAAAAAAUGACUGUGUUUUCUCUUUAGUGAAAUCAUUGUUUCUAGUUACGGUAAAAUUCUUAAUCGGCAUUCUUUAUUGACUCUUUUACCCGAGGCUUAUCUAUGUGGAGAGGUAUUAGGUUUCAACAUUUGGUGAUGUCACAUUAUAUGUUUGUCCUUUAUUAUAUGUUAUUAUAUAUCUCAAUCAAUAUAAUCACUUUUAGGUGAUUUUUAUGAAAGUGUAUCACCUCACCCUCAUUCAGCAGGUGGUGGAGAAAGAUAUGGCAAUGAACUGGUAUUUACCAACAAGAUAUUCUGUGAGUCUCGCCGGUGCUUUUUACAUUGUGUUUUGGUUUCUUUAUUGAAAACUUCCUUAUGCAACAUUGUCUUUAUUAUGUGUAGCAAGAAGUUCUAAUGGUCGGAGAUGAGGUGGAUUUUUUUGCAAGGGCAGCUAGAUGUGGAAAGAAUUAUAUGCAACAUGUGCAUAGGUGUCAAAAGGUUAGUUUCUUAACCUUUUACUUAUUUCAGUUUAUACUAGUGUGCUUAGUGUAUGACAUUGACAAUUGAAAUGUUAGAUUUAUGUGCCAAUAAAUGAUGAAUCAUCUCAUUGGUACCUACUGAUCGUGAACGUCAGAAAUACAGUGCAGAAAUAUGGGAUCCUCUUUCAGAUCCCCGCAGUAAUAGAAGACGACACGAUCAAGCCAUGCACAUUGUAUUUUAAUCAUGUUCUUUUUUUAGUGAUCUAUUUAACAUUAUCAGUUAUGUAUAUUGUGUUAUAUUUACAUCCAUAAUAUUGUCCGAUUUUCAACAUUGUUGACAACUAUAUUCCUUGGAUUGGAUUCUGCAGCCCCAAUUACCAAGCAAAUGCAACACUUUAAGUUCCAAGACUUUCUAAUCAACCGGGGCAUUGGAGUUCCAAAGCAAAAGAAUGGAUAUGAUUGUGGGGUUUAUGUGAUAAACUAUAUGGACAUCCCAGAAUUUAUUCUGAAGAAAUCGUCAACUUUGGUACGACUAUGCCAAACUUGUUUAAUAGUUGAACUCAAAAUUUUUGUAACUUCAUAAUUAUAUGAAAGCUACUAAUUAUAUGAAAGUAAUAUUAUUUUCCUUUCAAAUUGACCAGUACACAUCUGAGGAUGUAUGGGGUAGGCUAGCCAUUCAACUAAUUAAUUCUGCAUUGAAUGAAAAUCGAGAUAAAUUACUGGAACUAAGCAACGCUCAGUUUGCGAAUCAUGCUGCAAUGGUGAACCCUGUAUCCUCUCAAGUGCAAAAGUCAUCUCACCAACAAAGCGGCAACAUUCAUAAGAAGAAGAAAGUUAACACGAGAACGCACCUAGAUAUCGAACCACACUAGGGAAUGAUUAUGCAAGUGAUUGCAUACUAUUUUUUAUUGUAAGUUGUUUGAAACGUGUUGGGAGGUCAUAAUGUGUCUUUUUUUAUCUUUUUGAUUACGAUGGUUGUAAAAUGAAUUUUGAUUGAGAAUUAUCUUUAAAUUUAUGACAUGGUUAUGUAUUCUCGGUCGAGACAUUAUUUAACUAUAAUGAACAUAUGCAUGUUAAUAGUGUUCAUAUCUCAUCAUUUGAUACUGAACUGGUUGUCAUGUUGGUACAUGAUAGUGGAAUUCAAAUAGUUAUACAUAUUGACUCACUAUAAUGGCACUGUUUAAUGAGGUCACCAAUAGAAAACAUUAGAAAAUUGGUUGCUUGCAUGAGCUAACAAUGUUGGAUUGACACCAGCAAAGGCUCCAGGAUUCUGGGUGCUCGAUGAAUCGAAUGCGGUAAAAUUGUUUCCAUCGACACUAAAAUCAAUACCAUGAAAGUUAUUUGCAAUGAAAUGUCCAAUAAUGCAAUAAUUAAGUUAAUUAUUGUAAACAUUAAACACAUGAUAAAGAACUUAGGACAUACCUUAGUUGGGUGCUAUCAUUCCCUUGAAUAUGACAAGUUCGUGCUGUAUGCCCAACCUGACGACAUUUUCCACACUUUCUAGUGCUUUCUUCUAUACAUUUUGCUUUAGACAUAGCGCCUUUGGUCUUUACAACUGCAGGAUUAUGAACUUUUGUUCCCAUCCACACUUUUUUAUUUGGGAGACUGUUGCGUUCAGAUUGUUGUUCAUAAGUUAAUGCUAGCCGAUUGAUUUUCACCAAGGUAUUUUCGUAGGCUUCAACGUUUUUUGCUACAUUGUAGCACAUUUUAUUGUAAGCUGCAGAAAAUGUACUAAAUCCAGCCACCUCUGAAACAUUGGUGUCAACUUCUGGUUUUAUAGUCCUGCAAGUAUUGUGCUCCUUGACUUUUUUUGUCCAUCUAAGAAGAACCAUAUUGUCAGGAAUCUUUUCAAUUUGUUCCACUUUCAAGACAUGAAACAUAUGCCUACAAGGAAGCCCAACAGACUCCAUUAUUUGACAAGAGCACUAUAUGUGGUUUUCUUGUAGAUUGUGGAUGACAUUCCACCAUAUUGCUGGUGUCCCAAAUUUAGUGACUGUGUACAAAGUAGCAUUGAUAGCUUUGACAGUUUUUACUUCAAUGACCGCGCCUUCUCGCUGCAUCUCAUCUCUAACCUUCGAAAAAACCCUUAAUGGGAGCAAUUGUGCAGCAUGUUUCUCCAGGCUAUUUAAGUGCAUUCUUAAGACAAGAGCACUGUAUUUAGUUUUGAACUUAUCGGAUGUUUCUGUGGCACGAAUAUUGCAGAGAGCAUGAUCGAUUUGUCGCAUAAACUCAUACAAUUUUAGUUUAUGUUGGACAAAUCGGCUAAGAUAUGUAUUUAUACUUUCACAUCGUUGAGUGCUUCGCAUAUUAGCAAAGAAUGUUCCUCUAAGAUAAGCUUCCGCCCAGUUGCACCGCUUUGAAUACAUUUUCUGUACCCAUGCAUGAUGUUUAAGUGCGAAUUCAGCCACUACAGCUGACCAUUGGGUUUCAAAUUCAACUACCGUCAUAGGUGUCAACAUCAAAUCAUGAAAUUUUAUCAUAAAGUCUUCGUUCUUCAAAUUAGCUUGUGCAUUGCGCUCGAGAUGUCAACAACAAAGACGAUGGAUGCACCCGGUAAACAUUGUCUUUAUUGCCUUCGACAUUGCCUUGUCACCAUCAGUAAUUACAAACACGGGCUUUCGGUUGCCCAUAGUGGAGAGGAAAGUUUGCAGCAGCCACGUGUAUGAGUCAAUUGUCUCAUCUGCGAGUAAAGCAAAACCAAAAAUCGUUGUUCUGACAAGUGUAACGAGGGGUUUAUGAUAUGCAUUAGUCUUAUAUGUUGCAUCGAAUGCCAACACAUCACCAAAACACUGACAGUCAUAACGAGCUACACAAUCAGCCCAAAACAAAUUUCGUAGUCUAUUUUCAUUAUUUAGUAUGUACUAAAAAAGCAGAGUCUAGGGUCAUGUUCAGAUUUUGCCGCAAAGUAUGUUAUAGUUGUGUCUGAGUCAGAAUCUCCAACCACGGCACGAGUGGAAGCAUCUAGCGUGUUUUGCAUGUCUUUGCGUGUGAACCUUAGGUUUUGAGGCCCUUCUACCUGAUCAGCCAUGUAAUCUAUGAAUUGGAAAGUCUUCACACCAACAUGCCUUAAUGCCUUUGCUUGCGCAAGCUCUGCAUCAGUAACCUUUUCGAUGUGAAGGAAUGAGAUGAACUUCAUUAUCAGAAGCCAAAGGAUGGUUGUGCUCAGGCCUGAAUUCUUUGACGAUGUAUUUACCAACUGAUUCAUCGUAAUUCACUCAAAAUGAGACCCGACACCCGGUUUGUGUUAUAGGUCGUGGUUCUCGCACCCUACUGCAGUUUUGAGAUUGUCUUUCAUCUCUUGGCCCUUUGAAAUGACAAACCCAACAUCCAAUUGUGAUUCUUCCAGACUUUUGUCCGCGCCGCAUAUCAUCUUUCCUAACACCAAAACCAAUCAUUCGGGCAUAAUUGGUAUACCACUGUUCUGCAUCCACUACUCAGUCGAAAUGACUGCCAAAAACGUCUGAUGCAUGUAGACCAACCUUUGGAGCAAUGGAUAUUCCUAGGUUGCUAUUAUUAUGUGGGCUGCUCAUAUUUAACCCAUGUUCAACCAAAAUUUUGUUAAUAACAUAAGUUACAACCUUUAUCUUAAUAAUUUAAUAUAAUAAUAAAUAUGAAACCGUCUAUGAGCUCACAAAUCUACUACUUCUAUUACAGCACAUACCUUUGUUGGAGAGAAACUUGACUCAUGAAAAGUGGAAAACCCCUGUUCCAGAGAUGUUCAACAAGAUUUUAGAACAUAGCAUUUGGAGUGAGUGUGUUUUUUGUGAAGAAGUCUUGGACUUUAGCCUUAGAAUAAUCCCUCAUUAAUAGAGGGAAUGUGAGUUUUGUUUUCAUCAUAUUUAUUGCAAACCUAACCAACCAAACGUGCUAAUUUUAAAUGACUAACGUGAUAACGAAAUAUUUUUGGACAAGAUCCGGUCCACCGGUAAUAAUAACCGGAAAGCCGAAUCCAUUUUCAAAAUUUCUGGGAACUAUCUAGACAAUCGGAUAAUUAAACCGGUAAGCCGGUUUCGAGCAGAAUAUGAUUCGGGACGCAACCAGCUAACUAGUUUCCACUAACCGGUUAGCCGAUUAGCGUCCAGAAUCAAACUACACUCAACCGGCUAACCAGUUAGUGACAAUUAGUUUGCCGAUUUCAAGCUUCCCUCACUGGACGCUAACCGGCUAAUCGGUUAGUGAAAAUCGGUUAACCGGUUGCGUCCAGUGUGGUUUUGAAUGCUAACCGGCUAACCAGUUAGCGGAAACCGGUUAGCCGGUUGCGUCCAGUGUGCUUCUGGACGCUAACCGACUAACUGGUUAGUGACAAACGGUUAGCCGGUUUCGCGAUACACCAACUAUUUCUUCUUCUUCCUUCUUCUUUCGGCAAUCUAGAAACUACUCUCUCUCUAAAAAUCGAUUUUUCCUCUCUCUAUCUCACGCCAAAAUCCUUCAGUUCCACUCGUUUUCGAUUCCAAUCGAUUCGUAAAACUUAUUCCCCAUCCAUUCUUGUGUCCAAAAUUAUCUUUCAAAUCCAGUUUCAACCUCAACAUCACUAGAUCCGAAAUCAAAUCUAGGGUUUGAACUGAAAUUUUCUCUCUCUAGAUUUCUUCCUCUUAAACGUAUUCCCCAUCCAUUCUUACCGGAUUUCAUAAACGGUAUGCCGCUUAUCACAAAAAAUUCGUGUGUUUGUUUUUCUUUUCCUUUAUUGUGUUUUUAUCAAAUUUAUUGCUUUCAAAUUUACUAAGGCUUUAGAUUGGAUAUUUGUUAGGAUAAGUUUUAAAAUACCAAUUCACCCCCCUCUUGGGUUGCACAACUUGUAUUUCAAUAAACAUCAAACAUGAAACCAGGGCGGCCCAACAUGCAACAAAAAACGUUAAACAUGAAACUUACAAUACUUCACACGAAAUAUACAACUUAUCACGUAAAGUUUGCAACGUUGACGUCAAACAUGAAACGGCCGAGAAUAUUUGAGAAUAUUAGUUAUUUUGGCUUUAUCCAAGACAUGCAACAACUAACGUCAAACAUGCAAUCGCGACGUCGGAAAUGCAACAACUGACGUUAAACAUGAAAUUUGCAACACUUCACGCCAAAUAUACAAUUGAUUACGUAAAAUUUUCAACGUUGACGUCAAACAUGAAACAACCGAGAAUAUUCUUUAUUUUGGCUUUAUCCAAAACAUGCAACAACUAACGUCAAACAUGCAAUCGCGACGUCAGAAAUGCAACAACUGACGUUAAACAUAAAACUUGCAACACUUCAUGCCAAAUAUAUAACUGAUCACGUAAAAUUUGCAACGUUGACGUCAAACAUGAAACGGCCGAGAAUAUUCAAAAAUAUUCUUUAUUAUGGCUUUAUCCAAAACAUGCAACAAUUAACGUCAAACAUGCAAUCCCAACGUCGGAUAUGUAACAACAGACGUUAAACAUGAAACUUGCAAUACUUCAUGCCAAAUAUACAACUGAACACGUAAAAUUUGCAACGUUAACUUCAAACAUGAAACAACCGAGAAUAUUCAAGAAUAUUCAAGAAUAUUCUUUAUUUUGGCUUUUUCCAAAACAUGCAACAACUAACGUCAAACAUGCAAUCGUGACGUCGGAAAUGUAACAACUAACGUUAAACAUGAAACUUGCAACACUUCACGCCAAAUAUACAACUUAUAACGUAAAAUUUACAAUGUUGAUAUUAAACAUGAAACGGCCAAGAAUAUUCGAGAAUAUUCUUUAUUUUGGCUUUAUCCAAAACAUGCAACAACUAAUGUCAAACAUGCAAUCCCGACGUCGGACAUGCAACAACUGACGUUAAACAUGAAACUUGCAACACUUCAUGCCAAAUAUAUAACUGAUCACGUAAAAUUUGCAACGUUGACGUCAAACAUGAAACGGCCGAGAAUAUUCAAGAAUAUUCGUUAUUUUGGCUUUAUCCAAAACAUGUAAUAACUAACGUCAAACAUGCAAUUCCGACGUCGGACAUGCAACAACUGACGUUAAACAUGAAACUUACAACACUUCAUGCCAAAUAUAUAACUUAUUCAAGACAUGCAAUAGCUAACGUCAAACAUACAACCGGGACUUCAGACGUGCAACAACUGACAUUAAACAUGAAAUACUGUUUUUUUAAUUUUCAAUUUAUUUAUUUUUUCACAUUUUAUUUAAUUAUAUUAUAUUGUAUUUUAUUAUUCAAUUUCUUUAUCUUUUGCUAUCAAUGAUAUUAUAAAAUACUAUUUUUUGACAUUUUAUUUAAUUUUUCUAUUUAAUUUUUCAUAUUUUUUUUUAAAAAAGGUGCAACCGGUUUGUUAACCGGCUGCACCAAGUCUUUGGCUGCCAAAGGCAGCCGGGCACUCUUUUUGAGAGCCCGGCACGGUGCCGGCUACAAUGCCGAACCUAAAUGCCCUUCUUUCUAAAUGAGUCCCACACUGCACGGAAAGUCAUCAAAGUGUCACAUUUCCCUUUAUCGUUAUGAGUCCAACUCCAAUAUUUAUUAAUUAUUUGAUUUAAUUACUUUUUUUUAAAAUGAACUUCUCAGUAUUUCUAUUAAAAAAAAAUUCAGAAGAAACAAGUUAAAUGUUGUGAAAAAUCUUUCACCUAUAUAAAAAAAUUACAGCAGUUAAAGAGUAAAUUUUGCUGAAGCAUCUACUGUCUAGCUGCAAGUUCAAAGUAUAUGGUAAAAUCCUACUUCAACACCUGUAGAUACUAGAUAUUAUUCCUUAAAACUUAUAAAAAAUAGUUUAGUAUGGGUACUCUACUAUUUGUCACCAACCGAACCACUAGUAAUGAAUUUGACUCGAUAAUUAAUAGAGAUGAACUAAUCUCGUUUGCUAGCCAGAGACCAAAGCAUAAAGCUUCUGCCUCAACAAUAUCGAGGUCAUUGAAUUGGUACCAAAAUCACCCCUGUCGCCAUAACGAAUCCACCAUGAUUAUGUACUAUAGCUACUAUGAUUAUGUACUAGAGCUACGUAGCUAACCUUCCCAAACUCAAUAUCCACAGACGCAUCUAUUAUGCUUAAACCAUCCAUGAACUGCUGCCUGUCAUCUAUUAGAAACCAAAACAGAAUCUUCCAUACCAAACCUCACACUAUCCAUAUGGCCAUGUUUCACAUUAUCCGACACCCUUUCUGCAUAGACCACCACACAUGUAGGUUUGAUAGUUACUCCCUAAAAAUGGGAAAAAUUCAAAUUAUCCAUUUGGGUUCAAAUACGAGGUAAAGAAGAGCGCGUUAAUUUUUUUUUUCUUCUUAAAAAUAAAAUAAAUCGAUAUUUUAACACUUUCAUGGGAUAAAUUAAUAUUUACUCUCAGAAAAAUAAAACAAUUAAACAAACAUAUGUUUUGUGGGAUAAGCGAGCAAAAAUUUUAGUUUAUCAAACCUAAGUUAAUUGAAAAAAAGAAUUACGUUCAUCAUAGUAAUUAUAAAUAAAAUAGAAUAAUUAGUUUUAAAGUAAUAAAAUAGAAUAAUUGUAAAUUGAUUUAAUUUUUAAUUUUUCUUAUUUUUAGUAUUUAACUUUUUUAUUAGAGUUUCAAUUUAAUUGAUCUAUUUAAUAUAUAAGAUAUAUGAAUAAAAUUAUGGUGAGAAAAAAUUAUUGAGUAUAAUAAAAAUAAUCAGAAAAUAAGUGGUAUACAGUGAUUUUAUUAGAGGAAAACUGAAAAUCUCCCCCACUAGUCAACAUAAAGCCAUCCAAAAAGUAUUGUAAAACUUUGGAUUGUUAAUAAAGAUCUUCUAGUUUAUCAUAAAAUAUUCAUGGAUGAAAGAAAUGAUGCCUAUUUGACCCAUGAAUAUCUAAUCUCAAUAAAUUUUAAAAAAAAUUGGGAUACAAAAAAAAGGGUUAUUAUUAUUUUACCAGUUAAUGUUUUUUGAUAUAUUACUUUACUACUAAAAUAUUCUAAAUAUUACUUUUUCUCCCUUAAUAUUUUAGUUUUUUUAUCAUUUUACUACCAAGACCAGUAAAAAUAAUAGAAUUAUAAUAAAAGUCUAUUUUAUCCUAAACUGUAUAAGUACAAUUUAAUCCUCUAACUUUAAAAAAUACAACAAUAAUUAUGUAUAAAGAGAUUGUGCUUUUAUCAAUCAAUUAUUUUAAAUAUCCAAAAUAAUCAAUUGAUAAAAUUGUAAAUAAUGAAUACCAUGACUAUUUUCAACAUUCAUCUUUCGUCUUUUUUUUUUUUUUCAUGUGUGUUACAUUUGACUAUUUUCAACAUUCAUCUUUCGUCUUUUUUUUUUUUUUUCAUGUGUGUUACAUUUUCUUAAUUAAUAUGUAAUAUAAAGCAUAAUAAUUGGAGAUGAAUGCGGUUGGUUAAUUUAUGUUUUUCUUGAAAUUAACUUUCAUAUAUUUUUAACAAUUUCGUUGACAGCUCAUUACAAGGACUCGAACUUGAAUUCAAAGACUUCAAGGUAGCGAAUUAGCAAUAAAAUUAACCUCCAUAUCUCUCAUAAAAUCAAUUUGCGAUGUCCCUCUCAAUCGUGAAGCAAUUGAUCAAGAUUGAUGUAUGUUGUUUGCAUGGAAUGGGUAGGGUAGUUUUUGGAGGUCAUAACUUGAGGUAUAGGUGUCCGUUUUAGAAGUGUAACAUACAAUUUCAAAGCUUGCAACAAGAAGAACCAAACCCAGAACCAUUUGUGCUGUUCUGCCCAAUGGUUGAACUAAAAAUUUCACUUCUUUCCUAGUCAUUUUUUUAGUUUUAAGAUAUUUUUCUGUUUUUCCUGUUACUUUUAGGAUUUUUAUCUUUUUCUCUAGAUUUUGGAUUUAGGUGCUUUUUGUUUUGUUUUUCUUAUUUAAACUAGUAAAAUUUUAUAAUAAAUAAUAUUUUAGAUUUUCCAAAUUUGAUAAAUUUGGGAUAUUUAAGGUUACUAUAUAAAGGAGGUCUAAACCCUAGUUUUGUUAAUUCAAAUUUAUUUAGUAAACUUCAUUAUUCAGAAACAUUUAUUUCAUUUAUCUUUCAACCUAUAACGUUUCCGUUUCAUCAAAGAUGAGCAAGAUUUUAAAUAUGCAGAUAUGUUGAGAAUAGUUUUUGAGUUGAGGAUUCUUUUAGUAUUAUGGCGCCGCUGCUUUUAAUCAGUCUCAUUCGUUGUGAAAUGACAAUUGAUAGGGCUCGGUAAAUAUAACUUUUAAAAUUAAUAUUUGAUGAAAUAAUAUAUCCUUAACAAUCAAUCCAUCAAUCGUGUCAAUUAUUGUGCCAAGGGCAAAUUGUAUGAUAUAAUUGAAGCUAUAGUUCUUGAGAGUUUGAGAUGAGGCUGUAAAUGAAAAAGUAAAAAAGCAAAUGUAAAACUAACCAAAUUAGGUAGAUAACAUAGAGCAUCAUGAAUUAUUAAGAAAUAUUAAUUGAAACACAUAUAAUUGUACAUAAUACAAGAGAGAAGACAAGGAACACUGCGUAAAAUACACGUGAAUCAGCCAGUAAAAAAAUAAAGAAAAAAUAAAUUGAAAAUAUCACAAGCACAAUGCGUAUAUAAUUUAUCUUCCAGUAUAAUGCCAAACGUACUUUAUGAAAGUUCACGACACAUGAAAUCCAACGACGAUGAAACAAUAUGACGCAGCAUGGUAAUUUACGGAUUAGAAGUUGAAUGAGUUGGCUUAGCAAUUUCCGGAAGAUGAGGGAAAAAAGGCAGUUCAGGAAGAUUUGGCAGCUCAGGCUUUGGAAUCUCUGGAAAUUCAGGUAGUUCUGGUAACUCAGGUUCUGGAAACUCUGGUAGCUCAGGUUGUGGAAUUUCUGGCACUUCAAGUUUCUUUGGUAACUUAGGUUCUGGAAUUUCAGGCAAUUCAGGGACUUUUGGGAGCUCAGGUUUUGGAAUCUCGGGUAACUCGGGUUUUGAUAGUGGUGGCAAUUCAACUUUAGGCAAUUCAGGUUUCGACAAUGGUGGUAAUUCAAACUUAGGCAAUUCGGGCUUAGGUAUCUCUGGCAACGCUGUCUCGAGGAGAAGUCUAGCACCUACUGCAUUAAUAUUGUUGCACAUUAACGAGAAAGUAAUAAGUAGAAGUGUUAAGAAAAAAGAUGGAAAAGAUUUAUAAGCCAUAGUUUGAGAUGAGGAUGCGCAAUAGGGUUAUAUCAAUCAAUUGAAAGAACUAAUGCACGUGCUUUUGUGCAUGACUGCAUGGGUUUUCAUGUGAAUGGCCUUUUAUAGAUAUGUGAGAAGUGGAGAAAAGGUGUUUUUCAGUUAAGGUUUGGUAUGACAAAGAGAAUGAAGGAAAAAAAAUAAAAUUCAAUCCUGUUAAUUAGUUCAACUUCUCACCUGCAUUACUUGCAUGAAUAAACAUGAUGAAAAGUUUCUUGCCAACCACUUUGUAGAUACGCAUGGUUAUAUUUUGUGACUUUCUUGCCUAGAUUUUUUUCUUUUUUUUUCACAGACUUUUAGAAUUUAUAUUCAAAGCCAUACUCUAAGGGACGGAUACGUAUAUUUUUAAGAAGAAUAAUAUAUUAUUAUUUGUUUUAUUAUUUUUGGACAGUAAUAUAUCAUUUUAUUGUUCAACAGUUAAACAUGCAACUAAUAUAUUCCAAAUUCUUUGUGCAUGUUUUCUUGUUAUGGUUAUUAAUUAAGCAAGCACUCUCUCUAGCCUGACAUGCAUGCAAUACUUCACGUAUAACCAAUCCCAAGAUUGAGUGCAAGCUAACCCGAUUAUCAUUUGUUUUUAUUCUAUUCCAAAAAUUUUCCUUUUUUCUUGUAAAUACUUCAUCUAGUUUUUAAUUUUUUUAAUUAAUAAAACUCAAUUAGUAUUUUGUUAUUUCUUUUGUUUGACAAUCUUAUUUUCACUCUACACACAAAAUUAAAAAAGUUUUAUUACCAACAAAGUGUUGGCUCCACUGGUAAUGGAGUCCCCUUAAGUGGUUUGACUGGGUUUGCUCCCCAGUUCGAGUCGUAGGGAAGUCUCAUUUGUUGGGAGAACCUGUGCCUCUCGGUUCGAGCGGAGAUUUCUAGUCUGGGUUGUUGUACGGGCUUAAAGGUGUCUCCCACAGUUGGGGCCCUCCCCAGGAUACCUCGUAAUCAAAACAAAAAAAAAAGAUUUAUUGAUGAUGAAUUUUUUAAUGUCAUUUAUUGACUUAAAUUAUACAUAUUUUAAAGGGAAAAUGACACCUACAACCCAAAUAUUUGGAAAAACGGUCGUAAAGACCCCCAAGUUUUCAAAAGGGACAUCAAAAUCAUUUUUUAACAAUAAUACCCUUUGAAUUUAGUAAUGAGAAAGUUAACUUUGAAGUUUUUUAAUUAACAAAAUUAAAUAUAAAUAAUAUAUUCUAUCUAGUAGACUAAAUAAUACAAUUAUUUUUUAUAAUAUUCAAAAUUAUUUUGAUUUUAAUAUAUUAAUUUUAAUAUUAUUUUUCUAUUUAUUAUUAAAAUUAAUUUAAUAUAAUAAAUUAGGUCUAAUAGAUUGUAAAAUAUAAAAAUAUUUUUAAAUAUCAAAAUUAUUUUAAAAUGUAUGUAUUAUUACAUUUAUUUUAAUGCCAUAUUUCCAUUUAUUAUAAAAUUUUGUGGUCAAUUUUUUGGAUUUAUAAAUCAAAGGGUAUGAUAGCAAAAGAGGAUUUUGGUGUCCCUUAUUGAAAACUUGAGGAUCUUUGUGACUAUUUUCCCAAACCUUAAUAUUUAAUUAAUUAGAUAAGACUGACUAUUUUCCCAAACCCUAAUAUUUUAUAUUCCCAAACCUUAAUAUUAUUUUAUGUAAAAUAAUAUUUAAUUAAUUAGAAAUAGGAAAAGAACAAUAUAUUAUUAUGAAUUUAUGCAAUUUAUUUUGGUUCGAUAGGACGAAUUGACAGGUUAAAAAUUAAAAACAAACGAGUUAAUAAUGAAUGCAAGUAAUUUAUUGAAUAAAACUUAAGUGUGUUUAAUUAUUAUUUGUCUUUAAAUGUAAUUUUAAAUAAAGUAGGGUUUUAUAGGAAAUAAAGAAGGGGUGCGAAUAACUUCACUCUAAUUCCUGCUGAACAUUAUACAAUAAACUUAAAGCAUGUACGAGUACUAGGAAGUGCAUCUGAAUGAUGUGAUCUCAAAUUAACGUUUCCGAAGCAGAAGAUAAUGUUAGUUGAAAUCUUGCAAUCUGUUUAAAGACUCUAUGUCUCAUUAUCCGACCAUACACGAACAUGGCGAUUGGAGAUUUGAUUCAGACGUAUGACAUCCAGAAAAUGCCUGAUUAGGUCGUUAGUACGUUAAGUGAUACAUGUACGCUGCACCUGUUACAACUCAAAACAAAUAUCCUAAGGUGGUGUUUGGUUGGGAGUAGAGAAUGUAGGAGAGGAAAGUAAUUUAAAUUCUCUUUUUAUUUUCAUUGUUUGGUUUGACAAAAUAUAUAAGAAUUUAAUUUCCAUUAGAAUUUAAUAUCCAUUAGAAUUUAAUAGCCAUCAUAAUGUAGAAUUUGAAUUCUACACUAAGUAGUGAAGAAUUUAAAUUCUUCUUAUAUUAGAAACCAAAGUUUCCAAAAUUACCCUUCAACUUUUUAACUUAUUUAAUGCCAUUAAUAAUUAUUAUUUAUAAAUUUAUUUUAUUGAUUUAAUAUUAUAAAUGGACCUCCACCGGAAAGUCGCCGGACCACCGCCGGAAGGUCCCAGACCUCCGCCGAACCUCGCUGGAAGGUUGCUGGACCACUGUCGGACCUCGCCCUGCUGUACCGUACAUCNNNNNNNNNNNNNNNNNNNNNNNNNNNNNNNNNNNNNNNNNNNNNNNNNNNNNNNNNNNNNNNNNUAUAUAUAUAUAUAUAGUUUAAUAUUUAAGUUAAAGGAUAAAUUUGUCUAAAGAGAAAAAUUAUAAUUCAUUUUCUUAUCAAAUUUUAUAUCAAACCGAACAACAAAAUCUAAUUUCACUACUCUUCUCCAUUCAUUUCUUCUCCCUUCCUCUCCAUUCCACUCUUUUCCUCUCCUCCAUUUUCUUCAAACCAAACAUGACCUAAAACGACAAAUACCAUUGUGUGCUGUUUUGAUCACUCAAAAUGGCAUGAGCUUGUCUCAUAUUAGAUUUAUCAAGGGUAGCCCUGAAAUUUUUUUUCUUUUUUCUUUUAUCAGUAAGAUUUUAAUUGUAAUAUAUCGGUGUAUUAAAAAGAAAUGGCACGAGCUUGCCACGUGGGCCAAGAUAGCUCAAAGGCUAUUAAGAUGUUUGGUUUUGGCUGAAAACAUUUGGGUUUGUUGCAACAAAUCUAGAAAUGGCUGACUAGUGGAAGAUUCCAAAAGGUCAUCGUGGGAGCCAUGCUUGAUUUGAAUAAAUAAAAGGAGAGUGGAAGAAAAGAAAUGAGGAGAUGGGAAAGAAAUAAGAAGAAAAGAGAUGAAUUUCAUGUUAAACUAUACAAUGAAGUUUUAGAAUGAUUAUUUUUUCCUCUCAUUUUAUUUUCUCCUCUCUCCUUUUCAUUCCUUUUCUCUUCUCUUGUUUCUUCCAACUAAACAUGGACUUAAAAGAUCAUUUUUAUGUUAUGUUAGGAUAUAUAUUUUUGGGGAAUGGCCAAUAUGGAGAAUUACAGUAAUAAUAGUGAAACUUUGUUCUAUAAAGAAAUGUGUUUACAACUCUGUAUGUAGAAAGAAAAUAAUAGUAAUAGGUAAACUGUAGAAAAAUAAUGUGUACUUUAAGGCAUGUUACAAAUGUCGCUUUUCUUACACUACAAGAAAAAUGACCUAUUAUGAUAGGUAAAAACUGUCAUCUUAGGGGGUAGAUGACGGUUAUCCUUACCGUCAUUAUAGCCAGCGUCAAGAAAAGAUGACAGAUAAAAUUGCGUCACAAGUUGUGAUAGAUUUUACCUAUCAUAAUUAUGUCAUACUACUUAGAAGAAGGAAAUUAUUUUUUUAUUUUAUAUUUUCAUUUUUUUAGAGAUGAUGGAAAACCUCAUGAUCCACCAUUCACUCUACAUCAAAUAUGCAAGACAAAUAGUAAUAAAGGUGGGCUGCUCGCCUACCCUUAUGCAAGAUGGUCAAAAAUAUCAUGAUCCGCUAUUCGCGUAGAAUCAAAUAGACAACAUAGAUUGAGAUAAAGGUGGCUGCUCGCCUACCCUUAUGUGAUAUGGUCGAAAACCUCAUGAUCCACCAUUCGCUGGAAUCAAAUAAACAAUAUAGAUUGAGAUAAAGGUGGCUGCUCGCCUACCCUUAUGCGAUAUGGUCGAAAACCUCAUGAUCCACCAUUCGCUGGAAUCAAAUAGAUAAUAUAGAUUGAGAUAAAGGUGGCUGCUCGCCUACCCUUAUGCGAUAUGGUCGAAAACCUCAUGAUCCACCAUUCGCUGGAAUCAAAUAGACAACAUAGAUUGAGAUGAAGGUAGCUGCUCGCCUACCCUUAUGCGAGAUGGUCGAAAACCUCAUGAUCCACCAUUCGCAUGGAAUCCAAUAGACAAUAUAAAUAAAGAUGAAGGUGGCUGCUCGCCUACCCUUAUGCGAAAUGAUUGAAACCUCAUGAUCGACCAUUCGCUCAGAAUCAAAUAUGGCGAACAAAUAAUGAUAAAGGCGGCUUUGAUGUUGAGUAUAUUAUCAUAAUUGGAGAUAGGUCAGGUACCUCGGGUACCCUGGAGUAAGAUGAUCUCUGCAUACCCUCUUGCAUCAUAAUAAACAAUACUUUUACUAGUGUUUUCAACUGAUUUUGGGGUAGGAAAAGCCAAAAUCUAUCUUAAACAAUGAAUUUAUAUUUUUGGGGGAGAUGGGGUACCUCACUGGUUUGUUGUGUGCGGUGCAUCUGAAAUUCGUGGGGGAGGUGAAAAGGAGAGAGAGAGUGGUAACAAUGGUGGAAGGUCAGAAACAAGAGAGAUGUCCUUCCAAAAUGAGCUUCACGCCUGCAAAACAGUGAAAUGGAGGUUAGAGGUGAAGCCGGGGUACCCCGGCGUUCACACUCCGACGCUCAAGUUAGCAAACUCAAGCUUUUAUGGCAAAGAGAGCUGGCUAGCCCUCUGUAAAUUAGGGUUUAAGGUUGAAGAAAACCUAUUUUUUGGAGUGUGAGUGUUCAUGGUGAGUGAGAGCCUCCUGGAGAAUGAAACCUAGGCACCUUUAUAUAUGGAGUACCUCAGCUGCCACGUGGCGUACCCUUUUUGGCUAACGUCCUUUUACCUCUUUAUAAUUGUCUUUGGGCCGUUAUUUGCAUGUUCGCGGCGUAUCUCAUCUUUUGGAAACGUGGCGCGCGCUGGAGAGUGGUCCAGGGUACCUCUGCAGUAGCUGUCGGGUAGGCGGCUAGGGACCACUGUCCUUGGGACAGUGUCCUUCACUUUUGGCAGAGGUAGCAGGCGGCUGUCCCCCCUUUUUGGUACGACGUUCUUGAUUCAUAAUUCUGACAAAAUCGAAUAAUAUCUUUUAGGAGGCGGAGNNNNNNNNNNNNNNNNNNNNNNNNNNNNNNNNNNNNNNNNNNNNNNNNNNNNNNNNNNNNNNNNNNNNNNNNNNNNNNNNNNNNNNNNNNNNNNNNNNNNNNNNNNNNNNNNNNNNNNNNNNNNNNNNNNNNNNNNNNNNNNNNNNNNNNNNNNNNNNNNNNNNNNNNNNNNNNNNNNNNNNNNNNNNNNNNNNNNNNNNNNNNNNNNNNNNNNNNNNNNNNNNNNNNNNNNNNNNNNNNNNNNNNNNNNNNNNNNNNNNNNNNNNNNNNNNNNNNNNNNNNNNNNNNNNNNNNNNNNNNNNNNNNNNNNNNNNNNNNNNNNNNNNNNNNNNNNNNNNNNNNNNNNNNNNNNNNNNNNNNNNNNNNNNNNNNNNNNNNNNNNNNNNNNNNNNNNNNNNNNNNNNNNNNNNNNNNNNNNNNNNNNNNNNNNNNNNNNNNNNNNNNNNNNNNNNNNNNNNNNNNNNNNNNNNNNNNNNNNNNNNNNNNNNNNNNNNNNNNNNNNNNNNNNNNNNNNNNNNNNNNNNNNNNNNNNNNNNNNNNNNNNNNNNNNNNNNNNNNNNNNNNNNNNNNNNNNNNNNNNNNNNNNNNNNNNNNNNNNNNNNNNNNNNNNNNNNNNNNNNNNNNNNNNNNNNNNNNNNNNNNNNNNNNNNNNNNNNNNNNNNNNNNNNNNNNNNNNNNNNNNNNNNNNNNNNNNNNNNNNNNNNNUUAUUUGCAUGUUCGCGGCGUAUCUCAUCUUUUGGAAACGUGGCGCGCGCUGGAGAGUGGUCCAGGGUACCUCUGCAGUAGCUGUCGGGUAGGCGGCUAGGGACCACUGUCCUUGGGACAGUGUCCUUCACUUUUGGCAGAGGUAGCAGGCGGCUGUCCCUCCUUUUAGCACGUCGCUUUUGAUUCCUAAUUCUGACAAAAUCAAAUGAUAUCUUUUAGGAGGCGGAGACGUUUCUCAUGGCGGGUAUUUUCGGUGGAUUCUCUUGCAUUCGCUUUUCCGGAUACCUCGAAUUACAUGGGGUACCCCCUAUUACGCUGGGUACCCCUAUCUGUAUGGGGUACCUCUAUUUGUAUGGGAUACCUCUAAUUAUGCAGGGGACCUCCGAUUGUGCUGAUAUCAUUCCAUUGGCUGACACGUGGCGCUCUAUUACCUUUCCUGCUUUUCCCUCAAACAACAUCCCCCUAGUUUCUUUUUUUUUGGGAUAUCAAUUGUGUGUAUGACUAGUAUUUUCUAUCACAUUUUUUUAAAAAAAAUUGAUUAUUUAUUUUAUUUAUUAAUUUAAAAUAAAAAUUAUGAAAUUUAAAAAUUUAAAUUAUUAAAAUUAUUAAAAUUAUAUGAAAGAAAAUAAAUUACCUGCUGUACCGUACAUCCGCCUUGGCCGUACAGCAGUAAUGCUUUUUUUUAUAUGUAUAUUUAUAAUUUCAGUGUGAGUAUGUAUAAUGAGACAUGAGCUAUGCAAGUUUUGAAUACAUAUAUAUUUUUAGAAAAAGGCUCAGAGGUUGUUACGUGCUUAUAGUAAAGGUCAUAUUAUAUACAUAUAUUCAUGAAUUAAAUUUGUGCCACGAGUUUUAGCUACUAGAUCGCAUGAUUCGCCUCGGAUUCGACAUAUAGAUCAGGGCGGGUCUUGUCAGAUAAUGAUUCUGUCAUUUAUGUCUUUAUUGCCUUGCCUUUUUCUUUUGGCUUAUAUUCCCUUUUUGCUUUAGCUUUAGCUUUUCCUUUGUCAAAAUGGUCAGUCGAACUUGGAUCAUGAUUAUCGAGCUUGCACUUGAGGUCAUCAAUGGUUACUCCUUCUGAUAAGAAUCAUACUUUCACGUACAUCAGCCUUGGCCGUACAGCAGCACAUCUAUUUCCUACAAACAAAAUAUUGCCAUCACAUGCAUUCUCAAUAAUACAUCUAGUUUUAUAAAAAAAACAUUUUAAGGCUUUGAGAGCAAUGCUUUUCUUCUUCUCCUCAUUUCCUUUUUCUUCUGCCAAGUCUUUCUCAUAAGAAAUAAGAGAACUAAUCAAAUCAUCAAUAGAUAAGGUAUUUAAAUCUUUGGCUUCCUCAAUGGCAGUCCUCUUAGGUCUCCAUUCCUUUGGAAGUGACCUAAUAAUUUUCUUAACUUUCUCGCUAUUUAAGAAGGUCUUUCCUAGGGCUCCUAGAGUGUUUACUAUGUCCAUAAAUUUAGUAUAUAUAAAAUACACACUCUCAUUUUGUUNNNNNNNNNNNNNNNNNNNNNNNNNNNNNNNNNNNNNNNNNNNNNNNNNNNNNNNNNNNNNNNNNNNNNNNNNNNNNNNNNNNNNNNNNNNNNNNNNNNNNNNNNNNNNNNNNNNNNNNNNNNNNNNNNNNNNNNNNNNNNNNNNNNNNNNNNNNNNNNNNNNNNNNNNNNNNNNNNNNNNNNNNNNNNNNNNNNNNNNNNNNNNNNNNNNNNNNNNNNNNNNNNNNNNNNNNNNNNNNNNNNNNNNNNNNNNNNNNNNNNNNNNNNNNNNNNNNNNNNNNNNNNNNNNNNNNNNNNNNNNNNNNNNNNNNNNNNNNNNNNNNNNNNNNNNNNNNNNNNNNNNNNNNNNNNNNNNNNNNNNNNNNNNNNNNNNNNNNNNNNNNNNNNNNNNNNNNNNNNNNNNNNNNNNNNNNNNNNNNNNNNNNNNNNNNNNNNNNNNNNNNNNNNNNNNNNNNNNNNNNNNNNNNNNNNNNNNNNNNNNNNNNNNNNNNNNNNNNNNNNNNNNNNNNNNNNNNNNNNNNNNNNNNNNNNNNNNNNNNNNNNNNNNNNNNNNNNNNNNNNNNNNNNNNNNNNNNNNNNNNNNNNNNNNNNNNNNNNNNNNNNNNNNNNNNNNNNNNNNNNNNNNNNNNNNNNNNNNNNNNNNNNNNNNNNNNNNNNNNNNNNNNNNNNNNNNNNNNNNNNNNNNNNNNNNNNNNNNNNNNNNNNNNNNNNNNNNNNNNNNNNNNNNNNNNNNNNNNNNNNNNNNNNNNNNNNNNNNNNNNNNNNNNNNNNNNNNNNNNNNNNNNNNNNNNNNNNNNNNNNNNNNNNNNNNNNNNNNNNNNNNNNNNNNNNNNNNNNNNNNNNNNNNNNNNNNNNNNNNNNNNNNNNAAAAAAAAAUUAGUUAUUAGAAAACCCCAAUGAUAAAGCAGCCUAGAUAAUAUCCCAACACCCAUCACGAUUAAAUUGGCAGGGAUCUUUACAGUCUAAAUCAAAUUAAUUUAACAAUAAAACUAUAAUAAUUAAAUUCCAAAAAAAUCAAAUAAAUGUUUAAAAUUCCAUAAAUAAAGAAACAUAGAAGACCAAUCAAAUAGAUCCAAAUUUAACAAGAGCACACCUAGGAUUUUCAAGUUUUACACGUACAGGGUUCAAAUUUGACAAGAAAACAUCUAGGUUUUACAAGAUUUAGGUGUGUAGGGUUCGAAUUUGACAAGAACACAUCUAGGGUUUUUAAGUUUACAUAUAUAGGGUUCGAGUUUGACAAGAACAUUAAAAUUGAAAUGGAACACAACACUAGAAAUAUUAUUUACCUGUAUUGAUCGAACGGUUACAAUAGUGGGUGAGCGUGGGCUCUCAGUUAGGGUAUUGAAAUUCAAUAGUAGAAGCACAUGCGUUUGGUGGGUAUUCCAUAUAUUUCUCGGUGAGAGCCAAAAUUGAUAGUCAAAUACAAGAGAAUGGCGGCAGUGGUUCAGUGCCCAUGCAAGGAUUUCGGGUGAAAAGGGCUUUGUGAGUGUGAGAUUGACGAGAGUGACUGAGCGAGAGACGAGAGUGAGUGAGAGUGCCGACACUUAGGGAAAAAAAAUUCGAUUAGUGAAAACUGAAGAGGGUUUUGUUUUUAUUUAGCUUCAAUCUAAACGGUGUCGUUUCUUGUCCAAAGAGAAACUUUUAAUCCAAACGGUACCGUUUAUUCUUUAUUUAUUUUUUUCAUUCAUUUUAAAAUUUUCAGUCAACCUUGUGAAAUAAAGUCAAAAUAAAAAAGCUACUUGAUGAUCUAAAUUAUAUCACAAACUUGUCAUUACUUCUUGAUAACCAAAUAAUUUAUCAUCAGUCUAUCAUAAGUGCUUGAUAGAUGAAAUUUCUAUCACAAGUAUGUCAUAAAUGAAUGAUAGAAAAAAAAUUUAUCAUCCAUCUAUCGUAGUAGCUCUGCAGACCAAAAACUGUCACACAGAGGACUGUCAUGGUAGGUCAUUUUUCUUGUAGUGUUAAUACGUUAUUUGUUCCCCCAAUUAAGCGAUGCACAUAGAUUAAGAAAAUACGCCUCUAGGAUACAAUUAAUGAAAGCAAACCUAAACACUUUUGAAUGUCACAACCUGCCAAAAGUCAAUAUAUUGUUCCUGCAGUAAGGAUUAUAUUGGAUAUUUGAUGCAUAAAAUAAGUAUUAUAUGAUGAAAUUUGUUUUAAGAAAGAUGGCUAAGAAAAGACUGUUAUGAUCAUUAUUUUAUGGACUAAACAAGACUUGUUUGUAGAUAUAAUUGUACCCUUCCAUUUGGAUUGUCAUCUUUUAUGAUAUCCCUUCCUUCAUGGCCACUAGAUCAAGAUUUGACUUUAAUCAAUGGUCCAAAUUGAAUUAUUACCAUUUCAAAUGAAAUGUCACCGUGAAAGGAUGCACUUUGAAAUGAAAUGAUAAAGGAUGCACUUUGAAAUGAAAUGAUAUCUCUUCUAUAAGGCACCGUUAAUCGAACAUGUCGUUACAAUAAGAUAUCAUUUAUUUUGAAAUUGUUCUAGCAUGUCUUUCAUGAGAAAGUAGGCUACUCAAGGUAAACUAGAAUAAUUAUGUUUUUAUUUUCAAUUCUAUUAUUUCAUUUUUAAUUUUUGUUUUUUAAAUUUUAUGUUAGUUUGUGAUUUUUUUCUGUUUAAAAAUUAUCAGUUAUUCACCCAAAGAUUACCUUGUUAUAAAAAAUAUAACAAAAAUUCAUACUCGUUCAAUUUUGUACUUAAUCUUUACAAUGUGUAACAAUCGUUUACCAAAAAGUUAAAAUUAACCUAAUAAAAUUACCAUUAUAAUUUGUGUUUGAUUCUAUUUUAUCAUUUUGUGAAUAUAAUGUUGUCUCUUUAGUGGAGGUUGACAUGCAUUAUAAGCAAGGGUGUAAAAUUGAAUAAAUUCAAAAUUUUAUAGUAUUUUUUAUAUCAGUGUAAUUUUUGGAAAAGUCGGACUAUUAGCACCCUUCCAAAAUUCUUUUGAAACCCCUUUUUCAAUUAUAUUCCAUUUAAUGCCAAAAGUACCCUUUUUAAAAAUAAACACUAUUUUCAUUUAUAAGUCUUACAAUUUCUAAUAAUUUUCUCACUCUUUCAAUCUUAAUAAUUGCAUUCCUCUCUUCAAACUUUCUUUAUUAUUUAAAUUCUAAAAAAAGAUCUAAAAGAAAAAGUAAAAAAAACCUUAUAAAAUAUUGAAUAUUUUAUGGGUCCAAUACAAUUUUUAUCGUACAUAUAAAUUUGGGUGCUACAAUUAGUUUGAGAAUCCUUAAAAAAUUAUUUGUAGUGAGAUAAAAUUUUAUUUAAUAUAUUUUCUCACAAUGUUGUAUCCUAAUUUUGUUGCUACAUAUAUUACAAGAGUAUUAUUUUGGCUUAAAAAUUUGCUUCUUAAAUUUAGAUUAUUUUAAUGAUUAAAAACAUUUAUAGAUUGCUUCUUAAAUUCAGAUUAUUUUAAUGAUUACAAAAAUGUAUAUUGUGCAAGCAAAAUGAAAUUGAAGAGAGAAAGAAAAUAUAAAUGGGAUUAAUUCUAUUUAUAUUUGUCUUUAAAUGUAAUUAUAAUAUCACAGGGGUUUUAUAAGAUCAAUGAAGGGGUGCCAAUAGUCCAACUCUUUUUGGAAUGGUUAAUAAUUUUCCUUUCUUUUAAAAAAAAUUGUGUGAGUUUGUGAUUGAUAACAUAUUUGGUCAUCAAUUGGGGGUCUCAUUUGAUUGGAUUUGCAAUCAGGUUGAAUAAGUACAUAGUUUAUACAACCCAACAAAAUUAUUAAACGAAAAUACUAAUAACUACCAUUAUAUAUAUAAAUUUCGUUGCAAUAUUUUUUUCGCCACUGAGACACAAAUAUUAUGUUAACAAUUAAAAAACAAAAGACAUAAAUACCAUCUCACAUCUCUUUCCCUUCAUUCAUAAUAUUGUGAAUUAAAACAUAGCAAACAUAACUUACAAAAUCCCUAGAUCCAACACACUGCCGACAUUCCCAAAACUUCUCCCAUCAAUGUUGUCACUAUUUUCGACUAGCCACUAUCAUCAUCUCCCUUCACCAAGAUCUGGACUCUUUUGCUGUCAUCUCCACUGUCACCGAUAGCUUAUCUACUCUUCUUCACGGUAAUGGCCCCUAUGAUGUCCUUUAAUUGCCUUCCAUAAUCUAUUUUUUUAUUCUUUUGUUGCAACUUUUAUUAUUGUUUUUAAAUUGUGCUGACCUCACCUAAAACAAAAGCUGGACUAUCUUUGUUUUUUUUUUCAUUUUAUGUGCUUUGACUAUUGGGAUUUGUAAAUGAUGACCAUAAAGACUCACAUGUAGCAAUCACCUAGGGAAUUAAAAAUUAUAGAUUUUGAUACAAACAAUCUUUUGCCUAUGAUGAUGUUAGAGUGGGGCUGAAAACAAAAACAAUAGCCCACAUAUCCCAAAAUGAUAAGCUUUAGUAUUCCUUGGAAGAAUGCUAAAAAAAAAAAAAACAAUAGCCCACAUAUAUAUGUAUAUGUGUGUGUGUAAGAUUUAUUAUUGAUUACUCUAAUGUAGUGUUAAUUAAUUAAUGAGAAAAUAUCCACCGUCCAUUUUCUAUUGCACCCAAUUAAACAUAAAGUCGAUCCAAUUAUAUAUGGGAAAAUAUCCAUCGUCCACCCGUUUUUUACACAUUUUUCAAAAAUACACAAUUCCUUUAUUUUUUUGCUGGAAUCCACCUAAAGUUACAUUUUGUUUCACUUUUCCAAUUCCGUUUGGAAUCCGUUAAGAAAAUUAACGGAAACUAAAAAAAAUGACCAUUUUACCCCUCAAAACAAAAAUUACAAUUUUACCUUAAAAAUUGCCAAAAAUAAUUCGUAAUGGGCCGCUAGUGUGGUUGACACUUCAAAGAGGUAGGAUCGGGAGUCCAGGGCCUACCGCAUGACUAGCUCCGUGAACGAAAUAAUAUAUAGAAUUAAUGGGAAAUAAAUACCAAUACCACCCGUUUUUGACUUGCCUGUGUUGUAUGAAAUUAAUUCCACAACCAUCAAAUGCAAGUUUUUUUUUAAUAUGUCUGUAAUUAGAAUGCUAAAUUAUAACAGUAGUAUUAAAAAUAGCCCAAUCUCGCAAAUCAUCAAUUGAAUUUAAGAUAAGUAUAGUUUUAUUAUUCAUUGAGUUAUAAUCUCUAGUAGUUAAGAUUUUUUUGUACUUCAUUAACGUACCAAUAAUGAUAUUCAUCAUUAAAUCUGAUUAUUUUUGGCAUUUUUAGGGUGAAAUUGUAAUUUUCGUUUUGAGGGUAAAAUGGUCAUUUUUUAAGUUUCCGUUAGUUUUCUUAACGGAUUCCAAACGGAAGUGGAAAAGUGAAACAAAAUGUAACUUUAGGUGGAUUCCAGCCAAAAAAAGAAGGAAUUGUGUAUUUUUUAAAAAGUUGUAAAAAACAGGUGGACGGUGGAUAUUUUCCCUUAAUUAAUUAACUAAUUAUUAAUGUAGUGUUAAUUAAUUAAUUAACCAAUUAUUCUCCUCCAUAGGAAUAUGAUAUGUACAAUUGAUUUAGUAUUUCUAAUUUUUUUGUAAUUUUUUUAUUUUUUAAAAACUUAAGAACAUUCAUGCUUAUUAGUUUUAUGUAGUUGUCCCAAGAGCGUGAUCAUAUAAUUUUCCUACUAAUUAGAAAAUAAAAUUUUAAUUCUUAUAUAAGAUUUUGAUUAGAUGUGUGUUGUCACACUUGUUAUAGUGUGCAAAAAAUGUGUAUCAAUUUUGCGUUGAAAGAUUUUUGUUGUCGCCCUACAACCCCAUCAAUAAAAUGAUAACAAACAUAUCGUUGCAGAUAAUAUCAUCCCUCUUCCUAUGUAAACUAACAACAACUACAAAAUAAAAAAUAACGCAUUGAUUGUUUUCUUGCAAUAAUUGUGAUAAAUGAAUAUGGAUGGCAAUGGGGAGGGGAGGGGACCAAUCUCCUCGUACCCAUCCCUGAUAUUUUGCGUAUGUCCCCGUCCCCGUCCCCGUCAGAAUUACUUGAGAGAAUCCCCAUCCCCUCCCCAAAUAAUAACAAGGGAUCCCCAAGGAUCCCCGAUCCCUGAAUAACUAAUACAUUUUUUGUUUUCGAUUUUGAGUUAAUCAUAUUAAAAUAAAAAAAAUUUCAAAUAAAAGUAAAGUUUGAAAUAUAUCUUACAUUAAUAUCUAUUACAAAAGUCACAUACAUUAAAUUAGUAAGUAACGCAGCAUGUAAGGGAUACAAACUUCUUUUACAAACUAUCGUGAAUGAAUUAAUAGUCUAAUACAAAAUUAUUACAAAUAAAAUCAAAUUUAGAUUCAAAAUUAACUUUUUCAAUGGUGGCAUGACACUUUAUAAAUGUGGAUUAUUCCAUUUACAACACAAUAGUUAAGUCGGAGCAAAUCAAGAGCAAAUAUUAGAUUAAAUUAAUAUUAGAUUAGAUUAAAUUAGAUAUUAAAAUUGUGAUUCGCUGUGGGCAAUUAUAACAUCUAAAAAUAAAUAAAAAAUAGAUUUAAGUUUAAAACAUUUAAUGAAUAUUAAAAUUAAAACAAAAUUUUUGGGCUAAUAGAAUUUACCCGGUUUUUUUAAUGUCCUAAAUAAAAAUUUAGGACUUUAAUUAGUUAAUUAGGCCUAAAAGUUUAAUAAUAUAAAUAUUUUGAUAUUUGUUAUUUUUACCAAUAUUUAUAAUUUUAUAAUUCAAAUUUUAUUAUUUAUUUACUAGUAAUUUUAAAAAAUAAAAAUAAAAUUAAAAAUUAAAAUGGGGAAAUGGGUAGGGGAUGGGGAUUCCACCCCAUCCCCGUCCCCUCCCCGAAUAAGAAAUUGGGUAAAAAAAUUUCCCCGUCCCUUCCCCGAAUAUAAAACUGGAUAUGAAAUUAUCCUCAUACCCUCCCCGAAUGGGAAAAAUCCCCGAGAAUACCCGUCCCCGUGGGGAUUUUUGCCAUCCCUAAUAUGUUGUGUGCCCUUUUUCAAGUAUUUAGAUCAUCACAGUUGCUCUCCAUACACGUUGAUAAUAAUUAAAUAAUUAUUUUAUAUCAAAAUGCACUAAAAGACAAAGGGAAAUAAUUGAAAUAUGAUAUAAAAGCAUCGCAAAAAAUGGACCUACAUUUUAUCCAAUUAUAUGGAGUUUUAAUAAUCAAUAACUUAGCAUGUGACAUUGCUUGCAACAUUGUCCAUUUUUGCUCGGCUGUGCCAGGCUUGUGGUCUUAUUUAUUUGCUUUAAUUUAUCGUUCUUGGAAUUUCAGAAUAAUUUAUUUUUGGCAUGGAUGGUUGUUGCUUAUAAGGCAUUGACAUUAUAAUUAUCAUACCAAUUGUGAAAUAUUAAUUAUUUAUUAGAAGCUAUUACAGCUUUAGAAAUUGUAUCUAAUGGGUGUUAAUUUGUUCCAAGAUAUGUAUUGCAAUAUUAUCUUUCUUUAAGAGAUGACUAAUUCCUAGAUGGUACGUGAGACAACAAUUUUUUUUAACUUUUAAUAAAUUUUAAUUAAGUGGAUUGGCCGUAUGCAAUCUAGAAGAGUGGUAUUUAAAAACUUUUAUUUAUCUUGUUAAUUCGUUAUCCAAUUUAAAUUUUGAGAGAAUUAGGACUUGAAAAUAGGUAUACACACACACACACACAUAUACAUAUAUAUGUAUAUGUAUAAUCAAAUUGCCACCAUCAAUGGUAGGUAUGACACUAUGACUCAUCCAUAAAUGUAUAUGGAGUAUCAGUUUUUUUAUAAAUGUCUCUCCAAUUUAUAGGUGGAGCAUCAAUUGUUGAUCAACUAGAGGACAUUCCAGCGAUUUAGGAUUUGAUUAGGAUUACAUGUAAGUGAAAUGUUUUCAAAUUAAAAACAUGGGUUAUUGUUAAUUUAUAAGUUUUUCAUUAGAUAAGCAUGCCAUGAAAUUUUCACAAGCAAAAAUAUGUUGUUAUUAAUGUUUUCAAAUUAAUAUAAGUGUAUAGGAAAAAAUAUUGUACUUGAUGGUAAUGCAUUAAUUUAUAGGAGCUAUAAAUAAUUUUCCUAAAUUAUGAAUUUAUUAUUAAAGCUAUAAUGAUAAUAACUUUAAACAUUUGAAAUUAACAUGCAAUUUUAUUAAAUUAAACUGAUACUAUAUAAUAUAUGAACAGGUAAAAAUAUUUGAAAUGGAUAGAACUUCGAUGACUUGUAAUCGAUUAUCCAUAGAGUAUCAGACUGGAGUUGCUGAUUUCUUAGAUUUUUCCAUUUUGAAUGCUGAAAACUGAAUGUCAAUUAGAUGUCCUUGCACUUUUUUUUUGUAAUAUGGAGUUUCACACUCCUGAACAAGUAAAUGAUCAUUUAUUUGAAAAAGGUUUUCUCGCAAAAUAUAGAGUUUGUACUUGGCAUGGUGAAACUGAUCUCAUUUCUACAUUUACAAAGUGUCAAGACCAUCCACAUAGUCAAAGAUUUAGAUGUCAUGUUUACAAUGAUAUAAAUGACAUGGUUGAAAAUGCUUACGAGCAUUGUGAUAAAGGCCCUAAUUCUUUUAAGGAUAUACUUGAAGAUGCUGAAAAACCUUUGUAUCCGAGUACAAAACAUUCAAAGCUAUUUGGUUUAAUGAGACUUUAUAAUGUGAAAGGAAACUAUGGGUGGUCUGAUAAAGGGUUUUCUGCUUUGUUAGAAGUCCUUGAUGAUAUUUUACCAAAUAAUAAUAAUCUACCUAAGUCAAUGUAUGAGGCCAAGAAGACAAUGAAAGUGCUAGGCUUAGAGUAUGAAAAAAUACAUGCAUGUCCAAAUGAUUGCAUUUUGUAUAGGAAUGAAUUUGAUGAUCUUACUCAAUGCCUAAAUUGUGGAGCGUCUGGGUGGCAAAGAAAAAAGAUAACUCAAAAGAAUUUAGGAAAAGGGUUCCAGAGAAGGUGCUAUGGUAUUUUCCUCUUAUUCUUGGGUUCAAAAGAUUGUUUCAAUCACCACAAACAGCUCAAAACCUAACAUGGCAUGUUAAUAAGAGAAUUAGAGAUGGCAAGCUUUGCCACCCAUCAGACUCCCCAAUCUGGCAACUAAUUGACAACAAGUGGCUAGAAUUUGCACAAGAACCUAGAAAUUUUCAUUUAGCUCUCUUCACUGAUGGUGUUAAGCCAUAUAGUACACUUAGCACUACUUAUAGUUGUUGGCCCGUUACAUUAAUAACAUAUAAUCUUCCUCCAUGCUUUUGUAUGAAGAGAAAAUUUAUGAAGUUGUCUCUUUUGAUAUCUAGCCCUAAACAACUUGGAAAUGAUCUAAAUGUAUACCUAGCACCUUUGAUUGAGGACUUGAAAAUUCUAUGGGAUGUAGGUGUUGAUGUUUAUGAUGCAUAUAGAAAAGAAACCUUCAAUUUACGGGCCGUGUUGAUGUGGACAAUCAAUGACUUCCCAACAUAUUGAAACCUCUUCGGGUGUACUAUUAAAGGCUAUUAUGCUUGCCCAAUUUGUGGAUAGACACUUGUGCCUGUUAGCUCCCACAUAGUAAAAAAUGUCAUAUAUGGGCCAUUGUCAAUUUUAACCACUUACUCACCCAUUUCGAAAACUCAAAAAGGUUUUUAAUGGGAAGCAAGAGUGGGAUGAGCCUCCUAAAAGUUUGUCUGGUGAGGAAAUCUUUACGAUGGUGAAAGAUAUUGACACUAAGUUUGGAAAAAAGAAGGGAAAAAACGAAAACAUGAUGAGAACAUAACUGAAAAAUUGUACAAAAAGAGAUCAAUCUUUUUUAACGUAGAAUAUUGGAAGCAUUUAUUAGUUCAUCAUCAACUAGAUGUGAUGCACAUUUUUAAAAAUGUGUGUGAAAACAUCUAUGACACACUACUUCAUCAAAUGGGCAAGACAAAUGAUGAGAUUAAUGCUAGAAAAUACCUUGAGCAUUUUCAGAUAAGGGAGAAACUAGUUCCUGAUGAAAUAAACAAAAAUAACAAAGUCUUACCUCCAGCUUCAUACACUUUGAGUAAAGAAGCAAAAAAUAAUUUUUUGAAACCUUGGAAAGUGUAAAAGUUCCUAAUGGUUAUUCUUCCAAUGCCCAAAAACUUGUUUUAAGGGAUGAUUGUCAGCUUCAAGGUCUUAAGUCCCAUGAUCGUCAUAUUUUGAUGCAACAAUUGCUACCAUUAGCCCUUUGAAAUUGUUUACCUAUAGAUGUUAGAAAUGUCAUAAUCAUGAUGUGCUUCUUUUUUAAUUCAUUGUUCUGUAAGGUAGUAGAACCUAGUACUCUUGACCACUUGUAAAAGGAACUUGUAAUCACUUUCUGCUUAUUACAACAGUACUUUCUACCUAGCUUUUUUGACAUAACGAUCCAUUUAACAAUCCAUCUAAUUGAACAAGUUAGGUUAUGUGGGCCAGUUUAUCUUCAAUGGAUGUAUCCUUUUGAGAGAGAGAUGAAAACUCUUAAGGAUUACGUUUGUAAUCGCUAUCGCCCCGAGGGUUGUAUUGCAAAAAGUUAUAUUGCUGAAGAAGCACUUGAAUUUUGUGCUGAGUACCUCUCAAAUUGUGAUAUUGUUGGACUACCUAUUGGUUGUCUAAUUGAUUUUUCAAUCAAAAGGCCUUUGAGAGGUGCAAACAUUAAGGUGGUUGAUGAUACUUUAUUGGCACAAGUACACCGGUGCGUUCUAAUGAACACCAUUGAAAUCCAAACAUACAUUGAGUAAGCUAUUCUUUAAUUUUUUUCAAUACAUAUUAAGAUUGAAUUAUAAUAUUACUAUUAUAGUUUUAAGUGUUAAUGUUGUCUUACUGUAGGGAGCAUAUAUAUUAUUUGGCAUUAACACACCCCUAUAAGGCAAAAAAAAAAAAUGUCUAUGGUUGCAAAAUGAACACACUCCACUCGUACAUUUUCUGCUUGGUUACAAAAAAAAGGUUAGAAUUAAUGCUUAACUAAAUACAAUAAGUUACAAACUUUAACUUUAAUAAGAUUUUUUUUCAUGUAAGUAAUUAUUAUACUUUUUAAUUUAAAUUAUAAGUAGCACAUGAUAGAGCAAAUAAUGUGCUAGUCGAGGAAAUAGUGUGGUCGUUGGCAAACAAACCGCACUCAAGUGCGGUGACAGACCCUGGCUACCAAAUUAAUGGCUUUAAUUUAGCAACAAGGGACCAGGACAAUAAUCGUGUAACCCAAAAUAGUGGUGUUAGAGUUAUCGCUAACACUUUAUAAAUUUCAAGUUCUAAAGAUAAAAGUCCUCAUUUUGGAGACAUGACUUUUAUGGAGUCAUUGAUGAGAUGUAGCAGCUUGAUUAUCUGAUAGUUAAAAAAGAAAUUUCAAGUGUGAUUGGGUAGAUGAUAAGGGGGUUAGUGUUGAUGAUUUGGGUUUCACUGUAGUUGAUUUAAAUCGAAUUGGUUAUAAAUCUGAUUGCUUUAUUCUAGCUUGUCAUACAAAACAAGUGUUUUACAUAAAAGACCAGGUAGAUAAGAGUAAAUCAAUAGUUUGUUCAGUGACUGAAAAAGCUUAUAAGUCAAAUGGGGAAACAUGUGAGGACAUUGAUGUAUUUUCACCAUUAUCCAACAGACUUCUAGUAUGUGAGUUGGAUGAGAAUGAUGACGAAGGAAUUUAUGACAGAAAAGAUUGUGAUGUUAUUCCAAUAGAUAUUGAUUUAGAAAAUCACUAAAUGCAUUCUUAUUGCUAGUUUCCAGUGAGUGAUUUAUUUAUUUUAUUAUAUUCCAUUACUAUUGUAUUGGCUUUUUAAUUUAAUUGAUGUACUUAUUCAUUUUAGUCAUUUUCAGCAUUAUAGGAGAUAUGGCUCAAAACGAUGUGUUCACUUAUCCAGAGCUCGAAGGAAGACCAAGGAGAAGAAAAAAAAAGGCUUGCAAAAAGAAGAAUUUAGUAAAGCUCUAGUUGAGUACAAUUCUUAUGGUGUUCCAGUUGGAAAGGGAAGAAACGAUCUGAGGAGUUAUAUUGGCGUCAUCGUACGUGAAACAAUAUCAAUCUUACUUGAUGAUUGGAGGCGUGUGCUACUAGAAAUGAAGGAAACUCUAUGGAUUCAUUUUUUAGGUUUUUUUAAUUAUUUAGUAAUAUAUUUAAUGAUUUUAAAUAACUUCCGGAUUUAUUUAAACUCGGUUUUAAUCUUUGUCAUUGCUUUAUAGAAAAAAUUCAAAUUGAGCUUGAAAUGCAAAAGCCAAGUGUUAAAAUGGAUGGGGGUUGCAUCAAGAAACUUUAGAAGUGAGCUGGCAAAAGAAUUCAUACUACCAUAUAAGGAUGAUAUAAAGUCACUAAGGUUGCCCCAUAUUGAAUAUCCGAGUAUUAAAAAAGAAGAUUAGAAACUUUUUGUUGGCAAAGUUGUCUCAAGAUUUUCAGGUGUGCUGUUUGUUAAUAUUACUUGAUUUAUUUCUUAUUGGUUACUAAUAAUUAAUUGUAACCCUUUUCUUCUUUAUUAUAUUAUUUGUUCAGGAAAAAAGUACAAAAGCAAAAGAAACAAGAGCAAAAAAUAUAUAUAAGCAUCACUUGGGUAGCACAAGAUAUAGUGGUGUGUUGUAUAGAAAAGUAUGUACAAUAUAAUAUAGUUGUGCAAUAAAACCCAACCAAUGCAUAUAAUAUAAUAGAAUCAAUACUUUUUGUUUUCUGUCAACCUAUAACAGAAAAAAAAGAAUGGAGUUUCUGAGCGAGAGAUUGACCGCAGUAAAGCUUGGUUAAUGGCACGAGUAGACUGAGAUGGCAAAUAUGCUUCUGAAGUGAUGCCAAUAGCUGAGAAAAUAGUAAGUCACUUGUAUAUUUAAUUCUUAUAUAUUCCAUUCUUAUAUGGUAUAAUUAAGUUUACUUAUGUUUUGAAUUUUGAGGUUCUGAUAAGUUGUUAGUGGUGAUUCUUUAAUUCCUUAAUUCAACUUGUAGAUUUAUAAUUUUUUUUUUGUAGGUAGAAUGAGCUGAAGAGUCAAGUUGAACAAGGAAAAUUUCAAUCACAUGGGUCAAAUGACAUCUAAGCGAAGCUUUUCAAAAACAGCCAAAUGGAAGCAGGGUGCAAGGAGUAGGACAAUUCAUCACCACAUCUAUGUACUUUCAUGUUCCUAAUACUACAUAGUUGACAAGAUAAAGAAAGAUGUAUCAAGAGAGUUUUCAAUUUAUGUCAGCUCAAUUGGAACACAUGAAUGCAAGGUUGAAUGCCUACAACAAUAUUGAAGUUGGUAGUUCUAACUAUCCUAAACCCAAACUGUGAGGAAAUAAGCUACUGGUCAACUAAUGGUCGUUGGGUUUAAAUGGAAGAUUUGAAGAAGUCUGGGGGCAUUGUGCGGAUCGACUUCAGCUGGAGGGGUCUAGUUGAAAUAUUAAAGCUGAUGUAGCAAAAAUUCGUUAUGAGUUCGUUAUGAUUUCCUAGAAAUACCAGAGUAUAUAUACGUGUGUUUUAGCCUCUGAUAUGGGGUUGUAAUCUUUCUCAUUUCUUGAUCAUUUAGUGAGCUAAUUGGUUCUUUGUGAUCCUUGUAAACUCCUCUAUAGAAUCAGCUUGUAAUUCGAUUCAUAGUGAUCAAUAAAAGAGCAGUUUUUCCUUCUACAAGUUGAGUGCUUGGAACUGUGCUCUGUUAAAGUUCUUUCCUGUUUCUUUCUUGAUUAGCUUGCUUUGAUUAGUUCUUUCUAGAUUCAAUACGUUAAUAGGGUUAUAACAAUUGGUAUCAGAGCCAGUGGUGGUUCAAAAACAUGUCUCUUCCAAAACCCGAUAUUGAAAGGUUCACCAUUGGUGGUGACUUUUCACUUUGGAGGAUGAAGAUGAGGGCUCUCUUUGUUCAUCAAGGUCUCGAAUCAGCGCUGGAAGAAGAUGAUCUUGGGGAUGCUUCAAGUUCAGUCUCUGAUGAGAAGAAAAGACAGAUACAGAACAAGGCUCACAGUACCUUGAUCUUGAGUCUCAGUAACUCAAUUCUAAGGGAGAUUUCUGAAGAGAAGACUGCCCUUGGUAUCUGGAACAAGGUGGAGGCCUUGUGUAUGAAAAAGUCCCUGGCACAUAGAUUGUUCUUGAAGAAAAGGCUAUAUACCUUUUCUAUGAGAGAAUGAGUCUUGAUUCAAGAACACAUUGACAACUUCAACAAGAUCAUUCUUGAUCUUGAAGGAGUUGAAAAUGUGAAAAUUACAGAUGAGGAUAAAGCCUUCUUUCUACUGAGUUCAUUGCCUAAAAUCUAUGAGGGAUUUGUAGACACCAUGCUGUAUGGAAGAACUACACUCACUUUAGAGGAUGUAAAAGCUUCUUUGAGUUCUAAGGAGAUCCAGAAGAAUAAUGGGCAUGAAGUUAGUAAUGGUGAAGGCUUAUUUGCCAGAACAGAAAAGAAAAAUCAGAAGAAGAAGAACCAGAGUCAAGCUAAAAAGGAUGAUGUAUCUGUAAAAGAAAAAAUGAAGAAAAGAAAGUGCUUCUAUUGCAAGAAACAAGAUCACUACAUCAGGGACUGUGCUGAGAAAAAGAGGGAUGAAAAAGAGAGAACAGGUGAUGCAGCAGUAGCCUCAGAAGACUCCUCUGAUGAUGGAUACCAUAGUGCUGAUUUGUUGGUGGCUUCAAACAGCAAUAUCAAAGGUCAGUGGGUUCUUGAUUCAGGCUGUUCAUUUCAUUUGUGUCCUGAUAAAAGCCUUUUCCAUACAUAUAAAUCUGUGGAUGGUGGUAGAGUGUUGAUGGGUAACAACAAUGUGUGUAAGAUUGUUGGUAUGGGGUCUGUCAAAAUAGAGAUGUUUGAUGGGUCUGUUCAAACUCUAAGUGAUGUAAGGCAUGCACCUAGGCUAAAGAGAAACUUGAUCUCUUUAGGCAUGCUAGAUGGUAUGGGAUAUAGCUUCAAAUCUGAAAAUAGUGGUUUGAAGAUUAUGAAGGGGACUGAGAUGGUAAUGAAAGGAGUUAAGAAGAAUGGCCUUUAUGUGUUAGAAGGGUCAUCAGUGCCUGGAUCAGCUGCAAUGCCUGCUGUUUCUGAUGUUAAUAGAACCAUGUUAUGGCACCUUAGACUAGGCCAUAUGAGUAUUAGAGGAAUGCAAGAACUGAGUAAGCAAGGGCUGCUGUGUGGUGAUAAUAUAGAUGAGCUAGACUUCUGUGAAAACUGCAUCUUUGGCAAGGCACACAGGUCCAAAUUCACAAAGGGCAUACAUGUAUCUAAACAACCAUUAGAUUAUGUACAUGCUGAUUUAUGGGGGCCUGCACAAGUACCAUCCUUGAGUGGGGGAAGGUAUUUUAUGUCAGUCAUAGAUGACUACUCCAGGAAAGUAUGGAUCCACAUACUGAAGACCAAAGACCAAGCCCUAGAGAAGUUCAAGAUUUGGAAGACUUUGGUGGAGACUCAAUCUGGUUUCAAGGUGACAUGACUGUUUCUACAGCUAGUUACCUGGUAAAUAAAAGUCCAUCUUCAGCAAUUGGCUUCAAGACACCUGAAGAACUCUGGUCUGGAAGACCUGGAAAAUAUGAACACCUGAGGGUAUUUGGAUGCCCUGCUUAUGUCCAUGUCAGACAAGGGAAGCUUGAUGCAAGAGCCAUAAAAGGAGUUUUUGUUGGCUAUCCAGAUAGGGUUAAAGGCUACAGGGUCUGGUGUAAAGAGGCUAACAAGUGUCUGAUCAGUAGAGAUGUCCAGUUCAAUGAAGUGGCCAUGAUCAAUAACUCUGACCAAGCCACUUCUGCUAAUGACAUCAAUACAAGUGACACACAAGCCACCAUAGAAACUGAGCAAGGUGAAAAGAUUGAAGUGGAGUUGUCUAAAGACUAUGAAGAUCAAAUACAACCAGAGGCUGUUGAAGCUGAGACUCAAGAUGCAGAAGUAACAGAAGGUGAAGUACCACAAGUAACUGAUUUACAACAAUAUCAGUUAGCUAGAGAUAGAGAAAGAAGACAUACCAGACCUCCAGCAAGAUAUGCAUAUGCAGAUAUGGUUGCAUAUGCCUUGAUGAGUGCAGAAGAUGUUGCAAUUGAAGAGCCUAACAGCUAUAGAGAAGCAAUGAGUAGCAAGAAUAGCAGAAACUGGAUUAAAGCUAUGAGGGAGGAAAUAGAUUCUCUGGUAAGAAAUCAGACUUGGAUUCUGGUCCCAAAUCCAGGGAAUAGGAAGAUUGUCAGCUGCAAGUGGAUAUUCAAGAAAAAGGAGGGCAUUCCAGGUGUUGAAGAUUCAAGAUAUAAGGCAAGACUGGUGGCAAGAGGGUUCACACAGAAGGAGGGGAUUGAUUUAAAUGAAAUCUUCUCACCAGUGGUAAAACACAGUUCAAUCAGAAUCUUGCUUGCUAUGGUGGCUUUGUUUGAUCUAGAGCUUGAACAAAUGGAUGUAAAGACUGCCUUCCUACAUGGCAAUCUUGAAGAAAAGAUAUUGAUGUCUCAACCUGAAGGCUUUGAAGAACAGGGACAUGAGGAGUAUGUGUGCCUUCUUAAAAGGUCUCUAUAUGGCUUGAAACAAUCCCCUAGGCAAUGGUAUAGAAGAUUUGAUCAGUUUAUGAUCUCCAAUGGCUAUUCUAGGAGCAAAUAUGAUAGUUGUGUCUAUCAUAGGAUUAUAAACUCAGGUGGAGCAGUAUAUCUUCUACUAUAUGUUGAUGAUAUACUCAUUGCUGGUAAAGAUCUCAGUGAUAUUAAAGAGCUCAAGAAUUUGCUGAAGGGGGAAUUUGAAAUGAAAGAUCUUGGCAGUGCCAAGAGGAUUCUUGGGAUAGAUAUUGUUAGAGAUAGAAUAGCUGGUACCUUGUUUCUAAGCCAGUCAAGGUAUAUCAGCAAAGUACUGGAAAGAUUUCAGAUGAUGGACUCAAAACCAGUACUGACACCUCUGUGGGAAGCUUGAUGUAUGCAAUGGUUUGCACCAGAGCAGACAUAGCUUAUGCAGUAAGUGUGGUGAGUCGAUUUAUGAGUAAUCCUGGUAAGCUUCACUGGGAUGCUGUAAAAUGGGUCAUGAGGUACCUAAAGGGAACCUUAGAUCAUAGUUUGAUGUAUGGUAAAUCCAAGCAUGAGGUCUGUGAAGUCAGAGGAUACGUUGACUCUGAUUUUACAGGUGACUUGGACAGAAGAAAAUCCAUCUCAGGUUAUCUGUUUAUGUUGGAUAGUUGCCUCAUAAGUUGGAAAGCUACUCUACAGCACAUAGUAGCUUUGUCAUCUACUGAGGCAGAAUUUGUUGCUGCAACAGAGGCAGUGAAAGAAUCAAUGUGGUUGAGAGGGCUGCUAAAUGAACUAUAGUUGAAACAAAAAACAGUAGAAAUUUUUUGUGAUAAUCAGAGUGCCAUUCAGCUCAUCAAGAACCAAGUUUAUCAUUAGAGAACAAAGCACAUUGAUGUGAAGUUGCACUUUAUCAGAGAUGAGGUUGCAAAGGGGUCAGUUGCAGUGAUCAAGAUACAUACAGACAUCAACCCUGCUGAUAUGCUAACCAAAGUGCUACCAACAACAAAAUUUAAGUUUUGUGUAAACUUCAUUGGUGUUGGCAGCAGCUCUAGUUCCUGAAACAUGUGUCUUUGAAGGUUUUUUAUGUUACUUAAUUGAGAUGAUCAGCUGAAUCGAGUAUGCAAGGUGGAGAGUGUGAGGAAAUAAGCUACUGGUCAACUAAUGGUUGUUGGGUUUAAAUGGAAGAUUUGAAGAAGUCUGGGGGCAUUGUGCAGAUCGACUUCAGCUGGAGGGGUCUAAUUGAAAUAUUAAAGCUGAUGUGGCAAGAAUUCGUUAUGAGUUCGUUAUGAUUUCCCAGAAAUACCAGAGUAUAUAUACGUGUGUUUUAGCCUCUAAUAUGUGGUUGUAAUCUUUCUCAUUUCUUGAUCAUUUAGUGAGCUAAUUGGUUCUUUGUGAUCUUUGUAAACUCCUCUAUAGAAUUAGCUUGUAAUUCGAUUCAUAGUGAUCAAUAAAAGUGCAGUUUUUCCUUCUACAAGUUGAGUGCUUGGAACUGUGCUCUGUUAAAGUUCUUUCAUGUUUCUUUCUUGAUUAGCUUGCUUUGAUUAGUUCUUUCUAGAUUCAAUACGUUAAUAGGGUUAUAACACAAACCUUCCGCCGGUGUUCAAUUUGAGAUUGAUCAACAAUCUCCUAAAGCUCUUGGAAAAAGAAAGGUUAGUAGAGGGAAUAUUAAAUGUCAUUAUUUUAUUUUCAUUUAUUUCUAUUUGUAUAUGCAUGUAUUACUACUAAUUGUACGCAUGUAUAUUUUAAUUAUUUCAUAGGCCAGUUUCCCAUCGGGUGAGUUUACUCAAAAAUCUGUGAAGAGUAUAAUGAAUUCAAAGAGCACUAUUAUUAAAAUUUCCCAACCAACUCCUCAACAAACUCCAAACAAACUAGAUUUUGAAGUUACUUCAAAGCCUUCGCCAAGAAAAUCUACCAAAUUAACUCAUUAUUUAGAUGUACAAUUCCUCUAUGAUGAGAGAGUAUAAAAAAAAAGAACCACUGGUCAUCAAACAAACAACAAAAAAACUGAAGCAGGGUGCAAAGAAUACAAGGGCAGCUGCACAAUUAAAAAAGAAUGACACGAAUGAAUAUAUGAACAUGUCUUAAAAGUCUUUUUAAAAUUGAAUCAAAAAGUCGUAUGAAAUAAAUUUGAGAUCAAGAUUCAUUUUUCUUUGUUAUUGUUUGACUGCUGGGUAUUGUUGGUGGGUUUAGUAUUAUUAAGCAUGUUUAUAAGGAUUAGAUUAAUGCAUUUUCACCCAUUUUCUAGGUUCAUUGAAGGCAAUUUUGAAAAUUUUGGGAUUAAUUUUAAAUUACUCUCUCAUGAAGUGAUAAUCUUCAAAUUAAAUCCUUUACUUUUAAAAUAACAAGUUAUCUCCCAAAAGUCAUUAUCUUGCUAUUAUUUUUAACGACUGAAAGGAUGAAAUAGUAUUUGUACAUUCUCUUACAGUCAAUUAAUAGAAAAAAAUCAAACAUCUAUGUAGGCUAAUUUUCAUGGGCCUAAAUCUUUUUUAGUGUUUCGAAACACACAUAAAUAUUUUAAAUAUUUAUAGUAUGGACCUAAAUACUUUAAAUAUUUUCGUUUAUACCCAAUAGAUACCAAACUCGUGGCCGCACAUAACCAUGGCAACCAAAUCCAUGGCCAUAUACAGCCAAGGCAACCAAACCCUCACUGGCCAUGGAAACCAAACCAUGGCAACAGGUGACCAAGGCAACCAAACCCCUAGUCGCUCGUGGCCAAGGCACCCAAACCCAUGCCUGCAUGAACGCAUGGCCGUAUGAUCCAUGGUCAUGCAUGGCCAAGGUAGCCAAAUCCUUGGGCCAUGCACAGCCAUGCCAACCAAUUGGAAUGAUAUGAUAAACUAUGGGUAUCCUAAUUAGGAUUUAGUGUGACUCUGAUUUGGUGGAGAUUAAAUUGGAAAGAGAUAUUUUGUUUUUAACUUUAAUGACUUCGUCAUUUUUAUUUCAUUAUUUUAUUAAUUCAAAAAGUAUAUUUUUAAGUAUUAAAAUUGUUAAUCAACGAAACUUAGUAAAAAAGGAUAUUUUCGUACUUUAACAAAUCACCAAUGAUCAAUUGUUAAAGUUAACUAUUUUUAGGGGGCAAUAUGAUAUUUCCAAAAGUUAAGUGGAACAAUUUGAAGACUGUCACUUCACAAGAGGAUAAUCCAAAAUUAACCUAAAAUUGUAAAUCCAUUUUUGGAGUUUUUCUUGUUCAUUUGGUGUGAAUAUUUUUUGUUUAUUGAUAUGCUUAAUUGAUUCUUUUUGAGAAGUUAUUUUUAUUUCACUAUGUUGUAUUAGUGAGUUAUUAAAAAGAACCAUUCCGUAAGUCAAGAGAUUUUUAUUUUGGUGAUUUCCAAUGAAAAAGAUAAUUUGAAGGCUAUGCCACAUUUAAAAUACGUAGUGAGAAAGAGAAACAACUAAGUAACAUUUAUUAUAUCAUCUUUGGUGGUCAAUUUCAAUGCUUAAAGUCAAAUAUACCGAACUUUUCAAAUUAGAAGUAAACCGAAUGAAGGGCUAUGCAAAUAAUACAUAUGGGGAAAUUCGAGUGCUAAUGUGGCCCACAACUAAAAGACACAUGCCAAGAAAGUCAAUCAAGGGAAGUCAAUUAGUUUAAUUGGACGUUAGGAUAACUCACAAAGAGAUAGGGGGUAAGUUCCCUGAAAAAGAAAGACAAUUUUGGUAAAAACACACAAUAUCAGAGGGUAUUAUUGGAAACUAGAUUUUGGUGGUUCAGGCCAACACAUAGACAGAACAUGACAUCAUGAGAGAGAACAAAAAUAUCUUAUUUUGGUUAAAGAUAAGGAGCCAAUAAGAAUUGAGAUUCUCUAGCCAAGUAUUGAGAAAAGACCACAUUACCUAGCCUUUUGAUACUGAUAGAAAAGCCACAAGACCAUAAAGUUAGGAGGCUGUCAUAUGUUUGGCCAUGAAGGCAAAAGGUGGCCGAAGGGUUUCUUGCCUCUCAAGCUCAUGGAUGUCACCAUCAAGGGACCACAAGGCAAAUUACUCAAAUAGCCUCACCUAAGGGAGGCUAGCCAUUAAAUGAGCACUACGUGUCUAAAAUUACCAAAAUACCGUCAGGAACACUUUUAUAUAAGCUCUACACAUUCAAUCUUGAGGGGGCUCUCUCCAUCUCUGACCCUCUCUCUCUCUUUUUGCUUUACCGAACUUUGAGUAUUUUUCUAGAUAUAAUCACCUCAGCUUGCCUCCCAAAUCACCUCAGCUAUACCUCUUACCCUAAACAUUAGAAAAUACACCUAGACCCAAACUUAAUCUAAUCUUCCCCUAAAAUAUAAUUUUUUUUUAUUUUAAUCAGAUUUGACCCAAAUCCAAUUAGAACAACCAUUUAAUGGUUCGAAUCGAAUCUUAGUAAAAAUCGAGCUAAACCAACUGGCACCGUCUAAUGGGAGGGCUACACAAAAGGUUUUAGUAGUAAUGGUUAGUUUAGAUUGAGUUGGCAAGGGAUGUACUCUUGGAUUUAAAUCACCAAAUAGAGAAGCUCCAUAAGAAAUUGUAUUAAGGAACCCUCAGAAAAACACCAAAAAGAAAUCCUUGGAAAAAAGCCAGAGAGAAAUCCUCUAUGAAAUGCUCAAGAAAAAUGUUAAGGAGGAUACCUGAUCAAGAAAACUUUACAGAGGAUUCCUUAGAAAACACCAUUAAGGAUUUCUCCAAAACACCAAGAGCGAUCUUUAAAGGAAAAUUGCAAAUUAGUGUAGCAGUUUUGAAGCUACUUCAGUUCUUCUCUAAGCGCUAGAGUAGAGUGAAACACCUCUUGAAUGCUUCAACACUCAGGAAAAUUAUUAGUAUUAUGCUCUAAGCUCUUCCUUAUUUAUCUCUAUUUUUGAAUUCUCUACUACAUAUUUGCUCAUAUAUGUUUGUGGUAGGUCUGAUAGAACCUUAUUUGUUCACUUCCAUGACUUGAUUUAUUUUAAAGAAACUCCUUGAUGUCUACAUGAUAGCAAAGAGAUUUUAAGAUCUAUUCUUAGCAUAACACGUGCUAGUAAUGCAAUAAUUAUGAUUUAAGCUACUUUCAUCUAAGUAGAUCUUAUAAAUGAAUGCUACUUGUUUAUUCUAAAAUACUCAUGAUCGUAUGUCUAAUCUUCUUUGUUAAGUCCAUUAUUUAUAGAGUUGGCAUCUUAUGGCAAGUCUAGUUAAAUUGGAAUUUUAUUUAUUGCAUAUCUUGUAGUAGGGAUUAAUUCAUUAAUUCCCUAAUUUAGUAAGAUUCCAAUUUAUUAGGAAUAUUUGUUUCCUAAUUUAAUUAGAUAUCUAAUUUAGCAAGUCAAUUAAUGAUGAGAUUCUAUAAUUGACAUAUGAGAUCUAUUUAGAGCAAGAAGUUGGUUCAAACAGAAAGUUCAUUAAAUGCUCUAGAUAUUUCUUGGGAGACAAGUAAGAUAAGAAGAUCAUAUUUAUUCACUAAUUUAGCAAGUCAAUUAAUGAUGAGAUUCUAUAAUUGACAUAUGAGAUCUAUUUAGAGCAAGAAGUUGGUUCAAACAGAAAGUUCAUUAAAUGCUCUAGAUAUUUCUUGGGAGACAAGUAAGAUAAGAAGAUCAUAUUUAUUCAUAUUCAGAUUCAUAGGAAUUAUAAGAGGAAAAAAACUCUUAUUUGGAAAGAAUCUAAGUCUUUUAAGACUUGCUAUUUUUUGUGAAACCCUAGUGCCUGUAUAAAGAGAGGUAUUUCACAAUUGAAGGCACACAACACAAAGCAUAAAAUAUAAAAACAAAAUUCGGCCUUCUCCCUAGAGAAUCCGGAUUUGGCACAUAAUGUUGUAUUGAUUUUUUUUCUUAUCUUCUUUUCAUCUCUGUGGAGAGUGUAUGUGGAUUUUAGAUCACUAGAUAUUGAAGAUUUGAAGAAUUGUUAUUGAUCACUUUGCGAAGUGCCUUGAGGAUCGUGGAUCAAGAGCAAUUAUUUAAGAGAAGCAGAUUCAGUCUAAGGUUGACUGAACUAAAUGGUGAUAAAGUGUAAGUGAGAGUCUUAAGUUUAAUAAAUCCAUAGGUUGUAACAUCUCAAUUUAGUGAAUUGUUUUUCAUCUAGACGUGGCCUCGUGGAUGUAAGAUUGAUUAAUCCGAACCAUGUAAAAAUCUCCAUGUCAUUUAUUUUCUGGAAUUUAUUGUGUUUUUGGAAAAUUAAUAUUUUUUAUGUGGAUGAACAAUAUUUGUGAACAGUAAUUAAGCUAUUAAUUUUAGGGUUUUAAUUGUCUACAUUUAUUUGCAAUAUAUAUAAAUUCCUUUCAUUCUUAAUUGUUUCUUAACGAAAGUAAUUGAAUGAUUUACUCUUGCUAUGUAUCAUGUGAGUGAACAAGUUCUUAGAUAUGUUUAUUUGGAUGAAUGAUUGAUCUUUAUUGCCAUGUGGUUGAGAAUGAAUGGUUAACUCCUUUUUUUAUUAUGAUUUGUUAAUUGUAAUUUAUCUUCAUUUAUGGCUUACUUUGUUUAAACUCUUAGACUGUAGCUCUAGAUACAAGAGCUAAUCUUGUUUCAGCUGACUUAUAUUGAUAACUACUCAAGAGCUGUGAACAUGAACAAAUCACGAAUAUAGAGGUACCUUAGUAAGGCUACCUACCUAGGGGAUUGAGAACUCGUCUCUCCUAAAAUCUAUGUAUUUCACAAGGACUUAUUGCCAUGGUUUAUCUCCAUGUCUUAGUGCCACAAUUAAAGAGUUAAGAAAGCUCCUAAGUAAAUCGCUAGAGCUAGUUGUGUGCAACUCAACUAUUAUAACCAGAGUUGAGUAUAACUCAGUAUUGAAAUAGUCAGGGCUAAGUAUAGCUUAGUAUCGAAAUCAUCAAAGUAGAUGAGUGUGGCUCAACUAUCAUCGUUAGAAUUUAACAUAGCUCAAGCUUUGAAAUUGCCAAAGCUAGUGGGGUGCAGCUCGGUAAUCAUUGCAAGAGUUGAGUAUAGCUUAGAGAGUAGAACUGAAAAAAUUUGACAUGACCUGAUAAUCCAACACAAAGAUUUUGUUGAUAUUCUAAAGCAAAUCACAUAAUACUUCAUUUAUAUAGUGCAUUGGAAAUGAACUACUCCUAUGGAUGUACAUCAAAGGGCCGAACCAUGUAAAAUCUAUGUUUUUAUUUUGUUUGCUUAUUUUCUGCUGAUUAUGAUAGUUUGGAUGCCCCAAAUCAUAUUUUAUAUAUGAAUUCACAUGAGUUAUUCUAUAAGCUCUACGGAGUUAUUCAGAUUAACUCGCACGAGCUAUCCUCGAAGCUCUCUUGAGCUCCCUGUCAAUUCUCUAAAUUAACUCGCAUGAGCUCCAUGGGCUUGCCCUAAUAUUCCAAACUCAUAACAUCAUAGCUUACCUCCCAAAUCACCGCAGCUAACCUCUUAAUCACUGCAGCUCACCCCUCAGAUCACCUCAAUAUACCUCCUACCCCCAAACAUAAGAAAAUACACUUUAACCCAAACCUAGCCUAAUCUCCUCCUAAAAUAUAAAUUUUAUUUAUUUUAAUCAGAUUUGACCUAGAUUUGAUGAGAACAACCACUUAAUAGUUCGAAUUGGAUCUAGUGAAAAUCCGGCUAUGACAAGGUAGCUUAUCUGUCAUGUAUAUUUUGUUACAAUGCUUUAAAAAUAUUUUGUCGUAGGACCAUCGACUCCUAGUCCUAUAAAAUUGUUUGAGCUUGAAGUUAACUAGUAGUAAAGAACAACUAGCUAGUGUCUUGAUCCCUCACAUGAAGACAUUGCAUUACUUAUUCAUGGCUUCCACCUUUACCAAAGUUGUACACCAAGUUUUCUUGAGCUUCCGAGGAGAAGAUACACGCAACAGCUUCACUAAUCAUCUCUCCCAAGCUCUGGUUCAUCCAGGAAUUCACACUUUCGAAGAUGACAUUGAACUCCGAAGAGGUGAAGACAUUUACUCAGAGUUGCUUGAAGCAAUUCAAUAAUAUUCUCUAAGAACUAUGCCGAUUCCAGACGGUGCUUCGGUGAGAUUGUAAAGACUGGGAAUUGCAAGAAACAUAAUAAUGUUAGACAGACAGUUUUGCCCGUGUUUUUUUAUAUCAGCCCAUCAGAUGUCAGGAAUCAGAAUGAAAACUUUGCAGAGGCUUUUGUUAAGCAUGAAGCUCGGUUCAGUUGGAAAAGGCGAAGAAAUGGAGGGCAGCUCUUACAGGGGCAGCAAAUUUGUCUGGUUGGGCUUUGCAUGAAGCUCCGAAAGGGUAAAAUUUAAAUUCCAUUCUUUUCAAAAGUCUGAUUGCUUUUCGGAAAAUCCCUUAACGUUUAAAUUAAAUUUGAGAGAAUUUGUGUCAAGAUUAUCUUAAAUAAAGUUUGACCUGGAUUUGACGCAGGAGAAAGGUGGAAAAUAUUUUAAUGCGAUUGAAUAUUGAUGGAUCAAUAAUUUAUUGAACAAAGACCGGUGUCAAUCGUUUUAGUACAAAGUUACACGGUAUUUUAGAAUUUUGAGGGAAAAAGGUUGUUAUCGUUUCCCAGUUUCAAAAAUUAUAAAAUAUGGAAAGAGUGCAAGAAAUAUUAAGAUUAAUGUUUACCAUUUUAUUAAUAUAUCUUUAUAAAAUCUUUGAUUCUACUAUAUUUUUAUUUCCACCAGUUAGUUGACUAGUUACUCAAUUAAUAAAAUGCUAAUUUUACCUUUAAAAGAAGAGUAUAAAAGUAGAGGUAUUAAAUUUUAAAUUUAGUCUUAUUGAUAUUAUUUUUAGCUAGUUUAUAUUUGAACUUCGGAGAAAGGACACCACCUACACCCCCCAAGGUUUAGAGAAAUGGUCAUAUAAACUCCAUAUUUUCUAUAGGGGACACCAAUAUACCUCUUGACGAUAAUACCCAUUUGGGUUUAUUAACUCAAAAAAAUUGAUUCUAUUGUUUUAUAAUAAAUAAAAAUAUAAUAUUUAAAAAUAUUUUAACACUUUACAAGCUUAUAUUAUAUUGAACUAAAUUAUUUUAUAUAUUAAAAAAUAUUUUAGUAUUAUUAGUCUACUAUACACAUUAAACUAUAUAGAUUGUAUUUGUUUUUGUUAAAAAAAUUUAAAGUUAAUUUUUUUGUUACUAUCUGCAAAUAGUAUUAUAGUUAAAAGGAGGUCGUGAUGUCCCUCAUUAAAAGUUUGGGGUCUACAUAAUCAUUUUCUCAAACUUUAAGAGUGUAGGUGUCCUUUUCCAAAUUUGUAAUAUUAUAAUCCAUUGUAUGUUAUUUUUUUCUUGUAAUAAAAAAAUUCAUUAAAGGGUAAAAUUGAUAUUUUGUUAUUAGGGAUGGCAAUGGGGAGGGGAGGGGAGGAGACCGACCUCCCUGUACCCAUCCCUGAUAUUCUACAUAUGUCUUCGUCCCCUCCCCGUUCUCGACAAAAUUGCUUUAGGAAAUCCCCAUCCCAUCCCCCAAUAAUAAUAGGGGAUUCUCGAGAGUCCCCGAUCCUCAAAUAGCUAAUAUGUUUUUAGUUUUUGAUUUAAUUUAAUUAUAUUAAAAUAAAAAUAAAGUUUGACGAUAUAUCUUACAUUAACAUUAAUCCAUUACAAAAGUCACAUUACAAAAUACAAAUCACCAUGAUAAUUAUUUUUGUCAAUCUUCAUAAUCCUACAAUAAAAAAAAGAAAGAAAUUACUUUUAUAUCAACAUUGAGAUAAAUGAAAUGGAUAUAUAGAUAUUUAAUCAACAUUUCUAAUAAAAGUAUUUACCUCUUGUGCCUCCUACUUCUCUUGUUAUUCCUCGAAGAAUGUGUCAAAUUGAGAGAUAGCCUCAUGUUUUAAAUCUAAAAUGAUAAAAAUAGUAUAAGUAACGUAACUUCUAAGUGAAAAUAUUAAUAAUUAUAUUAUAUAAUUAUAAUGUAAAAUAAACUCAUACUACCAUUGUAAGCUCAUAUUUAACUUUGACAACACAUUAAAGCCUCUAAUGUGUUUGGAUGAAACCUGUUAUGGUACUUUACUACUGGUACUAAAAGUUAAUUCGGAAACAAUAGUUGUAAUUGGAAUUGUCAAAAUAUUUUUAGCAAUUCGCGCCAAUAUAGGAUACCUAUGAGCAUUUGUUUUCCACGAACUCAAAAUAUUAAAAUAUUUCAUAUGCGGCAUAAGUUUCUUAUCCAAAUAUUAAUCUAGUCAAUUAGGCACAAAAGUUUAAUAAUUAUUAUUUUGAUAUUUGUUAUUUAUACUAAUAUUCAAUAUUUUAUAAUUUACCUUUUAUUAUUUAUUUACUAAUAAUAUUUUUAAAAAUUAAAUUAAAUUAAAUUAAAAUGGGGAAAUAAGGAGGGGAUGGGGAUUCCGCCUCAUCCCCGUCCCUUCCCCAAAUAAAAAACUGGAUAAAAUAUUGUCCUCUUUCCUUUCCCGAAUAAGAAAUUGGGAAAGAAAAUUGUCCCCUUCCCUUCCCCAAAUAAGAAACUGAGUAAAAAAUUGUCCCCAUACCCUCCCCGAAUGGGGAAAAUCCCUGAGGGUCCCCAUCCCAAUGGGGAUUUAUCCCAUCCCUAUUUGUUAUCAAUUAACUGAUCGACUAACAUUAUUAAUAACAAUAUAAUAAAAUGCCAGGUUUUAUAAAGAUAUAUAGUAAAAGAUAGAUUACAUUAAUAUUUCUAGCAGUUAUUCGAUAGUUUACAAUUCUUAAUACAAUGAAACAAUAUAGCAAAAAAAAAAAAAUGAAAAUGAAUGGAUUUUGACUUUGAAAAAAGAGAAUUUCAUUUUCAUAAGGAUAUAUUUUUCCUUUCAUACUUGUUUGAUGUCGUUACUAGUAUUUAAAUUUUAUCCUAUCAAUUAUGUAGUUAACCAACAAGAGUAAGCUUCUGGUUUAGGAUCCUAAACUUUUUUUAAAGUUCGGGAUCCAAGUCAUGAAGCAGGCCAUUUUGUUUAUAUUUUUUUAAUUAUUUACUACAAAUGGUGGCUUUUGGUGCAUUUGGUACGCCGCAAUAGAUUAGACUAGAUUGUGUUGGAUUGUGAUGUAUUAUACUAAGUUGUAUUAAUUUAAUAUAGUACAAUGUUCAUUGUAGUAUGGACUAUAUUGCAUUUUAUAAUAUUUUUAUAUAAAUAUUUAUAUUAAAUCGAUAUUAUAUUUUUAUUAUUAUUUAUAUUCAAAUUAUUUGAUUUAUAUAAAAAUAUCAAAAGCCAUCAUUGGCCGCCACCAAAAAUUAGCAAUUUUUAUCCGUUCACAGCAUAUUUGUUAUCAUUGAAUUUUUGUCUUGAGCUCUACGUAACAGUAUAAAUAUCAAUGGAAACUAAGCUUCUUUUUGGGACAAAACUACGUUGCAGAAUCUGUAAGCUACAGACAGCAGCAUCAGCCGUUGGAUGUGGUUGGAUGUGGAGUGAGAAACUAAACAAAAGAAAAUCGGAUGGUGGGAUGACGGGAGAUGUUUGUUACAGAAUCUGUAACAUAGACAGGUCCUUCUUUUUGUCGUAAACUUACAGUCAAAGUUUUAAAUUUAAAACUUUGUUUGUAAAUAUACGAUAAACGUUAGCUUGGUUUCCAGUUGUACUUGUACCAUUACGUAGAGCUGAUAACAAUUCCAAUAGUAUCAAUAUGAUGUAAAUGGCCACCGAAAAACAGUGAAGGUGGCGGCAAACAGUGGCCAAACAUGGUAGCCAGCGGUGGUGAAAGGUGGUUGGUGAUAUUUUAAUAUUAAUUCAAAUAAAUUUAAAUGUUAAGUUUAAUUAAUAAAUCAUUUUUUUUUUUUUUUUUAAAAAGUGAGCAGACCAGCCCAGACCUGAGAGGAGGGCGGGUCUGAUUUGGGUGUACUGGGCUGAACAAUUGACCAGCCUAAUACACCCAAAUGAUGGUGCCAAACGCUGGUAUGGCAGUGUAGAAUACAGUACAAAUUAGCUAAUCUAUAGUCAUGUUAUGUUACAUUAUAUGUUACAUACAGUAAUAUUUAUCUCUUGUUAAGACAUUAAUUUCUUUCUUGCUAUCUGAGUUUUAGCAAUUUCAUCUAUUUGUAGUUCCUUCACAAAACUAUCAUAUUGUUCUUCAAAUUCAGAAGAGGUUUCAGUUAACAGAAGUUCAAUUUUUUAAAAAUAAUUUCUUGAUCAAAUUUUAAUUGGUUUAUCUUCUUUUUAUUGGACAAUAUUUUGCUAUGUGUCUAAGUUUUCUGCAUUUAAAACAAGUAUAAUUUUUUGUUGCAUUUUUCAUAGUAUUUUCUUUGGACUUUUUAUCUCUUUUGAUAUAUUUGGUUUUCUUGGGUCUGCUGUGAAAAUUUGAUUUUUUUUUUUUGUAAAAUUUUCGUCUUCUAGGAUAUGAUUUCGUUUUCUUGGGUCUGCUGUGAAAAUUUGACUUGGGUCUGCUGUGAAAAUUUGAUUUUUUUUUUUUGUAAAAUUUUCGUCUUCUAGGAUAUGAUUUCCUAGCACAAUUUCCAUCACAUCUGUGAUAAUUUUUCUUUUUCUUUUUUGUUAAUAUAAGUUUACAAUACUGAGAAUGUAAUUGUUCCCUUUUGAUUUGUUUCUGUAAUUUCAUAGCUUUAUGAAUUUUCAUUCCUUCUUUUUGAAUAAAUCUAUUUAAUUCUCCAUACGUAAGUUUUUUGUAUGAAAUUUCUCCUCCAUAUAUUUUUUAAAUUUGUCUCUAACUUUAUCAGCUUGAAGUCCAGGUAGUCUAAGGUGGCGUUUGUUUUUUAACUUAAUGACUUAAAGUGACUUAACUUAAUUAUUUAAGUUAAAUUUUUUUGGCUUUUUACUUAAUGGAGAAUCUGAAUUAAGUCAAUUACUUGCUAAUCUAAAAAAUAUCCCUGCUUUAUAAUUUAUUUUUUAUGUCUAUCCCAAAACUCACCCAUAGAUAUUUACCCCACAUAAAAAUAUCCAUGUUUUUUCUUUCUUAUAUUAUAUACGAUAAAAUUUGAAAUUUAUGAUAUUUUAUAUAUUAAAAUUCCAAAAUAAUUAUGUAUUCACUUGAAUAUAGUUUUACUUAUAAAUGUUAAAAUAUUGUGGUAUUUAAUUUAUUAUUUAUUUGACAUUCAAAUUUAAUAAGGAUACAAAUGUAAAAGUACAUAUUUUCAGCUUUUUAAGUUGAAAAAAAAAACAACUUAAUACUUAUUUUCUGAGAUUCAGACAAAAAAAUAAACAUAAUAUUCAGAUUCAGAUAUUCAAAUCUAUUCAUAAUUCAGAUUAAUUCAGGUUUAUUCAGAUUUCAGAUAAAAAAACAAACGCCACCUAACUAUAAAUUUUUGUUUCCAAAUUGGAUGAUUAUUGUUGGAUGAUUAUUGUUAGAUCUUGAAAUUGCUCCUGCAAGUAAUGUGUCUUUAUACCACCUAAAAUCUUGAAGGGUUUUACAUCUUAAAUUUGUUAAUUGCUCAUCAUUUUUGUCUUUAGUUGCAGAAGGGAUUUCUAAAAUUAAAUCUGAUUACUGAGAAAAUUAAAGAAUUAAGAGCAUCUUGAAUUUCUUUAUUAUAGUAAUCUUUUGUUGUUGUAUCAGUUGAAUCUUUCUUAAUUGACUAUAAAAUUUUAUGUUUAUCAUUUUGAGUUAAGGUAUAAUCCUACCAACCUUUUAAUUAGCCAUUAAACCCAACUACUAAUAACUGAGUAAUGGCAUGAUUAGAUUAACCAAGUUUUGUUUUGAAAACAUUGUUAACCAUUGCCAUUUAUUGUAACACAUUGAGAAUAUUCUACAUUUCCACUAAUAAAUUGAAUUUGUACCAUAUUUAUUUUAGAAAACUUGAGGCUUUGCUUCUAUUAUUAUAUCUAGAGCUGAAGCUCUUGGAAAUAAAGUUUUUGCUUCUAUUGUUAUAUCUAGAGCUAAAGCUCUUGGAAAUAAAGUUUUUGUGUGGCUUCCAAUUUGAUGUAGAUUGAUUGCCUGGAAUGAGCAGGGUACUUUCGAGGGAUCAUAACUUGGACUACAAGUGUUCGUUUUAGGUAUAUAAUAUAUCAUUUUGAAGAUUGUGACGUAAUGAACCAAACCAAGACGCUGUAUUAUUUUGUCCCAUGAUCAAGGUAGAAAUUCUACUUCUUUCUUGAUCAUUUUGUAGUUUUAAGAUAUUUCUCUAAUUUUCAUGUUCCUUUUAGGUGUUUAUAUAUUUUUUUAAGAUAUCGAAUUUGGGCUCCAUUUGUUUUUCUUUUCUUAUUUAGAUUAGGAUAAUUUUAUUAUAAAAUAAUAUUUCAUAUUUGCCUAUUUUGGUAAAUUCACUAUAAUUAGGGUUAUUAUAUAAAGGGGCCAAAACCAUAGUUUUGUUAAUUCAGACAUAUUCAAAAAACUUUAUUAUUCAGAAACUUGUGUUUCUUCUAUCAUUCAACUUUAAAUGUUUUAGUUUUGGCAGUUGGUAUCAGAGCAAGUUCACUUAUCAUCGUUAUACGACCACAUUAGCAAAGGAGCAAAGCCUAUGCUGAAUAAGUGUUUGAAGUGUGGGGAGCCUUGCUAUCGAUCAAUUGAUUAUUGUCCUAAAAAAUUGAAUUUAGUAGAGGCUAAAGUUAGUGAGACAGAGGUUAAUGGUGUUAAGGAUGGCGAUGAUGAAGAAGCUUUAGAGUUAGAGGCAGAUGAAGGAGAGAUGUCAAAUUGCAUUGUGCAGAAAAUUUUAUUAGCCUUAAAGAGGAUAAUCAGAGCAAUAAGAUUUUUAGAACAUGUGGCACCAUCAACAAUAAGGUGUAUAAUAUGAUAAUUGAUAGUGGUAGUAGCGAGAAUAUAAUUUUGAAGGCGCUAGUUGACAUGAUGGGAUUUUCAACAAAAAAAACAUUUAGCAUCUUACAGGAUAAGGUAGAUAAAGUAAAGGACAUAAAUAUAACAGAAGUAUGUUGUGUUCCUUUCUCUAUUGGGAAGAUUUAUAAAAGUGAUGUGGUGUGUAGCGUGGUGGAUAUGGAUGCGUGCCAUUUGUUGUUGGGCAGACCUUAGCAGUUUGAUGUUGAUUAGUUCAUAGAGGAAAGGACAAUGUGUAUGAGUUUUGAUGGAAUAGAAAAAAGGUUCAUUUGGUGCCUUUAACAAACAAAAACAAGAAUUCUAAGACUAAAGGAAAGAACUUUCUGACUAUUGUCAAGGGUCACUUAGAAGAUGAUUGUGAUGGUUGCAAGAAGCUGAAUAAGGAAGAAGAAUUUGAGGUGAAGACUGUUACUAAAAAAGUGAAGUCAUUGUUAGCUGAGUUCGCUAAUGUUAUACCAUCAGAGAUGCCAAAUGGGCUUCCGUCUUUACAAGAUAUACAACAUCAUAUAGACUUAGUUCUUAGUUUGAGUUUGCCUAACUUGCCCCACUAUUAUAUGAGUCCUCAUGAGCAUGCGAUCGUACAAAGGGCAGGUUAAUUAGUUAUUGCAGAAAGGGUUCAUUCGGAAGAGCAUGAGUCCAUGUACUAUACCAGCUUCGUUGGUGCCAAAAAAGGAUAAGAGUUUGCAUAUAUGUGUAGACAACAGGCGAAUUAAAUAUAUUACAUUGAAGUAUCGAUUUCCCAUUCUAACCUUUCGAGAUUUGUUAGAUCAAUUGGAUGAUGCUUGGGUUUUCUUGAAGAUAGAUUUAUGUUGUGGCUACCAUCAAAUUAGAAUUAGGCCUAGAGAUAAGUGGAAAAAAAGUGUUUAACAUAAAAGAAAGGUUCCAUUAGUAGUUUUUGAUGCCAUUCGUGUUGUCAAAUGCUUUAUUAUUUUUAUGUACUUAAUGGACUAGGUUCUUAAACCAUUUUACUACAAAUUUAUUGUGGUGUAUUUUGAAAAUAUCUUGGUUUAUUCUAUUAAUGUGGUUGCCCAUUAAAGAAUUUGAGAAUGGUUAUAUAUGGAGGUGUUGCAUCGAAACAAGCUUAACAUUAAUGUGAGGAAGUUUAGUUUUCUAUAUAAUAAUGUGGAGUUUUGGGAUUUAUAAUUAGUGCAGAUGAGAUUCAAGCUAUUGAGUCAAAGAUAUAAGCCAUUGAAAGAAUGGCCUAUGCCCAAGGAAGUGGGUGAAGUUAGAAGCUUUCAUGGGCUGGCAAUAUUUUAUAAGAGAUUCAUUUGUGGUUUUAGCACUAUAGCUGCACCUAUUAUAGAAUGCUUAAAGAAAAGAAAGUUCGAGUAAGAAGAAGAGUAAGAAGCGAGUUUUGUUUUACUAAAGUAAAAGUUGUGUACUGCUCUUAUAUUGGCCUUGCCAAACUUCAACAAGUUAUUUAAGGUCAAGUAUGAUGUUUUAACAAAUGAAUUGAGGCUAUUUUUUUCUCAAGAAGGACAAUCAACUGAAUAUAUAAGUGAGAAGUUAACUGAAGCAUAAUAGAAGUGAUCUACUUACGACUAAUAGUUUUAUGCCAUUCUUAGGACUUUGAAGUCAUAUGAUCAUUGCUUGAUUAUGAAAGAGUUCAUGUUUUACAUUGACUAUCAAGCCUUGAAGUACUUUAACAGCUAGCAUAAUAUGAGAGAUGGGUGAGUUAUAAGUAGAAGUUCACUUUCGCUGUGAAACAUAAAUCUGGGUAUCAGAAUAAAGUAACAGACGCACUUAGCAGACGAGCAACUUUUCUUGUAACUCUAGUUAAUGAAGUUACUAGUUUUGAAUGCUUGAAGUAGUUGUACACUGAGGAUGAAGACUUUGAGAAUAUUUGGAAUUGAUGCGUUAAUCAUUAAAACGCAGAAGAUUUUCUCGUUCAAGAUGGAUAUAUAUAUUCUAGGCUAAUAAAAUAUUUGUGCCUUAAAGUUACUUAGGAGCAAAUUAUCUGCAUGUUGUAUAAGGAGAACUGGGCGGCUAUAUUGGUCGAGAUAAAACCACGGCACUUGUGGAUAAGCGAUAUCAUUGGCCGUAAUUAAAUAGAAUGUCCACAAUAUUGUGCAGAGAUGUCGAAUUUGCCAAAAAGGCAAAGGACAUGCGUAGAACAUGGGGUUAUACAUGGAUUUCAUGUUGGGCUUGCCUCAUAUAAAGACUGUUUAAGAUUCUAUACUGGUUGUGAUCAAUAUAUUUUCAGAGAUGGCUCAUUCUAUUGCUUGUGAAAAGACUGAAGAUGCUACCCUAGUCACAUUUGUUCUUUUGGGAGGUAGUAUAUUUGCAUGGUGUUCUAAAAACUAUAACUUCUGUCAAGGAUGUGAAGCUCAUUAACAAGAUUUAGCAUAAUCUCUAGGAUAAGUUUGGCAGACAGUUGUAGUUUAGUAGUGUUCUUUUUUAUCCAUAGACAAAUGGACAAAUGGACAAAUAGAGGUGAUUAAUCACAUUUUGGGCAACAUGUUGCACUAUGUUUAUGGUGACACGCAAUGGAACUGGGAAGCUUGUACAAAGACUAAAAAUGCUGCCUUAGUUGCAUUUGUUCUUUUGGGAGGUAGUAUGUUUGCAUGGUGUUUUAAAAACUAUAACUUCUGACAAGGAUUUGAAAGCUCGUUACCAAGUUUUGGCAUCAUCUCUAGGAUAAGUUUAGCAUACAAUUGUAGUUUAGUAGUAUUUUUUAUCCAUAGACAAAUGGACAAAUAGAUAUGAUUAAUGGCACUUUAGGCAACAUGUUGCACUGUGUUUGUGAUGACAAGCAAUGAAACUGGGAAGCUACAAUGCCUCAGGUUGAAUUUGCUUACAACAGUAUGGUGAAUCGAUCCAUUGCAAGACCCUUUUGAGAUUGUCUACACUUGCCCUCCACGCCAUGUUUGUGAUUUAGUAUUUAUCCCACUAGUAGUUGGGGAAGGAAGUAAAGCAACAAAUGUGGCAAAAAAGGAGUUGUAGAUUCAUGCUAUGGAGUGAGCUCACUUGGGGGCUAUCAAUGCUAGGUAUAAAGUUGAUGCAAACAAGCACCAAUAGAAGAAAAUAUUUCAGGAAGGUCAUUUGGUGAUGGCUCAACAGUGGUGAGAAGCAAAAAUAUGGCCCUUUUUUAUUGUCAAGGAAGAUUAAUGAUAAUGUUUACGUACUUCAGCUGCCAAAAAACUAGAACAUCUCUCAUACUUUCAGUGUAGCUGAUCUAUUUGAAUAUUAUCCAGAUGAUGAGGAGUUGUAUGAACCAAACUCGAGGAGAAGUCUUUCUCCAAGUGAGGGAGAUUGAUGUAGGUUGGAUGCGUGGAACGGUGGGGUUACUUCCAAAGGUCAUAACUUGGGCUACAAGUGUCCGUUUUGGGCAUUAUAUUGUUUCAAAACUUGUGACGAGAGAAACCAGACCCAUAAUUGUUUAUACUUUUCUGCCCAUGGUCAAGUUGGAAAUUUCACUUCUUUCCUAGUCGUUUUUUAAUUUUAAGAUAUUUUCUUAUUUUUCCUAUUUCUUUUAAGAUUUUUUUAGAUAUCGAAUUUGGAUGCAGUUUGUUUUGCUUUUCUUAUUUAGAUGAGGAAAAUUUUAUUAUAAAAUAAUAUUUCACAUUUGUCUAUUUUGGUAAAUUUGUAAUAUUUAGAGUUACUAUAUAAAAGGGACAAAACUCUAAUUUUGUUAAUCCAAACUUAUUCAACAAACUUCAUUAUUUAAAAACCUAUGUUUCUUCUAUCAUUCAACUUUAAACCUUUCCAUUUCAUCACAACUGAUCUUAUUAAGUAUAAAUUUUAAAAUUUCAGAAUCAUUGUCACUAUAACUUUUAGAUUGGCUAUCACUUGAAUGGUUUAAAGCAUUGACUUCUUUUGAUGUAGAAAGUCUUUUUGAUGUAGAAGUAAUAUUGGUGUAUCAGGUUUGAGUUGUGAUUUUAGAAUGACAAGUGUUUUAUCGAUUUCUUCUAUAAAUUCUUUUUUAGCUAAUUCUUUUUUUAAUACUUCUUGGAAUUUCAUGGGGUUUGAAUAAGGAUUUCACAUAUGCUCUUUCCAAGUUUUUAUUUAAAAUUUGUGGAGUGAGUUUUUAUGGUUUCCAAAUAUUGACUAUAUAUUUGUUUUUGGUCAAGAAUUUUUUUUUAUAUCUUUAUCGUUCUUUUUUGUCGUUUUUUAUUUGAAAGGUGAGGCUACAAUUUAAGUGUUUUUAUACUAAAUUUUAAAUGUGUUGAUUCAGUAGUAUCCCCAGUAGAAGUUUGCCAAAUUUUUACCUCACUUGCCAUAUUUAUUGUUUGGGAAAUAGAUAUUUAUUAUUGUAAAUAUUUGCAUAAUAUCCAAAGCAUUGGAAAAAUAUUACUUGAGCUUUAUUCUUGUUCAUGAAUUCAUAAUAUUGUUUUUGAAUUUCUAGCUUUUCUUUUCCUUGUCAAGAAACAAAUUUUAUAUUUUUUCAUUUGUUUUUGAUUAAAAAUCUUUUCUAAAAAAUUCUUUAUUGAUUCCAUUUUUUUUUUCUAAAGCAUCUAAUUCAUUAUGAUCGGUUAUGGAUGAAUAUGUAGUGACAUUCCUGGGGACUCAGUUUCUGUACUUUUAUUUUGGACAGGUUCAGGUUCGUUGAUAGAAUAAUAUGGUUUUGUUCUGUUUGAAGAAUUAUCUACUCAUCGGAGAUUGUUUAAAAUGAAGUAAAGCUUUGUUUGGUUACUAAGAAAAUGAACCAGAAAAUGAGGGAAGAGAUAGAAAAUCAAAUAAGCUCUUAUUCAUUAACUGAAAACUUACAAAAAUGAUUCUAACCACUGAUAUUUAUAUACACGAUAACAUACAUGAAUCGGUUACUAAAUCCAUCUAGAAACUUCACUCACACACACGCACUUUACACAUCUAUUUGUAACUAACUUGCCAAGUCAGCAUAACGAAUUUACUAAGCUGCUGACUGAACCACCGACCUUAUCAUGCUCUACAUCAUCAUCAUCAUCAUCACUAGAUAUUAAGCUACACUAAGCUGAUGACUGAACCACCGAGCUUAUCAUGCUCUGCAUCAUCAUCAUCACUAGAUAUUUUAACAGAGAUCUGAUCUUUUUGGAGGUCUAGAAAUUGAAGAAAAAUAGGCUCUAGCUGGCUCUCUUGAGGAUGAUCCAAAUUUGAGAUCAGAGGAUCCUAAGCUCAAGUUUUCAAAUUGUAAUGCUCUUUGCCAAGCAAAUGAUAUUAAUACACUUCUAUCAAUAUUUGUUUCUAUUUCUUUUAGUUUUGUGUUUUGUACUUUUUAAAAUUGUGUAACUUUUCCAUUGUCCAUUCUCACAAAUUGUAAUUUGAUCCCAUUUAAUAAAGUUUCUCCUUUUUGUUGUGUUUUAAAGCUUUUGUGCUAAAAGCAGAGAACAUUGGUUUCUAAAGAAUUUUAUGCAUUAAAGCUACAGGAAGUGUUCCCGGUUUGAUCUUGUAAUUGUAUGUUUUAUUAUUCAAAGUUAAGACAUCCAAUAUUUUUGUCAUUUUAAUAAAACUGUAAUGUAAAAUUUGGAUAACAACCAAAAUAAAUUGGUCCGUUGCAAAGAGUUGUUUCAAUUGUUCCUAAGAGUGAAUCUCUAAAAUCUAGAAACCUACAAUCUCUUAGACAUGCAAAUAAAGGAGUAUCUAAGCCUUCACAACUCAAUGGUUUAAAUCCAACUUGGACCAAUUCAAUAUGAAGGUAAUUAAUCUUUUUUGUAUUUUUUAAUUGUUUCAAAAUAAAGAAUUUUUCCUGUUUGAAAUUCACUUUUUUAUUCCAACAGUUCUUUCUUUAGUUUUGAUAAUAUUAUCAGUUUUUAAGAAAUUUAAUCUACAAUCUUUGUCAAUUUUGUUUGUUGAAAUUUUUAGAAUUCACCAUGUACCCCAAUUGCUUAAAGCCAAAGUACUGUCACAAUUUUUGUCAUUUUCUACUUAGAAGUUAAUUUCUCCUUCGUUCUUGAUUCCAUCUCUAGUACAAGAAUUGAAGGUAGACACUGAUAUAAAUAAAGAGUUCAUUAUUAGAAUACCUUUUUUUAAAAAAAAAAAAUUCCUUCCUACUCGGUUACUGACCAACGGUCUCACCCGCCAUAAUCGGUUUAAUAUGCCGGGAUCAUAACCGGAAUGACGCGUAGAUAAAAUUAAAUAUUUUUCAAAUAAACUCAGAUAAUUUGACCUGCCUCCGCCCUUUUUCUGAUACCAAAGAGACAUGGAUGCAAAAGAAAGAGAUGUCAUGGUUAAUAACUGUUGGAAAAAUAAGGCUUUAAGAGAGACGAAGGAUAUAUUUAGUUGUAAUAACAAUGAACAGAAAAGGAUAAUGCUAUAAGUUUUAAAAUAAUUACUGCAAGUUAUGUUGUAUAAAUAAACAACUAUGAAAAAAAUUAGUUAAACAUUUGGUAAAAUUUAUUUUUAAAAGAAAACAGAUCCGGUGCUCAGCAAUGGUCAGCAAUUGCUCUAUGUAAACUCCAAGAAAUUGCUGACCGUUGAUCCAAUACUCAACACAAGCUCAGUUGAGCACCGGAUCCUGGUCCUUUUUGAAAAUGCUAUGAGUUCUAAAAGCAAUCAUUUAUAUUUAAUAAUUCUUAUUACUAAAUUGUUAUAACAAUAUAAAUAACUAAAUUAGAAAUAAUGUUGAGUAAUUUUUUUUUUACACAUUUAUAAACACGUAUAUAAAAUUUUUUUAGUUGUGUAUAUAUAAUAAUUGAUAACUAGAAUAAAUAUAUUAUAUUAUUAAUUUUAUUUUGUUUGAUGAUAAUAAUCUCUUAAAGUAAAUGAUUUUAUUUCCUAAUUAAUAAAGAUAAUUUUAUAUUUUUAUUAUAUAUAUGAGAAUAUACAUGAAAUCAUACUAAGUAUAAAAGUGAUCUUAAAAUUAAAUUUUGAAAAGUUACUCCUCCCUUAUUUUUUAAAAUCUACUGUAAGAUGCAAUAAUUUUAACAAAUGUGAUUUUUAAAAAACUUAAUCAAAUACUAAAAUUAACUUUUAACUUUUUAAAAUUACUUUUAAAACUCUCAAAAGUCAAAAGCAAUCCAAGUGCGCUUGUGCAUUGAUUUUCAUUUGUUAUAAGUAUCUCAUAGAUGUGGAAGUGUCGAAUAGAGAGUUUCAAGCUUGGGAAGCUAUGACCAAAAUAUAAAUAAAUUAAUAAAUUAAAGAUUGAGUUGGUAUUUGGUAAGAAAUAAAUUUCUUGUUAGUUCAUCAGCCUCUCACUGUGUUAAUUCCAAGUACAUCAUAACGAUUAUUGUUAUGUAUAAUCAAAUAUAUUAUAAGCACUUGUAUUGUAAUGAAUUAUCGAGGAACGAUGGAUUUUCUUUUCAUAUAAAUAAAGAUUAAGGCAUAUGGCUAAACAUGCACCUAGACAAAGGUCUCCAAAUGAUUUUAUUCAGUAUUUUUCUAAUGUCUAAAAAAUUUAAUAUAAACAACUUUCUGUUCAUAUAUGUCACUUGAGAUCUAGUUGACUUAAAGUUUCACUAAUUUUUUAUAAUUUUUUUUUUGUAUUUUUAAAACAUAGGGGAAGAGAUUGAAACUUAAAAAUACUUUUUAACCCCUUAUCUCACCUAAGAUUCAAACUCAAGUGGCCAGGUAUUGCUUGAAACCAUUUGAUUAGCCCUUGGUUUGCUAAAUUUUAUAGUUAAAAUAUUGUAAUAAUGAAUACUACUUAAAUCAGCAUAACGAUGAAGGAGCAUUGGUUCCAAAUAUACAUUAAAUUUUGUUAAUUAUUACUCCUUUAUUUUAUGAUUCAAUCUUCUAUGAACAUCUUCUCUUUCUAGAGCAACUUGUAAUUUAGUGAUUAUCAUUGAUUUUUAUUUCCUGAUGAACGUCAAUAUAUGCACGUGUCUUCUCAUCGGAGCAAAGUAAGGAUUUUGAUAGAGGUUAAGAAUUUCAUUUCUAAUAUUCGCUUUCUUUGACUCAAUUUGGAGACGAUUUCCUCAAAAAAUUGCAAAAUGUUUAUUUAUGGAUGAGGAGAAAAAAAAUCACAAAGUGGUGAGCUAAAAACAUGAUAUGGGUACCGUCGCCUGAUAUUAAAACAACAAAAAAAAUUGUUUAAAAAAAAUUCCUAUUUCCUAGGGCUCAACGAUGCCGUCGCUCCAAAUUUUGGCACUGAAAUACCCACCAAAAACAAUUCACUCCACCUAGGGAUUUUUGUUAUUUUUUCCAAGGAAAAUGCUACUGUAGGUAAUCACAUGUGCAUUUUUCUCUAAUUACCGAAGCAACCUUAAAAUCCCUCGGAAACAGGCUAUUCACCUAUGGAUUUUGAGGUCCCUCGGAAAUAAAUGGUCGGCAAUAUACUUUUUUUUUUUGUAGUGAUGGUUUAACUAAAAUCAGUGGACUAGAUUUUGUUUAUUUAUUAUUUAUCAUCAUCAUCAUCAUCAUUUUAAAAUUUAAAAAGGUGACAGGGUAAUAGUUCAUUUUACGUAUAUAUAUCAAUGUUUCUGCGCUGCUGAUGUUUGUUUACGGCUUUCAAUCUUCAAUAUGGUGGAACGUUGAACAUGCAAAGAUAUGAAAUGUAUCUUUUAUUUUGCUAUAUAUUUUCAACUGACAUCAAAAUGAAGAUUAAAUGUAAUGUACGUACGUGAUGAAGCAUAAAUAUAUAUAAAAUCAAAAGCCUCAAAUCAAAUUAAUAAUUAAACAUAAAAUAUAGUAUAUAUCAAUCCAUAUAUGAAUACAACAGUAGUACAGUACUCCUACGGAGCCCAGCUCAUCACGAGUCGUAUCCCAGACUUAAAAGUAAUAAUGAAAAAUCCUCAAAUUAAAAGGAAACCAGACAAAUAGGAAGGUCUCAAAAGAAGAACCCACAAAUAUAAGUUAUUAAUAUACUUCUACAGAGAGCCAGAUGAAGCUCAUGAAAGCAUUUGAAGACGUGAAAUUUAUGGAUUGGAGGUUGAGUGAGUUGGGAUCUCCUUGGGAAGACUCGGGAUGGCGGGAAAUGUGGGCUUAGGAAGCUCAGGUAGAUGAGGGAAAGAAGGCAAUUCAGGCACUUCAAGUCCUUUUGGCACCUCAAGUUUCGGAAUCUCCGGCAAUUCAGGAUUUUUUGGUAGCUCGGGCUUUAAAAUCUCAGGUGCUUUAGGUUUUUUUGGUAGCUCAGGCAAUUCAGGCUUUGGAAUUUGUGGUAGUUCAAGUUUUGGUAACGGUGGUAGUUCAAACUUAGGCAAUCCAGGCUUGGGUAUUUCUGGAACUGCUGCCUCCAAAAGAUGGCGAGCAUCGACCAAAUCGAUGUUAUAGCUCAUUGACGAUAAAGUGAUUAGCAAAAGUGGUAUCAUAACGGAUGGGAGAGAGAAAGACGCCAUGGUUGAACUAUUGGCGAAUAAGACUUUAAGAGAUGCAUGAAAGAUAUAUUGUGUUGUAAUAAUAAGAAUCAAAAGAAAAGGGAUCAAGUGUGUUUGUGCAUUGAUUUUCAUGUGUUACGAGGCUUUUAUAGGUGUGGGGAAGUGUUGAAUAAAGGGUUUAAAUAUUGGGUACGUAUGACUAAAAUAGUAUAACAUAAAUAAAUUAUGCUUGGGUUAGUACUCGGUAAGAAAUUUAUGUCUUCUUAGUUCAUCAACCUCUCACUUCUGCUAACUCCACAUACAUCAUAAUGUACGAUUAUAUAUCAUUGUAUAAUAUGUUAUGUAAGCAAUUAUAUUGUAGUGAAAUCGUUAUAUGGAGGAAUGAUUCUUUAUCUUUUUAUGUAUUCAGAAAAAGGGCAAAUGGCUAAAACAAUAAUCUCUAAAUAAUUUUUUUGUUCAAUACUUUUCCAAAAAAAAAAUUACUAUUAAUAAAGUUCAUGUGGUAAGGAGUAGUCUUUCUAAAGCUCAAAUCUUGGGUUCAAACUUUCAAGUGUGCGUGAAUCUAUAAUAAGAAAAGAAAAAAAAUUAAUAUUAAUAAAUAACUUUCUGGCCAUAUGUCAAAAGACAUCUAAUUGGCAUAAGUUUCACUAAAUUAGAUCUUGUUAAUUAAUAUAGGGAAAUAUAUAUCUCUAUUUUAAUUUAACAGUCAAUCUUUUAGCAUUUGUAGCUUCCCUUUCCAAAAACAGACUUAUACGUAAUUGACUUCCAUUUCCUUGUGGAUGUUAAUACCCAAUUGUCAUCUCUCUUAUUCCCAUCUUUUCCUGUCCAAUUAAUUUAUCAGAUUGUCUUCUCAUUGUAUUUGAAUUCUACAGGAAAGAAGAUUGCACGCUUCAUGAUGAAGAUUUUGUGCCUGAUUAAUUAGCUUGUGGUUGGAUGCAGAACUUGUAUAUUCCAUUCAUACAGACAAUCUAUUGUUGUAUGCGAACGGUAACUACCUUUUUAAUUUUUUUUUUCAAUUAUCAUUAUUUCUCCCAGAUAUAAAGAUAAUAAAGUCCGAUUUUCUUAGUAAAAUCAAAUGAUUAGUCAGAUUAAUACUCGGUCUCCACGCUUUUUGAUGGUUUUGUCAAAGAAAUCUCAAGAAUAUCCAUGCGGAACAAGGAUGUAUGUUUGGGAAGGAGAAAGCAGAGAUAAUCAUCUCAUUAAUUAAGCAUCCAAAGUACCAUGCUAAUUGAUCAUUUUUCUAAACAUAAUUAUUUGAAAGCCAUUUUCUUGAAAUUGGUCAUUUUACUAAAGGGAGUACGAACUUUGAUCUGGGUCAGAAAAUCAACCAGACCCACCUUUAUGGGCCAAACAUUACUCUGCUUUUUCCGCGCUGGGCUUGGGUUGAGUGACCUCGUGGCAUUGCUGUUUGGUGUUUGCAAAAUUUUAGCUGAACCGAAUGUGAAUAUGUGAUGAACGAGGAAGUAUAUAUAGCAACAAACAUUUUUGUACAAACAACAUAUAUUUAUAUGUGUGUGUGUGUUCCAAGGGUUUGCAAGAAAAUAAUAAAUCUGACACACUAAACAUAAAUCAUUGCUCGUUUAAUUUUUUUUUUUUUUUUAACUUAGGUAACAAUAGGCUCAAAGUGUAUUCACGACCAACUGAGCUAUGUUCUAUAAUUUUUGUUGUACAAAUUUAAGUGAAAUAUUAUAAUUAUUUGAAUUUAAAAAUAUGAUAUGGUCUACAAAAUUAUUUGCACAAGUGUUUAUGGAUCUACAAUUAUUAUUAAGUAAUAUCGUAUACACUUAAUAUACUAAUUGAACUGCAGAAGGUAUAGUUUAGCUAUGAAAGUGUGAUUCAUUGAUUCAAUUAAUGGUUAAGAGAUUCUUAAGUUCAAUAAUGAAGGGAAAUAAAAAAAAAACUUUAUUUCUUGUCAUUAUGAAUUAUAAUUAAUAUGAUGAUAUUAUGGAGCAAAUUGUGGGCAUAAAACGUGAACCAACCCCUUCAUUAACAAGGACGCAAGGCAUGUUUCCAUCGUUAGUCAGUCUUCUACACCAACUACUUAAUGUUGUGCGCGGAAUACGGAAUCAAACGCACCAAAUAAUUACAGAAAAAUAAAGGACACAAGAAUUACGUGGUUCAGCAAUAUGCCUACGUCCACGGGAGCAAGAGAAAAAUAAUUGUAUUAUUAAUAAUUAUUUGAGUACAAAUUUGAGUAAAGAAACCUCAUUUUUCUAGAACCCAAAUACAUCUAGUACUCUCACACACUCUCCAAUUGCUCACACUCUUCAAAACUCUCAAAAACUUAAAAACUUAUAAGCUUAACAAAUUUAGGGAUGAUUUCGAAUGAAGAAAUGACUUCAAUUUAUAGGCUUCAAGCUUGCACUAUUCCACCUAAUCCCUUUGCAAUUUGUCAAUCUUCAUCUCUGUCAAUUUGACAAGUUUUGCUAACUUUUCCAUUUUUCUUCAUUUGGUGCAGGAUUGUCAAAUGCCAAAUAUUCUAUAGCUUGCAAUUUUGAAUUUGGAAGCCACUUUAUUGACUAGUGUAUUUAAGGGUAUGAGAGUUCCAAUUUGCGACAACUGAGGAUGCAGAUUAAUUCUGCCCAGUGCUGCAGCACUUGCUGUAACAAUUGGAGUCAACUUGAUGAAAAACAGUCAGCCCAUAAGGAGAGUUUGAUCAUUCAACUACCAUAAUCUAAAUUGAAUCUUAGACACAUUUUAUUUGGUUUAAUUCAUUACAGUACUGUUUACUUUAUUCUCUCACAAUCAUCAAUUACAAUAGAACCCACUCUACAUUUAUUAACUUUGGAUUGAAUUUAGUUGCAUUAUUGUGAUUGCUAUAGCAUUUCAAGUGACAUCAAUCCCUGUGGAGACGAUCUUGAAUAUUCAUCACUUUAUUACUUGCUGUGUACACUUGCACAUUGACAUCAAUAACAUUUGAUUAUAAAAAUAACCAACAAUAGGCUACCACCAUGUCUUUAGUAAGCCAUCCGGGUUUCUUUAUCUCUCUUCUUGGCCUCAUUAUUGCUAUAAAUUAUCAUUAUCUACAUCAUCAAUUGUUUCUUCAUUUUGUGGGACAUCAGAAGAAACAACCUCUUCAACUCUAGGUGUCACCUCCAUAGUUGAACCCUUCUCUGACGUAGAACUAACUGUUACAUAUGGAGUUGCAUCAAACUCCACCCGCUGCAAUACCUCUGUGGUCUUGUUCUCUACUUGUUGAGAACUUGAAGCUUCAUCAAACGUGACAUCUCUGCUACACACAAACUUUUUGUCUUCGAGAUCCCAAAGUUUGAAGCCCUUUACUCCACCUUUGAAUCCCACAAAGAUAGCUUUUCUAGCACGAUGAUCCAAUUUACCAUCUUUGACAUGAUAAUAAGCUGGACACCCGAAUAUACGAAGGGAAUUAUAGUCUUGUGCAUGCUUUCCAGACCACAUUUCCAUAGGAGUUUUACCUUCAAUUGCAGCAGAAGGCAACUGGUUGAUCAAGUGACUUGUAUAGCCACAACUUUAGCCCAAAACUUUUUAUCUAAACCAGCAUUAGGUAACAUGCACCGUACUUUCUCCAGUAAAGUACUAUUCAUACGAUCAGUCACACCGUUCUGUUGCAGAGUAUGUCUCACCGUGAAAUGUCUUUUAAUACCCUCGUUCUGGCAUACUUGCAAGAAUGGAUCAGAAGUAUAUUCACCUUCAUUAUCAUAUCGUAAUACUGUAAUCUUUCUGUCAGUUUGAGUCUCCACCAAUUUCUUCCAUUUCACGAAAAUCUCUAGAACCUCAUCCUUUGCUCGCAUGGUGUACACCCACACACGUCUAGAGAAAUCAUCAAUAAAUGUAACAAAAUAAUGGCUUCCACCAAUUGAUGCAGUCUUGGUUGGUCCACAUACAUCACUGUGAACAUAUUCAAGGAUCUCACGAGUAUCGUGAUUAGCUAUACCAAAUUUGACCAUUGUUUUCUUGUUUAUUACACAAUGCUCACAGAAAUUUAAUUUACAGGUUUUAGUACCUUUUAAGAGUCCGUGCUUCAUCAGAGUUUGCAAAGAUUUUUCUCCAGCAUGUCCCAAUCGUACAUGCAAUAACUUGGUGGUGUCAUUGUGCGCCUCAGCAACAUUUUCUUUAUCAGUUGUACAUUCCUUCAAAUAGUACAGAUUGUGAUGCCGAACCCCUUGCAGAAUCACAAUAGCACCAUGUGUAAACUUCAUUUGUGCCAUCUUCAAUGGUAACCUUGUAGCCUUUAGCUUCCAAAACACCCACAGAAAUUAGAUUUUUCUUUAAAGCUGGAACAAAUCUAACCUUUUUGAGUUCUCUGAUCAUUCCAUCAAAUAUUUUGAGCCAAAUUCUUCCUAUCCUCAUUGUACAACAAGGUUGAUCAUUCCCUAUCACAACUGCACCGGAUUUCAGAUUACAAAAAUUCUUAAACCAUUCCUUAAUAGGACACAAAUGGUAGGUUGCUCCAGUAUCAAGUAUCCACUCGCUCGAACUAGCCACGUAUACUGUAGGAGUAAUACUUCGUGAAUAAUCAGAGUCUCAUCUUUUAGUGUCAUGUUUGCUGCAAUGACCAUUUUCAUGACAAAAGGCACACUCGUCUCGAGCUAUAUUUCUGCUUCUCGAUUUGGAUUGAGAAUUCUUUCCACCACGCUUUUUCUUUUUCUUCAUCGCCCAAUCUCUGCUCACCAAAGCUUUAGACGAUGCUCGUUCAGAAUUUUUAUCAUUAUUCUGAAUCUCCAAGUUAGUCAAUGCUAUGCAAACAUCUUUGAAGACGAACACACUCUUCCCAUAUAUCAAGGUAGCAAGUAAGUUUUCAAAUCUUGAGACAUGAUCGUGCAUUGAUACCCCAGGCUUCAUUCGAAAGUCAUAUACUUGGCUCAUUGCAUGAAGACGAUUUUCAAGACUUUUUAGCAGGUACUUCUUCCCCAAUGAACGCCACAAAGUCAUCACACACUCCUCAUCUUUCACCAAGUAUUUCACCUCCUUGGUUAAACAAGAUCUAAUCUGACCACAGGCUUUCUCGUUCAUACGAUCCCAAAUUUCUUCAUUAUACAAGUGUCUUUUAUUUUUCAGAACAACAUCGAGAUCGAUUUGAAUAAGGGCAUCCAUAACUUUGCGCCUCCAUAUGCCAAAGUUGAUUUUCCAUCAAACUUUUCAACAUCGAUUUUCUGGCCUCCUAUAACAGGUGCUGAAUAGUGAUUUGACAAAUCUCGUCUCUCACUUGAAGUGUCUUCUGAAAUAGUCUUGGUAGAUCUCUCCCCAAUUAUGGAAGUUUCACCUUCUACCAUUUUCUCAACGAACUAUUUCCACUUGAAAAACAGCCUCUAUGAUGUUAAUUUCGCGUGAAUAAAUGCACCAGAAAAGUUUCCAGGAGAUUGGGCAGGAACUCGAUCCCAAUUAAAAACCAAAAUCCUUAGACUCUUAUCGCCUUGUUGACAAAACUUUCAUAAACAUGCAAAAAUACACACUACUUACAAUAGACUAUCUCCCAAGUACAAAUGGCCUCUCCACCGUAUUCGUGAACAGUACCGUAUACGAGAACAAUACCGUAUACAAGAAUAGUAUCGUAUCCCCCAAGUACGAACCGUCAGCUCUGAUACCACUUGUUGUGCGCGGAAUACCGAAUCAAGCGCACCAAAUAAUUACAGAAAAAAAGGACACAAGAAUUACGUGGUUCAGCAAUAUGCCUACGUCCACAGGAGCAAGAGAAAAAUAAUUGUAUUAUUAACAAUUAUUUGAGUAAAGAAACCUCACUUUGCCAGAACCCAAAUACACUCAGUACUCUCACACACACUCUCCAAUUGCUCACACUCUUCAAAACUCACAAAAGCUUAGAAACUUAUAAGCUUAACAAAUUUAGGGAUGCUUUCGAAUGAACAAAUGACUUUGUAAUGAAUCAUAAAAAGCUCAAAUUGUUAUUUCGGUUAAUGAGAAAUUAGAUCUUAAAUCCAUUGAUUUGAAAGAAAAAAUGAAGGGAAAAUUGGUAAAUCCCACAUUGGCAAGGUGACUAAGAAUUAAUGGUGUGUUUACUUCAUGAAAUGGGGAAUGAGAAUUAAACCCAUGUUUACUUGGUAAAAUGUAAUUUGAGAAUAAGAAUAAAAUAUAUGGGUCCCACAUAAUUUGGGAAUAAGGAAUGAGAAUUUCAUUCCCAUGGGGGGUUGGGAAUGAAAAUGAGGGAAUGAGAAUGUAAUAUAUGUUUACUUUUGUAUCCCUCUAAUUUUUUAAUAUUUCCCAAAUUACCCUCAUUCAAAUCACAAUUAAUUUUAUUAUUUUAAAUGUCAUUAAUAAUAAUAAUAAUAAUAAUAAUUUAAUAAUGCUGUACCGUACAUCCGCCUUGGCCGUACAGCAGUGCCUCAUCAGAGUUUGCAAAGAUUUUUNNNNNNNNNNNNNNNNNNNNNNNNNNNNNNNNNNNNNNNNNNNNNNNNNNNNNNNNNNNNNNNNNNNNNNNNNNNNNNNNNNNNNNNNNNNNNNNNNNNNNNNNNNNNNNNNNNNNNNNNNNNNNNNNNNNNNNNNNNNNNNNNNNNNNNNNNNNNNNNNNNNNNNNNNNNNNNNNNNNNNNNNNNNNNNNNNNNNNNNNNNNNNNNNNNNNNNNNNNNNNNNNNNNNNNNNNNNNNNNNNNNNNNNNNNNNNNNNNNNNNNNNNNNNNNNNNNNNNNNNNNNNNNNNNNNNNNNNNNNNNNNNNNNNNNNNNNNNNNNNNNNNNNNNNNNNNNNNNNNNNNNNNNAGGAAUGGGAAUGAGAAUCAAUUUACCAAAAUACCCAUAGUAUUAAUAAUUAAUAAAAAUAAUUAAUUUAUCAUUAUUAACAAUAUUAUCAUUAUUGUUGUUGUUAUUAUUAUUAUUACAUUAUUAUUAUUAUUAAAAAUAAUAAUAACAAUAAUUAAUAAUAACUAAAAUAAUAAAGUUAUUAAAAUAUAAUAAUAAUAAUAAUAAUAAAUGUUAAUAAUGAUAAUAUUAAUAAAAAUAAUAAUAACAACAACAAUAAUGAUAAUUUUGUUAAUAAUGAUAAAUUAAUUAUUUUUAUUAAUUAUUAAUACUAUGGGUAUUUUGGUAAAUUGAUUCUCAUUCCCAUUCCUUAUUCCCAUUUAUUUUGCUAAUUAAACACAUCAAUUGCAUUCCAGCACAUUCCCAUUCCCAUUUAUUUUUGUCAAGUAAACAUUGAAAUCUCAUUUACAUUCCAGCUCAUUCUCAUUCCACCCCAUUCCUAUUCCUUGAAGUAAACGCACCAUAAAGGUUUUAUAGAUAUUUAUACACGUAUUAUAUGCUAGUAAAAGAUACGGUUAAUUUAUGCAAAUUAUAUUAAUCGAAUUGAUUUUCUAGUUUUCUACUUUUCCUCUCAAGAUAGCGGGAUUAUUUGUGGCCAGUCCAGUCUUUAUGUAUUUUCACAUACAAAACAUUAAUUUUAUAUUAUUAUGUUGUUUUAAAAUAUUUAUACUAUAGCUAGUUUAUAUAAUUCAUUUUCAUCUUUGUUGGUCGAUUAGUGUCAUAUUAAAAAGGGAAUUGAUACCUACCCUUAUAAGGUUUGGGGAAAUGAUCAUUUAAACUCCUAAGUUUUCAAUAAGGAAAAUCAAGACCCUUUUUUACUAUAAUACUCUUUGUAGAUAGUGACUAAAAAAUUAACUUUAAUUUUUAAAAAUGAAAAUAUAAUUUAAAUUAUUUAAUUUAUCUAUAGACUAAUAGUAUUAGAAUAUUUAUGAUAUAAGCAGAUAAUUUAUAUUUUUGCAUAUUUAUUUUAAUAUUAUGUUUCUAUUUAUUAAAAAAUUUAGUUUAAUAUAAUGUAAUAUUGUAAAGUAUUAAAAUAUUUUAUUAAAUAUUGAAGUUAUUUUUUUUAUAUACUGAUAUAUUAUAAUUAAAGCUCUACUAAUAUUUACAAUUAGAAAUCAAUCGGGACUCUCUUUAAUAAUUCUAUUAUGGCAGAGUCCGAAGGUCAACCCUCACUUAAUAUUGGACGGAGAUUUAUUCUUUCCCAAAAUUGGAGAGACAAGUAAACUCCUACUAGAAGGGAAGUUGAGUCCUAAUCAUUACUGGAACUCAAACCCAAGCGCUCAAGAAUGGUUGAUAAUGGGUUACGAACCCAUUUGCUAAAUAUCGAAGUUAUUUAAAAUGUAUAUAUUGUUACAUCUAUUUUACUAUUAUAUUUCUAAUUAUUAUAAAACAUUAGAGUUAAAUUUUUUGAGUUACUAGACCAAAAGUUAUUAUAACCAAAAGAGGAUUUUAGUAUCCCUUGUUAAAAUUUUAGGACUCUUCAUAACAAUUUUACCAAAUCAUACGGUGUGGGUCAUUUUUACCAUUAAAUAUUAUUAACAGCUUCAGUCCAAAAAUCAAGUAACAUUUUUAUUUUGGGCACGUGGCUCCUCGCGGUUUGUUGUCGAAUAAAAUUAUAACCGAUUGUGCGGUCAAAGCAAACAAAUAAAUAAGAUUUUUUUUGCCCCCUUUAUGAUUAGACAAACGGUCGUUCUAGUCUAAUAAAUUAUAAACAUUUGUAUUGUAAUGAAUUAUCAAGGAAUGAUGAAUUAUGUUUUCGCAUAAUUCAAAGUUAAGGCGAGUGGCUAAAUAGCACCUCAAACAAAGGUCUCCAAAUGAUUUUAUUCAGUAUUUUUUGAAUGUUUAAAAAAUUUAAUAUAAACAAUUUUCUGUUCACAUGUGUCAUAUGAGGUCUAGUUGACUUAAAGUUUCACUAAUAUUUGUUUUAUAUCUUUUUUACUUUGUUGUACUUUUAGAAGGUAGGGAAAGGGGAUUAAAGUUUAAAAAUAAUAUUUUACCCCGCCUAAGAUUCGAACUCAAGUGGUUAUCUAAAUAAAAUUGUUUGAAAAUUAUUUGACUAGACUCCUUGGAAAUCAUUUGUUAAAUUUUAUAGUUAAAAUAUUGGAAUAAUGAAUAUUACUUAAAUCAGCAUAAUGAUGAAGAAGCAUUAUUUCGUUAAUUUUACUCCUUUGUUUUAAGAUUCAAUCUUCUGUCAAAAUCGUUCCUUUUCUAGAAAAACUUGUAGUUUUAGUUAUAGUAAUUGAUUUUUAUUUCUUAAUGAAUGACAAUAUAUGCAAGUGUGCUUCUCUACUUAUCCCCCUUCGGAAUAGUUUGAGAUUGUAGUCUCUAAAUCUAUUUUUGUCGCGGUGAUGAAAGAAUAAGUCAGAGAAAAAAUUACUAAGUAUUUCGUAAAUAAUGCUAUUCAACUAGAAUGUUACAUGAAUUUCAAAGGUAGUUGUUUGGGAAAUAAAAUAAGGUUAUCAUGAUCUUCUCGAGAUAAAAAAUAAACAAAUGGUUGAUAGGCUACUAGGAGAAAAUUUUGGUGACCUUGAGCAGACCAUCUCAACCAAGUGGUAAUUUUGAUGACCAGGUGCAGACCACCUUGACCAAGUGGUAAUCUUGAUGACUAUGAGUAGAACACCUCGACCAGGUGGUAAUCCUUGAGUCUAUGAGCACCAGGUGGUAAUGUUUUAGGCUAUGAGCAGAUACCUCAACCAGAAUACCAUGAGCAGACUAGAACCAGGUCGAUUGUUCCAAAAACCUCAACCAACCACAAACUGUCAAGCUCCUCCCAGAAAUUCAACUAUAACGUCUACGCACACCCAGCUGCUAUAAUUGCAGCUUAAUAACUACUCUGUAACGGGCGCAUUAACUCAUAAUUAAAGGGGCACAUUAUACCCAACAACGGCAACGCAUUGAAGAUGGUAUGAUAAUCCCGAAUACUUAUAAAAGUGCUGAAAAGUUUAGAGAAUGGUGGACUCUCCUAAACAAUUUUGAUUCGUUUAUUAUAUUUAUAUGAAUUAUUUCUUUAUUAAAAAAUAUCAGAAUUCAUUUAUUUAUUUUAUUUUUUUUUUCUCAAAAAGGUCCAAUUACUGACUUAAGCGUCAGAGGGUUCACGCCGGAAAAACUUCCAGCACCUCUUACCGUUCUUUGUGAUUUCAGGUGUUUGCGAGUUAUCUGCUAGUGAUUGUAAGCCACUUCCCCAACAAAUAAAUUUAAUACUGGUGCAGAUGUCUGUGUUAAGUCGCUAACCGACUCAAUUGGAUUUUGGCAUCAACAGUAGUUUUCAAAAGUGUGGUGAGUUAUAAGUGUAGUUUAUUACAUUUGGUAAUUUUUUUUGUUAACAUGUUGUAAUAAUUAUGACUAAACUGAGCAUAAUAAUGAGGAAAUAUCGUUUUCAAAUAGAUGACUCUGUUAUAUAACCUCUGAAAAUUACUACUGACCAUUCUAAUAGCAUUCCCAAGUUGGCCUUUCAAUCAUAGGAAAUUAUUAAAAUAGACUGCAUGGUUUAACUAAAAUCAGUGGAUUAGAUUUUGUUUAUUUAUUAUUUAUCAUCAUCAUAAUCAUUUUAAAACUUUAGACAAGUUGACAGGGUUAUAGUUCAUUUUAUGCAUACUUGUCAAUGUCGCUGCGGCGCUGAUGUUUGUUUAGGGCUUUCUAUCUUCAAUAUGGUGGAACGUUGAACCAUGCAGAGCUAUGGAAUGCCUCUCUUUAUUUUGCUAUGUAUUUUCAACUGUCAUGAAACUGAAGAUUAACUGUAAUAUAUGUGAUAAAGCAAAAUAUGUAUAAGCCACAUAUAAAAUCAACAACCUCAAAUCAAAUUACGAAACAUAAAAUGUAAUAUAUUAAACUCCAUAUGAUACAUAAAAAUGAUCAUAGCAGUACUCCUACGGAGCCACGCUCAUCACGAGUCGUAUCCUAAAGUUAAAAAUAAUAAUAAUAAAAAAUCCUCCAAUGGGAAAAACACAGAUAGUAUCAAAACAAGAACCCACGAAUAUAAUUUAUUAAUAUACUUCUACAGACAACCAGAUGAAGCUCCUGAAAGCAUUUGAUGACGAUAAAAUUUAAGGAUUGGUGGUUGAGUGCACUACUACAAAAAUGAGUUUUACUAACACCAACUUAGUGUCAGUAAUCACUUUUACUGACACUUAUUAAUUGUGUCAAUAAUGCUCAAGCCAGAACGCACUGAUACUAAUUUUUAAUGUCAGUGAUUUUGGUGUCAGUAAUUCGUGUCAUUAUAGUAUCACAAAAAUAAUGACACUAUAGUAUUAAUAUUUGAUAAUAUUAUUUUACAUGUCAAUAAUUCGUGUCACUAUAGUAUCGCCAAAACAGUAACACUAUAGUGUUACUAUUUAAUGAUACAAUUUACAUGUCAAUUUCAUUUUUUCCUCAUCUGCAAGUACAUAAAAUCAAUUAGUACACCAAAAUAUCAAUUAUUAUAAUUAUAGCUCCAAUAAUAAAUUCAUAAUUCUGGAAAAAUCACUUACAGCUCCUGUAAUCAACAAGUCCUAUAAAUCAAUGGAUUCCUAUAAAGUGAAAUAAUUUUUCCAGUACACUUAUAUUUAACAAUAUUAACCAUAGCUAUAAAAACUACUAGAGGCCAUGAAUAGUCAACACAAAAUAUAUUGGACUCAACAAUUAUAUUUCUAAAAACUAAAAUGGAUUAUAUACAUAUACAACCAAUAUUGAAAUAAAAUAUUAGAAACUGCAUCAUUACUCUUCCAAUUUAAUAGUCUAGCGACCAAACGCUAAUUAUUUCGAACGCUUUCACAUUGUCAAUGUAGUGGUAAUUUAAGCUUAUUUUAAUAUUUUAAGUAAGGUCUGUUUAUCUAAUUCAAUGGAUUUGGUCGUCUAUGGCAUGCCAAGACUAAAUUAUUAAUCAUGAAUUCAGUUUGAUAAGUAUCACAAUUUCAUAGAACUACUCUAGCAAAUAUUUUAUUCAAAUUUAUGCAAGAAAUAAAUAUAAUACAUGUAAACUCAGUAUUUUGUUCUUAUAUGAAAAACUUAUAAAUUAAUAAUAACGUAUGUAUUAAUUUGCAAACAUUCCACUCACAAUUAAUCUUGAUCAAUCCUAAAUCGCUGGAAUGUCUUCUAAUUGAUCAGCAACUGAUAGUCCUCCUAUAAAUUAGAGAAAUAUUUAUAAGAAACUGUGCAAUCUUUAAAAAAAAAAAAGGUAAAUUCAAAACUGUAUAUAAAGACAAUCCAUAUUUAUUAACUCUCUAUAUCAAAUUAAUAUGUAUCUAUCAUCUGCAUGUUUUUAGGGAUUCUUUCCAUAUUUUACAACUUUAGCUUAAAGAUAAUUAAACAAAGAUGAAUUUAUAGUUUCAUCCACUAUUUUGUCAAUCCCUCUUUUAAAUAAAUAAAUAAAGUAUAUAAAGUAAGCUAAAGUAAUAGCCAAGAUUAAAGUCAAUGAGGAAAUUCUUUCAAGCUUUAUAAAUAAAUAAAUAUACUAUAUUGUAAUCCAGCUUUAAAAUUAGGCAUGCACGACACCAGCAAUUGGUGCACCAUAUUACGUAAUAAAUAAAUAAAAUUAAAUUUAAACAGGACAUUGGCAGUUCUAGAAAGUAGCCAUAUGCUUUAGCAUGGUAGGGGCUUUGCUAAAUUUUAAGAUGCAUAUUUCUUUCAAUUAUGUUUCCCUCAUUGCAAAUUGUCUCUAGAAAUAUAAUCUGUCACAAGAAUUAAAGAUAUAUGACAAGUGCUUUCUAGAACAUCCUGUGAAAAGUAUUAUAAUAAAAAUAUAAUAAAAAUUAGUAGAAACACUUGAAAAUUAAGAAAAAUUAUUAGAAGCCUCUUAUCCUUUUCAUACCAUCCAGGCUUCCAAUUUAGAGAUUCCCACAUAUAGACUGGCCAUUACUCUGCCUUUUUUGUUCUCACAUGAAUCACUUCUCUUGACUUCUCCACCACUCUAUCAUCAUUUCUCUUUCUUUUUUCUCCAUUCAAUCCUUGCAUACCAACUCCCAAAAUCAGCACAAAAACUUAAUAAUUUUAUUAUGAUUUUUACAUUUGCACAAAAUAAAUGAUUCAACAUGAAAAAGAUAGAAAUAAAUAACUAAAUAAAAGAAAGACCAAUUAACCUUAUUAUUUUCACUUAACAACCCAAUUUCGGAAGCCUGAGGUGGAGACAAAUUCAUAAAACUUUCAACAGUAAGCCUCACUGCCUUCUUUCUACUUCUGUUAUCAUGGCUAAUAUUUAUUUUUAUAUGAACAUAAUAUAUAUAGAAAACAACCACAUACAUGCUUAAUACAUAGUAGCCUACCCAUGUAAAGGCCAGUAAGAAAACACAUACAAUAUUAUAAAGAGCCAGAUAGUUACAAGAUGAUAUUAAAAAUUUGAUGUAUAGUGGAAAUAAGAGCUUGUUAAGAAACAAUGCAAACUCCUUGACAGUAUGACAACAUUUAUUGAUCCUAAUAAUCAGCUUUCCAGGAAUUCAACUAUCAGACCUUACAUUCCUAAGUUUUUUUCUGAUCUUAUUUCAACACAAAUUCUAGCAAAUUUGUACAUGCAUUCAUGCGCAAUAACACUUGUCAAAUCAAAUUUAAACAUCCUACUAAGAAGUAAAACAUGCAUUUGUGUGGUCAAGGACUUUAACCAUUCUCUGUUAAAAAAAUCAAUGAAACUCUUAGUCUCUUUAGUUUGAUUAAAAAUUAAACAAAUGAAGAUUAGUUCCUAGUAGAGGUUCUGUACUGCUAUUGUGAAGCAGAGGAAAGAGAAACGUUUGAUAGAAAAUACUGGGAGAGUGAGUGGGGGAAGGAAUUGGGCUGUCAGUAGAAAGAGCCCUGUGAGGAUGAUGCUUAUGAACAUCAAGAAGUUGCAGCCCCACUAAUCUUCUACUUUGAAGCUCGAGGACUUGUUGCAAAUAAGCUUGCUCCUCUAUUUUUCCCCUUCACAACAUGUUCUGAGUAUUAUUAUUGAACAUUCUUGCGUUACAAAGACCAACAAAAGCCAGAAAUUAAAGAAAAUUCAAUUUGGUAUUGGAAUGAAAUGAAUGAAAAUGAGUUUUUUUUUUCUUUUGGUUUCUUAAUUCUUACCAAGUGGAAGGUCAGAAGGCUCUCUUGAAUCAAGCCUAGUUAGGGUUUCACAAGGAGAAAACUCCCCUUUUUCAAUUUGUUGCUAUUGCUUCAUGUAAAUAAAUAUCAAAGUAUCUUCUUUUUAUUUUUUAAAAUAAAAAAUAAAACAAAGUUACCAGAAUCAAGCAUUGCAGCAGCCACAACUCUUUGAGUAGGUUCAGCUAUCAAUUGGACUUCGCCAUUGGAGUUGCGAAGUAGGACUAUGCUGCCAUCUACAGAGAACUGCAGAGCAGCAUCGAAUGAGACCACGAGUCUUCGCAUCAAGCAAUCCAUACAAUUGUUUUAUUUGCUAGGUUGCUGCUGUCAAUGAGCCAUAUUCCAACCUUGAAGCCAUUGCCACUGGUGUAAAAUCCGAAAGCAAAAUGGCCAAAAGGAGAAGGCCAAAAAUUUGGAGAUGAGUUUGUGUAAAGGGUGGAAAUAAAAAAGAAACUCAAAAAUUUUGAAUAACCAGAAAUGAAAUUCAAAGGAAAAAUGAAAAGUACAAAGAUUGAAGAGAGCAAAGUGCCUGUACUAGUAUGAAACUUUUCUCUCAGCAGUUUCAGUGCCUAUAAUGCCACUUACCCAUGCCUAAAAGAAGAUUGAAUUACACCUUUUACCUUGUACGGUUGACGACAGCAAAUGAAGCUGGAAGGAGAACGAAACCAGAGGCAGCAAACAAAGCAAAUGGAGAACGGCUAGAAGCUGCAACGUCGGUACGUUGGAACGGAAGUGAUAGCAGCGGCGGGGAGGGCGUGGGCGUUUCGUAGCAGCGACAACAUGGUCAUUCUCCGUCUUUCACGAUAGAGAAGAAGAAGUCAAGCAAGGGAAGGGAAAUUAGGCAGCUGCGAGGCCAAGGCGGAUGUACGGUACAGCAGUUGAAGAACAAGCCCAAAUUCUCUAUCCUAUCAAAUAAAAUUCUAACGCGAAAUAAAGAAAAAUGAUAGGUAAAAAUUAGUGCUCUAAAAGUGAGUGGAGAAUUGAUUCUUCUUCCCUUACUUUAUAAAGAGAUGGUGCUAAUAAUAAUAUACUUAAACAAAGUUGUAGUAGGGAAUAAACACAGCAUGCUAAAGCCUAAUAAUAACUAAUAAUGGGAAGGGAUGCAGCCUGCCGUAGCAUGAAAUUGAAAUCAGCCUACUGCUGUACCGUACAUCCGCCUUGGCCGUACAGCAGAGUUGCUAAAAGCUGCUGUCAAUGAGCCAUAUUCCAACCUUGAAGCCAUUGCCACUGGUGUAAAAUCCGAAAGCAAAAUGGCCAAAAGGAGAAGGCCAAAAAUUUGGAGAUGAGUUUGUGUAAAGGGUGGAAAUAAAAAAGAAACUCAAAAAUUUUGAAUAACCAGAAAUGAAAUUCAAAGGAAAAAUGAAAAGUACAAAGAUUGAAGAGAGCAAAGUGCCUGUACUAGUAUGAAACUUUUCUCUCAGCAGUUUCAGUGCCUAUAAUGCCACUUACCCAUGCCUAAAAGAAGAUUGAAUUACACCUUUUACCUUGUACGGUUGACGACAGCAAAUGAAGCUGGAAGGAGAACGAAACCAGAGGCAGCAAACAAAGUAAAUGGAGAACGGCUAGAAGCUGCAGCGUCGGUACGUUGGAACGGAAGUGAUAGCGGCAACGGGGAGGGCGUGGGCGUUUCGUAGCAGCGACAACAUGGUCAUUCUCCGUCUUUCACGAUAGAGAAGAAGAAGUCAAGCAAGGGAAGGGAAAUUAGGCGGCUGCGGCGCGGGCUCUCUUGCACAAUAAAGAAGGGGAAUUAGGGUUUUGUUUUUUAUAUGUUAAGUUUUUAUAUAACAUUAUGUCUUUAACUUAAAUCUACAUGGUUAAGUGGUUUGUGGCUAUAUCUAGAACUUUUAGAGUUUUAGAAGUUCCAAGUUCGAGUUGAAAUCAAAACAAAUUAUAAUUAUUUUUUUUAAUCUCUGAUACAUUAGUAUCAGUGAUCUCUGAUAUUUAGUUUACUGACACACUAAUAUCAAUAAUUUGUGACACCUAUUUGUUAAAAGCGGAAAAUGGUGCAUAGUUAAGUAAUUACUGACACUUUUUUUAAAGUGUCAGAAGCAAAGUGUCAGUGAAAGUCAUUUUUUUAGUAGUGGUGAGUUGGGAUCUCCUUUGGAAUAUUCGGGAUGGCGGGAAAUGUGGGCUUAAGAAGCUCAGGUAGAUGAGGGAAAGAAGGCAAUCCAUGCACCUUGGGCAAUUCAGGCACUUUGGGCAACUCAGGCUUUGGAAGUUCAGGUACUUCGGGCUCUUUUGGCAUCUCAGGCACUUUGGGCAACUCAGGCUUUGGAAGUUCAGGUACUCAAGCUCUUUUGGCACCUCAGGUUUCAAAAUAUCUGGCAAUUCAGGUUCUUUUGGCAACUCAGGCUUUGGAAUCUCAGGUAAUUCAGGUUUCUUCGGUAGUUCUGGCUUUGGAAUCUCUGGUAAUUCAGGUUUUUUAGGUAGCUCAGGCUUUGGAAUCUCAAGUAAUUGUUAGAGUGCAAUUUAUGCACUAGUUUUGCAUUGUUUACUUCCUUUAAUAUUGAUGUUUUGCACUUAAUAAUAGUGAUUUACUUGUGUUUUAUUUAUGUAGGUGCAAUUCUAUUGAUUGAUGCUAAAAUUUAGCUUCAGAAGAACUUUGUUGAUAAGGCGUGGGCGCGUGCUGUCAACUACGGACCUGCAGUUUUUAGUUUAAUGUGUUUUAUCUUUUUGGUUAUUUUUGUAAUUACGAAUUUAAUAUUUAGAUAAUAUUUUAGAUAUUAGUAUUUUAUUUUAAAAAGAACUCUAGACGAGAAGAGAGAGGAAAGAAUUUAAGAGAGGAAUCUAUUAGAAAAAAAGGGAGAUUUUUGAAGAAAAAGAAACCCUAAAUCUAAAAUUUUCUCUUCUCUCUAAGAAGAACUAAAUUUAUUAUUCUGGUUUGAUAAUGAAGCUUUGAUUCAUCACUACUGUAAGAUCUUUCUUAUGCUUUAAUUGUUUUAUUACUUUUUGGGUAUUUAUUUAUUCUCUGAAUUAUUAUCAUGAUUAUGUUUGUUAAUUAGAUAAUUGGCCACUAUUUAAUUAUCAACUUAAUAUAUUGUCAAUUAAAUGAUUCGUAUGAAACUAAUAUCAAUAAUUUGUGACACCUAUUUGUUAAAAGCGGAAAAUGGUGCAUAGUUAAGUAAUUACUGACACUUUUUUUAAAGUGUCAGAAGCAAAGUGUCAGUGAAAGUCAUUUUUUUAGUAGUGGUGAGUUGGGAUCUCCUUUGGAAUAUUCGGGAUGGCGGGAAAUGUGGGCUUAAGAAGCUCAGGUAGAUGAGGGAAAGAAGGCAAUCCAUGCACCUUGGGCAAUUCAGGCACUUUGGGCAACUCAGGCUUUGGAAGUUCAGGUACUUCGGGCUCUUUUGGCAUCUCAGGCACUUUGGGCAACUCAGGCUUUGGAAGUUCAGGUACUCAAGCUCUUUUGGCACCUCAGGUUUCAAAAUAUCUGGCAAUUCAGGUUCUUUUGGCAACUCAGGCUUUGGAAUCUCAGGUAAUUCAGGUUUCUUCGGUAGUUCUGGCUUUGGAAUCUCUGGUAAUUCAGGUUUUUUAGGUAGCUCAGGCUUUGGAAUCUCAAGUAAUUGUUAGAGUGCAAUUUAUGCACUAGUUUUGCAUUGUUUACUUCCUUUAAUAUUGAUGUUUUGCACUUAAUAAUAGUGAUUUACUUGUGUUUUAUUUAUGUAGGUGCAAUUCUAUUGAUUGAUGCUAAAAUUUAGCUUCAGAAGAACUUUGUUGAUAAGGCGUGGGCGCGUGCUGUCAACUACGGACCUGCAGUUUUUAGUUUAAUGUGUUUUAUCUUUUUGGUUAUUUUUGUAAUUACGAAUUUAAUAUUUAGAUAAUAUUUUAGAUAUUAGUAUUUUAUUUUAAAAAGAACUCUAGACGAGAAGAGAGAGGAAAGAAUUUAAGAGAGGAAUCUAUUAGAAAAAAAGGGAGAUUUUUGAAGAAAAAGAAACCCUAAAUCUAAAAUUUUCUCUUCUCUCUAAGAAGAACUAAAUUUAUUAUUCUGGUUUAAGGUUAAUGAAGCUUUGAUUCAUCACUAUUGUGAGAUCUUUCUUAUGCUUUAAUUGUUUUAUUACUUUUUGGGUAUUUAUUUAUUCUCUGAAUUAUUAUCAUGAUUAUGUUUGUUAAUUAGAUAAUUGGCCACUAUUUAAUUAUCAACUUAAUAUAUUGUCAAUUAAAUGAUUCGUAUGAAAACUUUAAUGUUUGUGACAAAUAGCAUAGCAGUGCGUUGUGUUAUGAGAAUAAACAAUCUAAUUUAAAUGAACCAUCGUAUGCGUUUGUUGAUUAGGAUUUGGGUCUCUCUGGUUUUUCAGGCUGUCAAUUGAUUAAAUCCUAUGAUCGUAUCUAGGGUUGCACUACUAGAAAAAUGGUCUUUACUGACUUUAGAAUAGUGUCAGAAAUUACUUUUACUGACACUUAUUAAUUGUGUCAGUAAUCUGGGAGUCAGAAAAAUAGUGACACUUGUAAGUGGUGUCAGUGAUUACUAUUACUAUAGUAUCACUAAAAUAAUAACACCAUGGUAUCAAAAUAUUACAAUACUAUAUUAGUAUUUGUGAUUACUGUUACUAUAGUAUCACUACUUUAUUUAUUAUUUAAAAAAAUAAUUAUAUAAAAUGACAUGUUGCCCAUUGAUUUGUUGAUAGAAUUAAAAGGCUGUGAAAAAUAAGAACAAAAAUCAAUUUAUAUAUCAAAACCUUUCAUAACAUUUAAAUAUUAUCAAUAUAUAUUACACAAUCCAAAUACUUCAAUACACAAAGACGUCUGAUUACAAGACAAGUUAUUCUUAUAAUUGAAUAAUCUUAACUGCUAUUAUCCAAUCAAUUUGAUAAUGAUACUUCUCUAGAAAAUAUCUUCAUAGUAUAUGACUAAUUACCGAAUUCUGUCCACGGGAUAAGGCAUCUUGAGCAAUGAGCCAUAUCAAAUGAAUUUGAGGGGAAAGGUAGGCGCUGUGUGGAAAUGAUGCCAAGAAUUGCGGGAAUUCCACGUUCCAAUGCAAAUUGAACUUGAGCUUCAUGAUUAUCUCUUGGUGCAAGAGAAACCGUUAAAAUUCCACGAUCUAAUAAAUCACCUCCCCAGCUAGCAACCUAUAUAAAAAAAUGUAAGUGAGUUAAAUUUAUCCUAAGAUGACCAAGAGGCACCAUAAGAAUAAACCAUCAAUGCAACAUAGAUUAGCCCAGUAUAUGAUUAGAUGAAAAAGUGGGCAAAUGGAAAACAAAACUCACCCCACAUCCAGUGUCAAUAGCAGUUCGAACUGUCCCAUCUUUCAUUUCUGGAAUCAGAUCUCGCAUCAAAUCAACAUAUGCACCAACUCCUUUGGGAAACAUUGUACCUCCACCAGGAAAGAGGAACUUCUCUCCUUGUUUUCUCAGCCAAUUCUGAUUUGACUUCUGCUUGUUAAUCCAAUCAUAAGGCACAUUCCUGAAACUAGAUCCAAAUAAUAGAACAAAAUUGACUUACGGCCAACAUCAGUGGACAAUAAAACCAGUUCAUUAAUAGAUCAUAAUACCUGUACCAACAUUCAUCCCUGCUUUUUGGCCACUUGAUAGGUGGCUUAUACCCAUUAGGAGGGGGUAUUAAGCAUUCCUUCCUCUCAAAAACUGGAGGACAGUGGCGUUCCAUGAAAGUCAGCCGAUGAGCACCGUACUUUUUCCACCUCUGUAGCAAUGAAUGUUUGCCAUCAAUAUGGCCACUUGAUAUCAUAUAGCUUUGUAACAUUGCCUAGAAGCUGUUACUAUUAUCAAAUAAGCAUUUAAGGUAUACCUUUGGAUCUGUGCAUGGAGUGUAGUCUUGAUAGUUGCUGCUGCAUUCAGGGAAGUUAACAGAUUUGAUCUGAAGCGGAGCAACCACUGGAUCCUUGGGAGACAGGACUGCUUUCUGGACAUCCCUAAUCUCGACUCUAUUUUUCUCAGAACAAAAGAUUCCACCAAGGUAAAACGAAAACCCACGUAGUGCAACAAACAAUACUGUCAAAGGAACAAUCCUGGGACUUUUAUCACCAUUUGGAGAAAUCGGUUUCUUAUCUUUAUGCUUCAUUUUUUCAGAAACAAUUAAUUACCUGCAUUGAUAAUAGUAAAAAAAAAUUUAGUCACAGCUAAGUGAGAUUAAAUUUUUAGCUCAAUGAACAAACACGUAAAGAAACAUCUCCAAGAUCCCAACUAUGGAAAUAAAUACAUUCCAUGCUCCAGUUUCGAUUCCUCCAUUGUCUAAGAUAUUAAACUAAGCAUCAUAAAGCAGAAUNNNNNNNNNNNNNNNNNNNNNNNNNNNNNNNNNNNNNNNNNNNNNNNNNNNNNNNNNNNNNNNNNNNNNNNNNNNNNNNNNNNNNNNNNNNNNNNNNNNNNNNNNNNNNNNNNNNNNNNNNNNNNNNNNNNNNNNNNNNNNNNNNNNNNNNNNNNNNNNNNNNNNNNNNNNNNNNNNNNNNNNNNNNNNNNNNNNNNNNNNNNNNNNNNNNNNNNNNNNNNNNNNNNNNNNNNNNNNNNNNNNNNNNNNNNNNNNNNNNNNNNNNNNNNNNNNNNNNNNNNNNNNNNNNNNNNNNNNNNNNNNNNNNNNNNNNNNNNNNNNNNNNNNNNNNNNNNNNNNNNNNNNNNNNNNNNNNNNNNNNNNNNNNNNNNNNNNNNNNNNNNNNNNNNNNNNNNNNNNNNNNNNNNNNNNNNNNNNNNNNNNNNNNNNNNNNNNNNNNNNNNNNNNNNNNNNNNNNNNNNNNNNNNNNNNNNNNNNNNNNNNNNNNNNNNNNNNNNNNNNNNNNNNNNNNNNNNNNNNNNNNNNNNNNNNNNNNNNNNNNNNNNNNNNNNNNNNNNNNNNNNNNNNNNNNNNNNNNNNNNNNNNNNNNNNNNNNNNNNNNNNNNNNNNNNNNNNNNNNGACGGCUGAGGUAGAUCAUUGUUAUAGAGAGAGAGAGAGAGAGAGAGAGAGAGAGAAGGAAGGAAGAGAGCUUCAGUUCAUAGCAAGAAGCGGCCGUGGGGAAUUUUUUUUCACUUCUUAAAAAUUUUAGAUUUUAGGUUUUCAUGUACACCUUCCAUUAAAACGACAUAGUAUCUAGGUAAUUUAAUUUAAUUUUUAAUAUUAUUUACUUAUUAAGCCAAAAAUCAAAAUCCAACUCAUGGCCCAGUGGUUAAUGUUUAAAAUUAAAAAGUUAAAGUUUAGAGGUCUUUAGUUCGAUUCCUAAUGGACACAAAAUUAAAAUUUUAUUUUUCUAAUUACUAAUACCUUAUUGUCACAUAUCUCUGAUAUUUAAUUUACAGACACUAUAGUAUCACAAAUUUGUGAUAUUUAUUUGUCAAACACGGAAAAUGCCCGAAAUGCAUGUAAUUACUGAUACUUUUUAAUAAAGUAUCACAAGACAAGUGUCAGUAAAGGUUAUUUUUCUAGUAGUGUUGUCUAUUGCUUAGGAAAAUAACCAACGGUCGUACCUUGGUUAUCGACUAGUUAAGGAGAGAUUGACUAUUAGAGGGUCUCAGUAGCUAUAACCGGUCUAUUCAUAAGUAGUAAUAAUUUAUAUUUGAAUCAAGGAUCAGUAGUCAAAUCAAGCUGAGUUAAUUCCUUCAACCAGAGCUUUCCCCAAUUUGAAUUACAAUUUGAAUUUGUGAUCUUGUUAUUUUAAUUUGAUUUUUAUUAUUGUCAACAAUUCCCCCAUUUUGCAUUUUAUAUUUUAAAAGGAUUUAAAUAAUUACCGAUCUCUGUGGACACGACCCUACUCAAUCACUAUACACAAUUUAUUUAGAGUAAGUAUUUAUUUUUGUUGGUUUCAACAACCAUCAAUAAUUCAGGCUUUGGAAUUUGUGGUAGUUCAGGUUUUGGUAACAGGCUUGGGUAUUUCUGGAACUGUUGCCUCUAGAAGAUGGCGAGCAGCGAUCAAAUCAAUGUUAAAGCUCAUUGACGAUAAAGCGAUUAACAAAAGUGGUAGCACAACGGAUGAGAAAGAGAAGGAUGCCAUGGUUGAACUAUUGCCGAAUAAGGCUAUAAGAGAUGAAACAUAUAUUGUGUUGCGGUAAUAACAAUCAAAAGAGAAGGGAUCAAAUGUGUUUAUGCAUUGAUUUCAUGUGUUAUGAGGCUUUUAUAGGUGUGGCGAAGCGUAGAAUAGAGGGUUUCAAGAUUGGGUAGGUAUGACUAAAAUAGUAAAAUAUAAAUAAAUUAAGCUUGGGUUGGUACUUGGUAAGAAAUUUAUGUCUUGUUAGUUCAUCAACCUCUCACUUCUGCUAAUUCCACGUACGUCAUAACGAUUAUAUAUCAUUGUAUAAUAUGUUAUAUAAGCAAUUAUAUUGCAAUUAAUUGUUAUAUUAAGGGAUUAUUCAUUAUCUUUUCAUAUAUGCCCUGUGAAAAAAAAGAAGGUAAAUGGUUAAAAUAAUAACCUCUGAAUGAUUAUUUAUUCAAUACUUUUCUGCAAAUUAUUUAAGAUUAUUGAAGCUAGUUCCUAUGGUAAGGAACGGCCUUUCUAAGGCUCAAACCUUGAGUUCGAAUUUUAAUGUAUGCCUGAGUUAAUAAUAAAAAAAAAUUAACAUUAUUUUAUAACUUUGGGGUCAUAUAUGUCAUAAAACACCUAAUGACAUAAGCUUCCCUUCUCGAAAACAAACUAAUACGUAAUUGAAUUUCAUUUCCUAAUGGAUGUUAACAGCGACAUGCCGUUUCUCUUAUUCCCAUCUUUUCCACUUCAAUUAAUUUAUCAGAUUGUCUUCUUCUUGUAUUUGAGUGCCUGAUUAACUAGUUGUUGUGGUUGGAAGCAUAUGUUAUCCAUUAUGCAUUGAAUAUUUUCAAACGUUGUGGUUGGUCAAAUGUGUUUCAUCAAUAUUAAUCAUAAACAAGUCAAAAGGAUAUUUACGUACGAAUUCUUUUGUUUAGUUAUGUGAUAUUGUGUUAAAAAAAUGGAGAUCAACGUCGUGUCAUUUGAUGAUAUUUUAUAUAAGAUCUCAGUUUGUUGGCCACAAUUUUGAAUGAAGCUUGACCAAAUGACAUCCUUUAGUAUAUAGCUAAACUGCAAUCAACUGUACAAUUAAAUAUUAGGACUUGGGACACCGUCUUUUCGCCAAUAAUCUUAACGAAUUAUGUAAAAGUCAAUUAUCAAUUUAUAUUUACUCAGGUAAAAGUGUUGAACAUGUGCAUGUAUGUGGCAAACAAUUGCAUGUGGUUAGCAUGCAACUUUUGACUUUUCUCAUAAAAUUGUUGAGUAAGAGGGAGACAUGAGUAAGUGAGAGGAAUAUAACUUUUGACUUUGGCACCAAAGUAGAAGGUUGAGAGAAAUUUUAUAUUAUUUUAAUGCCCACAUUUUUAGGCAUUGCUUGGCCUAUAAAUAGAGGCAUCAUUUGCCCUCUUGAAUUAUCUCAUUUUCUCUAGUUCGAGUGAGAGUGCCAAGAGGUAUAAGUUGAGAGUGUUGAGAACUUUGUGCUCUAGUUCUAGUGUUUUUGAGAGUUUGGGUGUACGAGGGUUUUGGGUUGUGAGACAAAAAUACUAUCAUACUUGUAACUCCUUUUCACUAGUAAAAUAUUUCCUUCUAUCUUCGCAUGUGGAUGUAGGCUAAAAGCCGAACUACGUAAAUUCUGGUGUUCCUGUAUGAUCAUUAUUUUUUUAAUUUUACUUUAGUUACGUGUCUGCUUCACCUGUUGAAUUUUCCCAACAAGUUGUAUCAGAGCCAUUGGUUGCAUUUUUUUGCAGUCAGAUUUCACGUAUGCAAUAUUAUUCACGUAUACGGCACUAUUCACACGAAACGAUGAGAGCAAUCUAAGAAUUCUACGGUGCAAGGCAGGGAAUAGUGAUGUGAGUGAAAGUAAUUGUGUGGUCUUGUACAUAUCUAGGAAAGUUCUGUCAUAACGGCAAUACGAGUUUAAGGAGUUUGGAUUUUAAGUGGGAUCGUUGUGACCCCUCUAGUCUUUCCUAGGAACUUUCCUGAUGUGCAUUUUCACAUGUGUGAUUACUCAUAACUAUUCAAGGAGGUACACGAACUUGUGUGCGGUAUUACCAAAAUGACAACAAAGUUUGAAAUUAAAAAGUUCAACGGGAGCAAUUUCUCGUUAUGGAAAAUGAAGAUGCGGGCAAUCUUGAGGAAAAACAAUUGCUUAAAAGCAAGUAUUUUAAGGCCUGAAAAAAUCACUGGUGACAAGUGGAAUGAAUGGACAACAAUGCAAUUGUUGAUUUACACCUGGCACUCAGAUGGGGUGUUAUCUAGUGUAGCAGAACAAUUAUUUUAAGGCCUGAAAAAAUCACUGGUGACAAGUGGAAUGAAUGGACAACAAUGCAAUUGUUGAUUUACACCUGGCACUCAGAUGGGGUGUUAUCUAGUGUAGCAAAGGAAAAGACAAUGAAAGGUAUUUGUGAUACUUUUACAAAAUUGUACGAGAUUAAGUCGCUACACAACAAAAUCUUCUUAAAGAGAAGACUCUAUACUCUUCGAAAGGGGGAAACCACAAUGGCGACCGAUCAUAUCAACACUCUUAAAACUCUAUUUUCACAACUUACGAUGUUUGGCAUAAAAUAAAAGAAAUUGAACAUGCAGAGCUUCUACUUCAAAGUUUACCUGACUCGUAUAAUCAACUUGACGAACAAUAUCCUUACGGAGUACCUAGUCUUGAGGAAAAAUAAUUGCCUAAAAGCAAUUAGGGAAAGACCUGCAAAAAUCACUGGUGAGAAAUGGAAUGAAUUGACAACAAUGCAAUUGUUGAUCUACUCCUAGGACUCAGAUGGGGUGUUAUCUAGUGUGGUGGAGGAAAAAACAGUGAAGGGUAUUUGGGAUACUCUAACAAAACUGUACGAGACCAAGUUACUACACAACAAUAUCUUCUUGAAGAGGAGACUCUAUACUUUUCGAAUGGCGGAAACCACAACGAUGACCGACCAUAUCAACACUCUUAAAACUCUAUUUUCACAACUUACGACGUUGGGCAUAAAAUAAAGGAAAUUGAACGUGCAAAGCUUAUACUUCAAAGUUUACCUAACUCGUAUGAUCAACUCAUCAUCAACUUUACGAGCAAUAUCUUUACGGAGUGCUUAGUUUUUGAUGAUGCUGCAGCCUCUCCAUUUUAAUAAGAGAGUAGGUGCAAGAACUAUGACGACAGGUAAGCAAGUUCGCUGUAAGCAGAAGCACUAACGAUGGUGAAAGGGAGAUUAGCGGAACGUGGUCCUAGUAGGAGUCACAAUCAUUGUAGAUCAAAGUCAAGAAGUAAGAAGAAAAUCAGAUGCUACAAAUGUGCCAAAAUAGGACAUGUCAAGAAAGAGUAUUAGAGUUAACAGAAGAGAAGAGAGGGUAAAGAUCCUGAGUCAUCAAAUACUUAGGGGUGUGUAGUAAGUACCUCAGAUGAUGGUGACAUUUUAUACAACGAGGCAAUUAUGGUUGAAGAAAGCAGAAAAAAACUAUCUGACGUCUGGCUUAUAGACUCAAGAGCUACUGGCACAUGACCUCUCGAAGAGAAUAGUUCCACAAAUAUAAUCCUAUCUUAGGAGGAUCUGUAUGUAUGGGUGAUGAUCAUACCUUGGAGAUUGCUAGUGUUGGUUCUAUCAAAAUAAAAAUGUUUGAUGGUAUAGUUUGCACUAUUAAGGAGGUAUGUCAUAUCAAAGGCAUGAAAAAAAAAUCUAUUGUCUUUAGGACAAAUAGACAGUCUUGGUUGUAAAACUUAGGUGGAAAAUGGGAUCACGAAGAUUGUCGGAAGUACGUUUGUAUUGCUGAAGGCGGAAAGAUCAGUGCUAAUUUAUUCAUGCUUAAAGGGGAAACACUGCAAGAAGAUAAUGCUCGUGUUGCGUCAAAGAGAGAAUAAUUGGCGAUGAUGUAGCAUCUUAAACUUGGCUACAUGUCGAAACAAGGUUUGAAGAUUCUCUUUGGGCAGAAGUUGCUUUCAAGGCUUAAAUAGGUAAACUUAUCGCUUUGUGAGCAUUGUGUUACAAGUAGGCAACAUAGAUUAAAGUUCACCAGAUCUGACACCAUAACUAAAUGCAUUCUAGAUUUGGUUCAUUCUGAUGUUUGGGAAUUGCCGGAUAAGUCCUUGGGAGGUUCAAAGUACGUGGUGAUUUUCAUUGAUGAAUAGUCCAGGCGAUGUUAGGAGUAUCGAAUCAAGAAAAAGUCAGAUGCAUUUCCAGUGUUGAAAGAAUACAAAGCGCAAGUCGAACCAAAGUGGAAGUUGAGAGAAAUUUUAUAUUAUUAGCAUUGUUGAUUUUUGGGCAUUGCCUGACCUAUAAAUAGUGGCUUCAUUUACCCUCCAAUCAUGCCAUUUUCCCCAAUUCAAGUGAGAGUGCCAAGAGGCGCAAGUUGAGAGUGUUGAGAGCUUUGAGCUCUAGUUCUAUUGUUUUUUUAGAGUUUGGGUAUAUUGGGGUUUUGGGUUAUGAGACAAAACACUACAACACUUGUAACUCCUUUUCACUAGUAAAAUAUUUCUUUCUGCCCUUGCCCAUAGACGUAGGCUAAAAGUUUAACCACGUAAAUUUUGGUGUCCCUAUAUGAUCAUUAUUUUUCAAUUUCAUUUUAAUUGCGUGUCUACUUCACCCACACGAUUUUUCCCAACAAAAAGCUCAAAUCAGGAUAAUCAAAUGCACAUGUGUGUACUUAAAAAAAUCAGACACAAAAAUCACGUGUCAAGUGCUAGAACUUGAGCCUAAAAUAAUUAAUUUCAUUUUAUUAUUACUUUGUUUUUUAAUAUUAAUACUAGCUAGUUUUAUAUAAUUCACUUUUGCUCCUUUUUUCAUGUUCCUUGUUAGAAUUGAUCAAUUGAGUUACUAACUUCUGUCCUUAUCUGGUAUCAAUGUAAGCUCUUUCUAUAAUUUAUUCAUUUUUUUUGUAACUCUCUCUGUAAUUUAAUCAUUUUUUUUAUGGACCUUGUGUAAUGGGGAUAUUUCGUCUCAAAUGAGAAUAUUUAUUCUGCAAAAAACCAUUUACAAAAGUUGUCAAUGUAGUUCAGGAUGGAUUAGUUUCAUAUUAAACAUUAGUGACAGCUGUAGUCUAAAAGUCGCGUAAACAUUCCUAUUUUGGGCACGUAGCUCUUCACGGUUUGUUGUUGGACAAAAUCAUAACCGACUAUGUGGUCAAAGGGAGCAAAUAAAUCUGAUUUUUCUCCCCUUAAUGAUCAGAUAAAGGGUCGUCCUAGUUUAUUUUACUAAAAUAUCACUGUCGCUGCGGUGCUGAAGUUUGUUUAGGUGUUUCUAGCUUCGAAUGCUGAAACGUUCGGCAAUACACAAAACAAAAAGAUGUCUCUUUAAUUUAUUUUGCUGUACAUUUUAAACUCAUAAAAAAUUAAAUACCAAUUUAAUCGAUGUGACACAGCAAUCAUCAUCAUUUUAAACCUUAGACAAGGAGACAGUGCCCUAGUUCAUUUUACGUAUAUAUAUAUAUAUAUAUAUAUCAAUGCUGCUGCGAUGCUGAUGUUUGUUUAGUGAACGUAGAGCUUGAACCCUGCAGAGAUAUGAAAUGUCUCUUUUAUUUUGCUAUACGUUUUCGACUAAAGUCAAAAUGAAGAUAAAAUGUAAUAUAUGUCAUAGAGCACAUAAAAUCAGAAACCUCAAAUCAGACUGCUAAACCUAAAAGUACAAUAAAUAUCACUCAAUAGAUUAUGUAAAAAUGAAUACAACAGUACUCCUGUGGAGCCGAGCUCAUCGCGAGUCGUAUCCCAGACUUAAAAACAAUAACAAAAAACUCCUCAAGAGUGAAAACACACAAAUUUGGAAAGUCUCAAAACAAGAACCAACAAAUAUAAUUUAUUAGUAUACAUCCAGAUGAAGCUCGAGAAAGCAUUUGGAGAAGAUGAAAUUUAAGGAUUGGUGGUCGAGUGAGUUGGGAUCUCCUUGGGAAGACUCGGGAUGGCGGGAAAUGUGGGCUUAGGAAGCUCAGGUAGAUGAGGCAGAGAAGGCAAUUCGGGCUCUUUCGGCACCUCAGGCACUUUGGGCAACUCAGGCUUUGGAAGUUCAGGUACUUCGGGCUCUUUUGGCAGCUCAGGCACUUUGGGCAACUCAGGCUUCGGAUGUUCAGGUACUUCGGGCUCUUUUGGCACCUCAGGCACUUUGGGCAACUCAGGCUUCGGAUGUUCAGGUACUUCGGGCUCUUUUGGCACCUCAGGCACUUUGGGCAACUCAGGCUUCGGAUGUUCAGGUACUUCGGGCUCUUUUGGCACCUCAGGCACUUUGGGCAACUCAGGCUUCGGAUGUUCAGGUACUUCGGGCUCUUUUGGCACCUCAGGCACUUUGGGCAACUCAGGCUUCGGAUGUUCAGGUACUUCGGGCUCUUUUGGCACCUCAGGCACUUUGGGCAACUCAGGCUUCGGAUGUUCAGGUACUUCGGGCUCUUUUGGCACCUCAGGCACUUUGGGCAACUCAGGCUUCGGAUGUUCAGGUACUUCGGGCUCUUUUGGCACCUCAGGCACUUUGGGCAACUCAGGCUUCGGAUGUUCAGGUACUUCGGGCUCUUUUGGCACCUCAGGCACUUUGGGCAACUCAGGCUUCGGAUGUUCAGGUACUUCGGGCUCUUUUGGCACCUCAAGCACUUUGGGCAACUCAGGCUUUGGAAGUUCAGGUACUUCAGGCUCUUUUGGCACCUCAGGUUUCGGAAUCUCUGGCAAUUCAGGUUCUUUUGGCAACUCAGGCUUUGGAAUCUCUGGUAAUUCAGGUUUUCUAGGUAGCUCAGGCUUUGGAAUCUCAGGUAAUUCAGGCUUUGGAAUUUGUGGUAGUUCAGGUUUUGGUAACGGUGGCAAUUCAACCUUAGGCAAUUCAGGCUUGGGUAUUUCUGGAACUGUUGCCUCUAGAAGAUGGCGAGCAGCGAUCAAAUCAAUGUUAAAGCUCAUUGACGAUAAAGCGAUUAGCAAAAGUGGUAGCAUAACGGAUGAGAAAGAGAAGGAUGCCAUGGUUGAACUAUUGCCGAAUAAGGCUAUAAGAGAUGAAACAUAUAUUGUGUUGCGGUAAUAACAAUCAAAAGAGAAGGGAUCAAAUGUGUUUAUGCAUUGAUUUCAUGUUUUAUGAGGCUUUUAUAGGUGUGGCGAAGCGUAGAAUAGAGGGUUUCAAGAUUGGGUAGGUAUGACUAAAAUAGUAAAAUAUAAAUAAAUUAAGCUUGGGUUGGUACUUGGUAAGAAAUUUAUGUCUUGUUAGUUCAUCAACCUCUCACUUCUGCUAAUUCCACGUACGUCAUAACGAUUAUAUAUCAUUGUAUAAUAUGUUAUAUAAGCAAUUAUAUUGCAAUUAAUUGUUAUAUUAAGGGAUUAUUCAUUAUCUUUUCAUAUAUCCCCUGUGAAAAAAAAGAAGGUAAAUGGUUAAAAUAAUAACCUCUGAAUGAUUAUUUUAUUCAAUACUUUUCUGCAAAUUAUUUAAGAUUAUUGAAGCCAGUUCCUAUGGUAAGGAACGGCCUUUCUAAGGCUCAAACCUUGAGUUCGAAUUUUAAUGUAUGCCUGAGUUAAUAAUAAAAAAAAAUUAACAUUAUUUUAUAACUUUGUGGUCAUAUAUGUCAUAAAACACCUAAUGACAUAAGCUUCCCUUCUCGAAAACACACUAAUACGUAAUUGAAUUUCAUUUCCUAAUGGAUGUUAACAGCGACAUGCCGUUUCUCUUAUUCCCAUCUUUUCCUCUUCAAUUAAUUUAUCAGAUUGUCUUCUCCUUGUAUUUGAAUGCUACAAGAAAGAAGAUUGAACGCUCUAUGAUUGAGAUUUUAAGCCAGAUUAACUAUUUGUUGUGGUUGGAAGCACAUAUUAUCCAUUACGCAUUGGUUAUUUUCAAACGUUGUCGUGGUUGGUCAAAUGUGUCUUAUCAAUAUUAAUCAUGAACAAGUCAAAAGCAUAUUUACGUACGAAUCAACGUCGUGUCAUUUGAUCAUAUUUUAUGUAAGAUCUCCUGUUUGUUGGCCACAAUUUUGAUAUGUAGUACUUGGGGCACCAUCUUUUCGCCAAUAAUCUUAACGAAUUAUGUAAAAGUCAAUUACCAAUUUAUAUUUACUCAGGUAAAAGUGUUGAACAUAUGUAUGCAUGUGGCAAACAAUUGCAUGUGGCUAGCAUGCAACUUUUGACUCUCGUCAUAAAAUUAUUGAGUAAGUGGGAGACAUGAGUAAGUGAGAGUAAUAUAGCUUUUGACUCUGGCACCAAAGUAGAAGGUUCAGAGAAAAUUUACAUUAUUUUAAUGCCCACCAUCCUUGAUUUUUAGACAUUACCUGGCCUAUAAAUAAAGGCUUCAUUUGCCCUCUUGAAUCAUCUCAUUUUCUCUGGUGAGAGUGAGAGUGCCAAGAGGUGUAAGUUGAGAGUGUUGAGAGCUUUGUACUCUAGUUCUAGUGUUUUUCAGAGUUUUAGUGUACUGGAGUUUUGGGUUGUGAGACAAAAAUACUAUAAUACUUGUAACUCAUUUUUACUAGCAAAAUAUUUCCUUCUGUUUUCGCAUGUGGACGUAGGCUAAAAACUGAACUAUGUAAAUUCUGGUGUUGUUGUAUGAUAAUUAUUUUUCAAUUUCACUUUAGUUGUGUGUCUACUCACCCGCUGAAUUUUCCCAACAAGUGGUAUCAGAGCCAUUGGUUGCAAAUCUUUGGAGUCGGGUAUUGUUCACGUAUACGAUACUAUUCACAUAUACAAUACUAUUCACGUUUACGGCAUUAUUCACAUGAAACGAUGGGAGCGAUCCAAGAAUUCUGCGGUACAAAGUAGGGAAUAGUGAUGUGAGUGAAAGUAAUUGUGUGGUCUUGUACAUAUCUAGGAAAAUUCUGUCAUAAAGGCAAUAAGAGUUUAAGAAGUUUGGAUUUUAAGUGGGAUCAUUGUGACCCCUCCAGUCUCUCUUGGGAACUUUCGUAGUGUGCAUAUUCACACGUGUGAUCACUCAUAACUAUUCAAGGAGGUACACUAACUUGUGUGCGGUAUUAACAAAAUGACAGCAACGUUUGAAAUUAAGAAGUUCAACGGGAGCAAUUUCUCGUUAUGGAAAAUGAGGAUGCGGGCAAUCUUGAGGAAAAAUAAUUGCUUAAAAGUGAUUGGGGAAAGACCUGCAAAAAUCACUGGUAACAAGUGGAAUGAAUGGACAAUAAUGUAAUUGUUGAUCUACACCUGGCACUCAGAUGGGGUGUUAUCUAGUGUGGCAGAGGAAAAGACAGUGAAAGGUAUUUGGGAUACUCUCACAGAACUAUACGAGAUCAAGUCACUACACAACAAAAUCUUCUUGAAGAGGAGACUCUAUACUCUUCGAAUGGGGGAAACCACAACGGUGAUCGACCAUACCAACACUCUUAAAACUUUAUUUUCACAACUUAUGAUGUUUGGCAUAAAGUAGAGGAAAUUAAAUGUGCAGAGCUUCUACUUCAAAGUUUACCUGACUUAUAUAAUCAACUUGACGAACAAUAUCCUUACGGAGUACCUAGUCUUGAGGAAAAAUAAUUGCUUAAAAAUAAUUGGGGAAAGGCCUGCAAAAAUCACUGGUGACAAGUGGAAUGAAGUGACAGCAAUGCAAUUGUUGAUCUACACCUGGCACUCAGAUGGGGUGUUAUCUAGUGUGGCGGAGGAAAAGACAAUGAAAGGUAUUUGGGAUACUCUCACAAAAAUGUAUGAGGCCAAGUCACUACACAAUAAUAUCUUUUUGAAGAGGAGACUCUAUACUUUUCGAAUUGCGGAAACCAUAACGAUGAGCGACCAUAUCAACACUCUUAAAACUCUAUUUUCACAACUUACGACGUUGGGUAUAAAAUAGAAGAAAUUGAACGUGCAGAGCUUCUACUUUAAAGUUUACCUGACUCAUAUGAUCAACUCAUCAUCAACUUGAUGAACAAUAUCCUUAUGGAGUACUUAGUCUUCGAUGAUGUUACAGCCUCUGUAUUAGAAUAAGAGAGUAGGCGCAAAAACUAGGAAGACAGUUAAGCAAGUUCGCUGCAAGUGGAAGCGCAUGAUGAUGAGAGGGAGGUCAGUGAAACGUAGUCCUAGUAGGAGUCACAAUCAUGGUAGAUCAAAUUUAAGAAGUAAGAAGAAAAUCAGAUGCUACAAAUGUGGAAAAAUAUGGCAUGUCAAGAAAGAGUGUUGGAGUUACCAGUAGAAAGGAGAGGGUAAAGAUCCUAAGUCAUCAAAUACUUAGGGGUGUGUAGUAAGUACCUCAUAUGAUGAUGACGUUUUAUACAACGAGGCAGUUAUGGUUGCAGAAGGCAAAAAAAACUAUCUGACGUCUGGUUUAUAGACUCAAGAGCUACUGGCACAGGACCUCUUAGAGAGAAUAAUCCCACAAAUAUGAACCUAUCUUAGGAGAAUCGGUAUAUAUGGGUGAUAAUCAUACCUUGGAGAUUGCUAGUGUUGGUUCUAUCAAAAUAAAAAUAUUUGAUGGUAUAUUUGCACUAUUUAGGAGGUAUUGCAUGUCAAAUGUAUGAAAAAAAAUCUAUUGUCUUUAGGACAAAUAGAUAGUCUUGGCUAUAAAACUCAGGUGGAAAAUGGGAUCAUGAAGAUUGUCAGAAGUACGCUUGUAUUGAUGAAGGCAGAAAAUAUAUGUGCCAAUUUAUUCAUGCUUAAAGGGGAAACAUUGCAAGAAGCUACUGCUUGUGUUGCGUCAAAUAGAGAAGAAUCGACAAUGAUGUGCAUCUCAAACUUGGCCACAUGUGGAAACAAGGUUUGAAGAUUCUCUCUGGGAAAAAGUUGCUUCCAGGGCUUAAAUAGGUGAACUUAUCAUUUUGCGAGCACUGUGCUACAAGUAAGCAGCAUAGAUUAAAGUUUAGCAUAUCUGACAGCAUAAGUAAAUGCACUCUAGCAUAUCUGACAACAUAUGGACGUAUGCUAAAAGUCAAACCACAUAAAUUCUGGUGUCCCUGUAUGAUCAUUAUUUUUUUAUUUCAUUUAAAUUGCGUGUCUACUUCACCCACCCGAUUUUUCCCAACAAAAAGCUCAAAUCAGGAUAAUCAAAUGCACAUGUGUGUACUUCAAAAAAAUCAGACCAAAAAAUAUCACGUGUCAAGUGCUAGAACUUGAGCCUAAAAUAAUUCAUUUCAUUUUAUUACUUUGUUUUUGAAUAUUAAUACUAGCUAGUUUUAUAUAAUUCACUUUUGCUCCUUGUUUCUUGUUCCUUGUUAGAAUUGAUCAAUUGAGUUACUAACUUCUGUCCUUAUCUGGUUUUAAUGUAAGCUCUCUCUAUAAUUUAAUCAUUUUUUUUGUAACUCUCUCUGCAAAUUAAUCAAUUUUUUUAUGGACCUUGUGUAAUGGGGAUAUUUCGUCUCAAGUGAGAAUAUUUAUUCUGCAAAAAAACAUUUACAAAAGUUGUAAAUCUAGUUCAGGAUGGAUUAGUUUCAUAUUAAACAUUAGUGACAGCUCUAGUCUAAAAGUCACGUAAACAUUCCUAUUUUGGGCACGUAGCUCUUCACGGUUUGCUGUUCGACAAAAUCAUAACCGACUGUGUGGUCAAAGGGAGCAAAUAAAUCUGAUUUUUCUCCCCUUGAUGAUCAGAUAAAGGGUCGUCCUAGUUUAUUUUUCUAAAAUAUCACUGUCGCUGCGGUGCUGAAGUUCGUUUAGGUCUUUCUAGCUUCGAAUGCUGAAACGUUCGGCAAUACACAAAACAAAAAGUUGUCUCUUUAAUUUAUUUUUCUGUAUAUUUUAAAAUCACAAAAAAUUAAAUACCAAUUUAAUCGAUGUGACACAGCAAUCAUCAUUAUUUUAAAUUUCCUAUACAUUUUCGACUGACGUCAAAAUGAAGAUAAAAUGCAAUUACGUGAUAGAGCACAUAUAAAAUCAGAAACCUCAAAUCAGACUGCUAAACAUAAAAAUACAAUAUAUAUCACUCAAUUUAUUAUGUAGAAAUGAAUACAACAGUAGUCCUGCGUAGCCGAACUCAUCACGAGUCGUAUCCCAGAUUUAAAAACAAUAACAAAAAGAAUCCUCAAAAGGGAAAACACACAAAUUUGGAAAGUCUCAAAACAAGAAACAACAAAUAUAAUUUAUUGAUAUACAUCUGCAGAGAACCAGAUGAAGCUCGGGAAAGCAUUUGAAGAAAAUGGAAUUUAAGGAUUGGUGGUUGAGUGAGUUGGCAUCUCCUUGGGAAGACUCGGGAUGGGGGGAAAUGUCGGCUUAGGAAGCUCAGGUAGAUGGGGGAAAGAAGGCAAUUCAGGCGCCUUGGGCAACUCAGGCUUUGGAAGUUCAGGUACUUCGGGCUCCUUUGGCACCUCAGCCACUUUGGGCAACUCAGGCUUUGGAAGUUCAGGUACUUCGGGCUCUUUUGGCACCUCAGGCACUUUGGGCAACUCAGGCUUCGGAUGUUCAGGUACUUCGGGCUCUUUUGGCACCUCAGGCACUUUGGGCAACUCAGGCUUCGGAUGUUCAGGUACUUCGGGCUCUUUUGGCACCUCAGGCACUUUGGGCAACUCAGGCUUCGGAUGUUCAGGUACUUCGGGCUCUUUUGGCACCUCAGGCACUUUGGGCAACUCAGGCUUCGGAUGUUCAGGUACUUCGGGCUCUUUUGGCACCUCAGGCACUUUGGGCAACUCAGGCUUCGGAUGUUCAGGUACUUCGGGCUCUUUUGGCACCUCAGGCACUUUGGGCAACUCAGGCUUCGGAAGUUCAGGUACUUCAGGCUCUUUUGGCACCUCAGCUUUCGGAAUCUCUGGCAAUUCUGGUUCUUUUGGCAACUCAGGCUUUGGAAUCUCAGGUAAUUCAGGUUUCUUCGGUAGUUCUGGCUUUGGAAUCUCUGGUAAUUGAGGAUUUUUAGGAAGCUCAGGCUUUGGAAUCUCAGGUAAUUCAGGCUUUGGAAUUUGUGGUAUUUCAGGUUUUGGUAACGGUGGCAAUUCAACCUUAGGCAAUUCAGGCUUGGGGAUUUCUGGAACUGUUGCCUCUAGAAGAUGGCGAGCAGCGAUCAAAUCAAUGUUAAAGCUCAUUGACGAUAAAGCGAUUAGCAAAAGUGGUAGCAUAACGGAUGAGAAAGAGAAGGAUGCCAUUGUUGAUAUG